UCCGAAAAACCCUAACCUCUGCCUCCUCUUCCUCUUAUCCCGGAAACCUAAAUUCCGUGACCCUAACCCCUUCUCUUUCCGAAAACCCUCCGGAAUCGGAAAAUUCAUAAUUCUUCAGAAUUAAUUUUCACCUCGAAGCCAAACCCUAACUGCCUCAUCUUCCUCUCAUUCAUAUCCCAAAAGUAGCUUCAACAGUCAGGCCUGUAGCCAUGAAAGCCGUAGUGAUCACUACUUCCGGUGAUCCCCAAGUUCUCCAAGUGCAAGAAGUCGAAAACCCUGAAAUUGGAGAUGAUGAAGUUCUAAGUAGAGUGGACGCCGCUGCCAUUAACCGAACAGAUACGCUUCAGAGGAAGGGCUUGCACCCUUCCUCAAAGGCGGCAGUCCCUACCCGGGUCUCGAAUGUUCUGGAAUCAUCGAAGCUGUUGGAAAAGCCGUCGUUCGAUGGAAGGUUGGCGAUCAGGUAUUUCAAUUGCCUAAUAUUUUGAUUUCGUUUCUGUUCCUCUGUUUUUCUCGGCUAUCAAACACUAGGAACGUGUAAAUAAGGAGGUUAGUUGAUUGCGAAAACGGGAAUUUUUUGUUCGUGUCUGUGUUAAGGAGUCUUUGUUGAGAAUUUUGGGGAAAUUUAUGAUAAGUUUGUGAUUUUAUGAUUAAUUUUGUGUAUCAAUAUAGGUUAAAUUAUUGAGCUUAUUGGUUUUCAAAUUUAUGGUUGUAAGAAAAUUGGUCAGUGUAAGGUUAUGGGAUCAUUACCAAUUUGCUUACUGAAAAUUUUUCCAGAUAUUGUGGACCGGUUUGGUAGCAGAAAUAAGAACUGUGUUUUGUUUUUCAAAACGGAAAUGGAUGCAGAAAACAUGUUUUUCUUUCAGAACUUGUUUCCGAAAAUAUUUCCUGAAAAUGAAUUAUUUCAGAACUUGUUUUAAAAAAAUUCAAACACUUUAUCAAUUUAAAAGGUUCUGAAAUGGACAUGUUCAUGGUCUUCAUUUUUUAAAAUUAAAGCUUUUAUGAAAAAACCAUUUUCCCUUCUACUAAACAAACAGGCUCUAUAUUGUAACAGAUCGAUUGGCCAUUUCCUUUGUCAUGUUUUGUGAAUCAUGGCAACACUGGAAUCCACUCCAUUACCAUCUGUUAGUGAUUAGAAGACAAAGCACCAAUUUUAAUGAUAUCCUUUAUGUGAUUUUGCUUCCUCCUGAGUACAAGUUCAUAGUAUACAUGGUACAUGGUGAAUCUGUAUGACAGUUCAUGGUAUACAGGUGUGUGCUCUUCUUUCUGGUGGAGGGCAUGCUGAAAAAGUGGCUGUUCCAGCUGGGCAAGUUCUCCCUGUCCUAUCUGGUGUUUCUCUGAAGGAUGCUGCUGGAAUUCCUGAGGUUGCAUGUACUGUUUGGUCAACUGUUUUAAUGAUGAGCCGACUGUCUGCAGGAGAAACAUUCCUGGUGAAUUUUUUGUCUUUUUUAUUUUCUGAUGCCUGAUAUAUUUACCAGCACAAAUUUACCCUGUUGCUGUUUAAUGUGUGUGCAUCAAUAUUGGAUUAGGGAGGUAGAAGAGCCAUGGUUCUAAUUAAAUCAUUACAUCAUCAUAUUCUUAUUUAGAUACAUUGUAUCCCACAAUUUCAUUGCAUCCAAGGCUAUGUUGUUUUUUAUUGCACGGUUUGUGUCAUGGUAAUUUCUCAACCCUUCUCUGGAAAAUUAUGUUGGAUGGCUGCUAUUAAUUACCCCAAAAGAAGAAAUUUUAUGUUGAAGUAAGAUGAGUAGCACAAAGAGUUACUUGUGGUUGAUCCUAUCAUCAAAUGGGCGAUUGAUGCACAAUCCAAAUGGUAAAUUUUUUUCCCCCUUUAUCCAGAUGGAAUUUUUAUGCAUGGUUGAAUAGUGAAAUGAGGACUGAUAAUAUUUCAGGUUCAUGGGGGUUCAAUUGGAAUUGGUACCAUCUAUUCAAAUAGUGAAAUACUGAGGAGCAAGGGUAUUUGUUACAGCAGGUUUGCCAUCACUGUUCUACCUCAUCUCACAGAAUGCUUAUCUCAUGGCACCAAUUCCUUUUCUUCACAUGUUUUCAACCAUUUUUUCCACCCAGGAACGAGGAAAAAUUAGCUGUUUGUAAGGAUCAUUGAGCAGAUGUGUGCAUCAAUUACAAGACUGAAAACUUUGUUGCAUGGGUGAAGGAGGAAACAGGAGGGAAAGGUAUAAUCUAUUGUAUCUUAACGAUAAUUUCAAUUGAAGGUGGAAUUGCUUUUUAAUUUUUAGUGCACCAAAUCCACUAGUCUGGAAUGUUUGAAAAGAUAAAUAGUCAUCUUCCACUUGAUACCGAUUGUGAAGAUCUAACCCCAAAAAUGUUGAAUGACAGGUGUUGAUGUUAUACUGGAUAAUAUUGGAGGGGCCUACUUUUGGGGAGACAUCAAUGGUUUAAAUGUUGAUGGAAGGCUUUUUAUUAUUGGUUUUCAGGGUGGAACAGUGGUACAAGUAAAUCUUUCAGGUUUACUUGCAAGGCGCCUUACAGUGCAAGGUACCGCUUUCUCUGUAGUUUUGGAGUUGAAUCAAUUUGAUUAAUCUCAUCCAAGUUCAGAACUGAGGUGGAUUCUGGCAAGCCAAGGAAAAACCAAAUUACCAUAAAUUCUUUUUUUCUUGGAAAUCCUGUUUCUCAAUCUGGUCAGUAUAUGGAAAUUCCAAGGAAAAUAUGUUUUACAUUUUCCAUAAGGCUCAAUGGGUUUUAACUCCACUCAGCUACUUUAUGUCUUGUAUUUAAUAUUGCAAACCAAAAUAAUAAUACGUAGAGAUUGAGCUUGGAGGCCAAUCUAGCAAAUGUGGAGAUUAGAAAUAGUUUACCAUCUAGAUAGUCAAGCAUAGCAAUUUACCAAACCCUUACCAACCAUCCAUACUAACCAAUUGUGGUUAAAUGUUUACAAAAAUGUACAUUAAAUCAAAGAGAAAAAAGAUUAAAAACGAACAAGAGAGAAGAAGUACGUCACCUAAUUUUGGUAAUAAAUGAAAUUAAAAUAAAUUCAUAAAUUUUUUAAAUUAAAAUGAAUUUGAACUCUAGAGAUUUGUGUAGAUAUCUUAUUAAAAAACCAAAAAGUUUGUUGCAUAUAUAAUUUCAACAAUGCAUAAAUAAUUACAACAUACGCAAUACAAUAAUAUUACACAACUAUAUUUUCAAAUAUAGUAUAAGAUCAUUAAAGUGAUAAAUUGUAGUUGUAUAAAAUAUUUAUACAAGUAAAGAAGAAAUUAUGAGAUUGAAAUGCUUGUUGGAUUCUAAGUAAAAAGGAAAUGAGAUAUAGAGAUUGUCCCAUCAGACAUAGAAUUUCAUAUACAUAAUUUUCCCUUCAAGAAAAUUUAGGGUCAAAUUGAAAAAUUUUCAUUCAUAGAUUUUGGUAAAACCUCUAUCUAGUCCUCCAAAUCUUGUAUACAAAAGGAAAUAACAUUGGUAUGAGGGGUUUGAAUGCUUAAUUUUAGAUUGAAAAUGCUUGAGAUAAUUUUUGAUCGACUUCACAUGUGUUUUUGAUAAACUUGGAACAUUCAAACUUGUAUUUGAAGAAUCUUCAAAUCUUCAAUUUGAUCUUAAAUAAUGUUGAAACCUUCGAAAUUUGAAUAGAAGAAUCUUUAAGCAUUUGAAUUUUGGUUUAAAGAAUUUUGAAAUUUGAGAUUGAAGAAUCUUCAAAUUUGGGCCUGAAGAUCAAAGGCUAAGCUUGAAGAGUUCUUGAAGCUUGAGUGGUAUCUCCGAUUUUGUUUUGUAUUUCAUAAAAACUUUUAAGUAUACUAUAUUUAUAGGUUUGAAGAGACAUUGAGAUUUUGUAUACAUGUUUGGAGUUUUAAACCUUGAAAUAUUACUCUUUUAUGAAAUUAACAUUUAUAAAAUUUGGAAGAACAUAAUUAGAUAAUAUUCUAAGUUAUUUUUAAUGAAAAUUGAUAAUUACCUUUUAAUUAUCAAAUUCACUAUUUCUAUUUAUUUUUGUAAUAUAUAUUAAUUACUAAAAUCAUUUAUUUCCUUUAUUUAGUUUGAAAGCAAUUAUAUAUCUUUUGUUUGUGUAGAGCUCAUGUGACACGACAAAUUUUAUUUUGUAACUUGCUCUGGAUGAAUGGCCAUUAUAAACUUCAUUUUAUCCUCAUCUGAUUUUGAGGUGGGAAUAGGAGAGAUGAGGAUUUGACAUUUGGACCUAAGCCUCAGAGGGUUUUAACUCCACUCAACUACUUUAUGCCUUGUAUUUAAUAUUGCAAACCAAAAUAAUAACAGACAUGAUCCUUUUCAAAAUUUUUAUAAUAAUAGAAGUGUAAAUAAUAUAAGUAAAAAUAAUAUAAUAUUUUUUAAAAUGAUAAAAUAAUAGGUUAUAUAAAUUUUAAUAUAUAGGUAAAAUUAAUUAAAUUUUAACAAAUACCUUCACACUUAAACAUUACAUAUCUUUUAUUUAAUAAAAUGUUAAAAUAUUAAUAUAUUUAAAAUUGUAUAAUUAUUUUUUAUUUUAAUACUAUAUAAAUUAUAUAUUUAUGAUAUUACUGGUUCAACUAUAAUUCAAUCACUGAUCCAACCAUUGAACCAUGAAUUAGUAAAUUUUUUUAUUCAAUGAUAGGUUUGAUUCUAAAAAUAUUAUGACUAUGUUUGGUUCCAGAAAUUUUUUUUUGAUGGAUUACAUCAAUCUAGAUAAUGACAAAGAUAUUACCAAUUUGAUAUCACCAAUUGAUAACACAAUUAAAAAAUAAUAUGCAUUUUAACAUAUUUGAAUUCAUUGUACUCAUAUCCAUGACCUAAUUUUACACAUCCUUAAAUCAUGGUUGAUUUAUGAAACAAAUCUAUACCAUCAAUAGAAAAUAAAUAAAUAAAAUAAUACAAAAAAAUAUAUAGAUAGUCAAGCAUAGCAAUUUACCAAACCCUUAGCCACCAUCCAUACUAACCAAUUGUUGUUAAAUGUUUACAAAAAUAUACAUUAAAUCAAAGAGUAAAAAGAUUAAAAACGAACAAGAGAGAAGAAAUACAUCACCUAAUUUUUGUAAUAAAUGAAAUUAUAAUAAAUUCAUAAUUUUUUUAAAUUAAAAUAGAAAUUCAAAUACAUGUAACUAUUGUUUUUGUCUUGUAAAUCAUCCAAUUUUUCAAUGAAUUUAAACUCCACAUAUUUGUGUAGAUAUCUUAUUAAAAAAAACAAAAAGUUUUCACUAAAAUCAUAAAAUUUAGAUUAGAAAUGAUUUACUAUAUUAGUUCAAAAUUCAUCUCCACAAAAAUUGAAAUAAAUUAAUUAUCUUGAUCAAUUCAAAUAAAAUUUCUCCAAUUAAAUUUCCAAAUAUGUGCCUUAAUACCUAUAAUGGAAUUAGUAAUUUUAAUUAAAAAAUAAAUAAAAAUAAGGAUUUGAUCUUUUUCUUACCAUUUGAUGAAAAUUAUAAAAUAUACUAAAAUGACAAGUGAUCAGACAUUUGAAAUUUGCAUCAUUUCUACCAUUGCAAACACCACCAACUCCAUAUUUCCCAUUUUUCUACCUACUGCCAAUUCACUCAUCUCUCUGGGAAGAUUUUUGAGGUUAUCGCCAUGCUUGAGAUAAUCCAGAAAGUUGAGCGGCAUCACUCUCUGAAAGGUGCCUUACAGCAUGGGUAAUGUAUGGGAUACAUCUGAUAGCUUGCCAUAUCCAUAAACCACUAUAUUAAACCAUGGUUCAUAUCCCCAACGCCACACGAGAAUCUGUACUCAUCCCAAGCAGCUUGGAGAUCAUAAAAUUAGGUUUUGAGGGCCUCCCGAGACAUGCACAGCUUCACCUUUGUGCAUUCCUUUGAUUUGGAAAAUUUCUUCUGUAAAAUCCCCCAUUAUCAUGCCCUGAACCAAGACAAUUUCACAAUAUCCAAUAGCAUAUCAUUUACUUCCAUUUUGUCAAUGGGAAUUACCAUUUUGCAUGGGAAGCACCAACGGAGAUAGGGGUUUUCAAAUUGGAUCACUAGCAAAGAAACCCACCGCAACGAUCUGAAUAAUUGAGCACAACAUCCACUUUAGAGAACCCCUCCUGAAGGCGAAAUCGUCAUCUUGGCUAAACGUAGUCAUAGUUGGGUUGUGAGAAAUGGAGAUGAAUCACAGAAGGCUUUCAGUUUGAUAGCAACGAAAAGGUAAAUGUACUCUAGAGAAGUUUUGACCUUGGGAGAAGCGCUUUUGAAUCCAAGUCAAGGUCUGUUCUGGAUCCCUUUUCGACUCUCUCUAUUAAAGGAAGAUAAUCUGCCCAGGAUUUGGAUGCAAGCCUACAAGGCCAUGUUUAGGAGACUUAUGCAAAAUAUUUAUCCAUAGCUCCCCGCCUGAAACAUCUACAUAAAGCGUCUUCCAAGUGUGAACCAUCGUCUUGGGUCCUUGAGAUGAACAAAAACUGAGACAUGUCGUGAGUUAGAUGCAUUGCCUGAAAAUGCCGAGCAGUAGUAUGGCCUUCUUUCUGAUCAACUGUUUUGUCAAAUUCUAGAGCUCUCAUUCCAAAUCCAUCAGUUUUCUCAAAUGAUUGGCCAGUGGAGAUCCAUGGAUAUAACAUAUGAAAUGUGCACAAUAAAAGUAAUCAAACGGUUGGUUGGUUUGGCUGAAUCCCACAAUCGCAAAGACUUAUCAUAUGAAACUGUUACCAACUGAGUUGAAUUUGGCCUAAAAAGGAUAUCCGUUACUACAAACUAGCGUUCUUUCGUGGUGCUCUCUCUUUGCAGGCUAUCCAUGUUCCAAAGAAAAACUCUCUUGUCAUGUCUGGCACUGGGCACUGAUUAGAGUGUGGGACGUUCAUUCUCCAUUAUCACCAAACACAUGCAGGAUAUAUAUAUAUCAAUUCAUUCAAAAUAUGCCUUUAUUUUAUGGAACAUACCCGAAUCCAUUUUGUUUGUGUUGAAGAGGUAUAGAUCUUCUAAGGCUAUGGAGGGCACCACCUUUUCUCAGAAUUCUCUCUGACGAUGGGAAGCCGAAGAGAACGGGUUUUGUUUUUAUUUUGAAAACGUUGUUAUCCUUAAAGAACAAACACUAUUCUUUGGAUUUAUACCCUCCUACCUUAGGGACCAUACCGUUUGGCUACUGGGCCUCACGAGUCUUAGGCCCAUCAUCUAAGGCCCGUGAUGGCACUGGGCUCUACACAUAAGGUGGCCCAUACUCUAGAACGAAUAGAAAUCAUAUGUAUAUAUAUGGAUAGCUAAAUCCUGAAUAAUGGUUAAUAUGAUGUCGGUCCACAUUUAUUCUAUCAAUCUCCCACUUGGACCACAUAUAUUACAAAACAAUGUUCAUGAUAGUACUUUAUUGAGCUCAUCUUUGCUAUCCUAUCUUAAUAUCCUUAAACAAUCUGGUCUACUAGUUAUGCUAACAUAGGAUCAAAGUGGCCUUCAUUAAUCAUAAUUAUAACUAGACCCAUCAAUGAUCACAACAUUAACAAAAUUAGCAACAUAGAUCAAGUAUGGAUGUGUAGCAUGAAAAUUACAUAAAAUGUGAUCUUUAUUAUGUCUAUUUCCAAUUGGUCCUACUUUAUGACUAAAAAAUAGUCAAAUUCCACUUUCAACACUUGAUGCUAAACUGCUUCUGAAAGUCAUCAUUUCAAUUCAGAGAAUUCAAAUACAAUAGUCUUUAAAAUCAAGGUUUGUUGCGUACAUUAUUGGAAUGUUCAGCAAAUAUUUGAGUAACCCAAGUAUGGAUUACUGGAAAAAGGCAAAAUAGGUUAUGCGGUAUUUACAAAGAACUAAAGAUUAUAUGCUCACAUACCGUAGAUCCAGUCAUUUAGAGAUCAUGGGAUAUUCGGACUCCGAUUUCGCGGGAUGUCUUGACAACAAGAGAUCCACUUCAAGCUUCAUCUUCAUGUUGGCUAGAUGAACAGUUUCAUGGAAAAGUGUUAAACAAAUACUUAUUGCUUCUUUCACCAUGGAGGCAGAAUUCAUAGCCUACUACAAAGCAUCAAACCAUGGGAUAUGACUGCGGAAUUUUGUCACUCAGUUGCGAAUCGUUGAUGAGAUUGAGAAAUCAUUAAGAAUAAAUUGUGAUAAUAAAGCCAUAGAAUUGUAAUUCUAAGAACAACCGAAGUUCGUCAAAGUCCAAACACAUUGACAUCAAGUUCUUGGUUGUGAAAGAAAGAGUUUAGAGUCUUCAAGUAUCAAUUGAACAUACAAGCACAAACUCCAUGAUUGCGGAUCCGCUCACUAAGGGUUUGCCACCCAAAGUAUAUCAUGAGCAUGUCACACAUAUGGGUGUUGUACAUAUUGAUGAUGUUCCAGUAUAGUGGGAGUUUGUAUUUAGAUUUUGUGUUUGUUUUCUUGAUAUGAUGUUAUAUUGUGUUAUCGUGUACAAACUUGUGCAUACAUGAGACUUCCUAUUGUUGAGGCAUAGGGAAACCUCUUCAUAUCCUUCUUUUUAAGUUCAUUUUUCGGACAUUGGUGCAAACUAAAUUUAUCGCCUUUUGCUACAGGCAUGUCUCCUGGUGUACAAUUGCUCAUGCCAAAUCUACUCAACACCUUAUCGAUGUAGGCCUUUUGUGAUAACCCAAGUAUACCUCUUAAACGAUCCCUAUAGAUCUGUAUACCUAGCAAAAAAGAUGCAUUACCAAGAUCCUUCAUGUCAAAUUUACUAGACAAAAAUAGCUUAGUUUCAUGCAAAAGUCCCACAUCACUACUUGCAAGUAGAAUAUCAUCAACAUAUAGCACCAAGAUAAUGAAUUUGCUCCCACUAAACUUGAGAUAUAUGCAUUGAUCAAUGGUGUUUUCCUUAAAACCAAAUGAAGUAAUCACCUGAUUAAACUUUUGGUACCAUUGUCAAGAUGCUUGCUUUAAACCAUAUAUGGACCUUUUUAAUCUGCAUACAAGUUGCUUUAAAUCAUUAGACUCAAAGUUCUCCGGUUGCAUCAUGAAUAUUGUUUCAUCAAUGUUACCAUUAAGAAACGCAGUUUUAACGUCCAUUUGAUGCAACUCUAAAUCAUAAUGAGCCACAAGUGCCAUGAUGAUUCUAAAGGAGUCAUUUGACAAAACCGAUGAAAAAAUCUCCUUAUAAUCAAUGUCUUCCUUUUGAGUGAAACCUUUUGCGACUAGACGUGCCUUAUACCUAACAAUGUUGCCUUUUGAAUCCCACUUGGUCUUAAAAAUCCAUUUACAACCAAUCGAUUUUACACUUUCAGGCAACUUUACUAGGUCCCAAACACCAUUAUCUUUCAUUGAUUUCAUCUCAUCUUUUAUGGCUUCUAUCCACUUUUCAGAGUCAGAACUUUGUUUGACUUGACUAACUGAAAUUGGAUCAUCUUCCAAACCCAUGUCAAACUCUUGUUCCUGGAGAUGUACAACAUAAUCAUCUGAAAUUGUACUUCUCAUUUCUCUAGUGGAUCUCCUUAGUGGCACUUGUAUUUGAGGUUCUUGAGGCUGUUGAGUUACCUCUUCAUAAACUUGAACCGGUUCCAUAACUUGAGCAGGAGGAAUCUCAAGUGUGUUUUGAAUCUCUGUUAUUGAUUGUACAAUCUGGAUAGUGUCAUCAAACAUAAUAUGACCAUGUCCAGUCGUAAUAAUAGGAAUACUAACAGAUUCCUCUUCAAAUACCACAUUUCUUAACGGUUCUCUCCCAUUUAACUCAACAUCCUCAAUAAAUUUAGCUUUGCCCGUUUCAAAAAAGGAUCUAGUUGAGGGGUCAUAAAACUUGAAACCUCUCAACCUUUUAGAAUAUCCUACAAAGUAGCAGCUCACUAUUCUAGAGUCCAAUUUCUUUUCAUUUGGUUUUUAAGGCCUAUCUUCAGCUGGACAACCCUAGACAUGCAAGUGCCUAAUACUAGGUUUCUUGCUAGUUCAUAACUCAUAUGAGGUUUUGGCUACUGCUUUGCUUGAGACUCUAUUCAAAAUAUAAAUUGUUGUUUUGAUGGCUUCGCCCUAAAGUGAUUCUGGUAAGGUGGAAUGACUGAUCAUACUUCUUACCAUAUCCUUAAGAGUACGAUUUCGCCUAUCUGCUACACCAUUUUGGAUUGGAGUCCCCAGCAUGGUGUAUUGAGGAACGAUACCACACUCCAUCAAAUAUUUGGCGAACAGCCCUGGACGUUGUUCACUAGAUCCGUCAUAUCUACCAUAAUAUUCACCUCCACGGUCAGAUCUGACGACCUUUAUUUUCUUGCUUAGUUGGUUCUCAACUUUAGCUUUGAAAUUCUUGAACACAUCUAAUGAUUGAGACUUCUCAUGAAUCAAAUAAAGAUAGCCAUAGCGCGAGUAAUCGUCAAUGAAAGUGAUAAAAUAUUAUUGUCCAUUCCAAGAAGGGGUAGGAGAUGGACCACAAAUGUCCGUAUGUAUCAAUUCAAAGACGUCACUGCACUUGUUAACAUCAUUUUUUUUCUCAUAUUUGUUUGUUUACCCUUAAUAUACUCUAUACAGACUCGAAAGUAUAAGAAAUUAAGUGGAUCAAGAAUUCAUUCUGACACAAGCCUUUGAAUACGUUGAUUUGAAAUAUGACCCAAAUGCCUGUGCCAUAACAUCGAUGAAUUCUCAUUUGUUAAUUUCCGUUUAAUGUCAUAAUUACUUGAAUUCAAGGUUUCAUUUUCAUUAGUGGUCUUUAUGUUUAAUUUGUAUAAUUUGUCUGUUAGAUUACCUGUACCAAUAACAUUUGAAUUUAGAUAAAGACUAACCAUUCCAUUUCUAAAUGAACAAUAAUAUCCAAAGUACAUCCAGAGUCUAACUGUAAUCUAAAAAGACCAAUAGUCUUGACUGCAACCUUGUUGCCAUUUCCCGCAUAGAUGUAUCUUUCACCAUCAAUUGGCAUUCGGCUCCUUAGGCAACCCUACAUCGUGACACUUAUGUGAGUAGUUGCACCCGUAUCUAUCCACCAAGUGUCAGUAGGCACUACGACUAAAUUAAUUUAUGAACAAACAAAGUUGAGAAGUGUACCUUUCUUUUCACGCCAAGCAGCGUAUUUGGUACAUGUCUCUUCAUAUGACCAACCUUCUUGCAAAAGAAACAAGUCAUCUCCUUAUCUUGUUUCUUCUACACCUUUUGCAUUGAUGUCCCAAAAAUUGCAGUUUGUUUUUCUUUAUUGUCCCUUUUUCUUUUCUUGUUGGUACCAAAUCCCUGAGAUGUGGAAGCCAAGUGAGCACUUUCUAUCUUUUCUUGUUUCAAUCUCUCAUCCUUUUGUGCACAUUGAGCAAUAAGCUCAUUCAAAGUCCAUUUUUCUUUUUGUGUGUUGUAACUGAUUUGGAAUGGACUGAAUUGUGUAGGCAGAGAGAUCAAGACCAAGUGCACGAGUAUGUCUUCUGAAAACUCUAAUUUUAGUACCUUUAGUCUAGUCACAAGAUUAGACAUUUCCAUAAUAUACUCCCUUAUAUUCUCUUUCCCUUUGUACCGCAUAGAGACAAGCUUACUAAGAAUAGUGCUUGUCUCAACCUUUUCAUUUGUAGUGAAUCGGUUUGCUAUCUGGUCUAAGAAUGCCUUGGCUCGAGUUUUCUCAGGUAUUGCACUUCUUACAGCUUUUGGAAUUGAGUGCUUUGUUAUCAUUAGAGUCAUGCGAUUGGAUCGCUCCCAUUUUUCCAUAGUAGAACUUUGCUCAGCAGUGCUGGCACUAGUAAGAUCUGGAGGGCGAUCCUCUCUUAAUGCAUAGUCUAAAUCCAUGCACCCGAGCACAAUUAUAGCGUGUUUCUUCCAUUUCUUGAAGUUUGUGCCAUUAAGUGCAGGAAUGUUAUUAACAUUUGCAGAUAUAGAAUAUGUUGAAUUCAUAAUAAUAAAGCUCACAAUCAGUCACAUAAAUAUCAUACAUACAUGAAAAAUAACAUCAUACAAGAUACUUAGCACAAACAUUAAUAUUCUGUCUUUGGACAAUAAAUAUUAACUUGUAAUUGGUAUCCUUAUUCAAAAUUAUUCAUAAAUAUUGACAAUAAAACCAAAAACAAUAUGCUUGUCUUUAGACUAACAUAUCGAAUGCAAGAUAAACUUUAUAUGUCACAUAUUUAUGACUACUUUAUUUAUUAUUAUAUUAAAAUAAUCUUCCUUUGGGCCAAUUAUUUUAAAUAAUAAUAAUAACAUGUUUAGAUAUUAUAAAAUAAAUAAAUUAUAUAAUAUAAGUUACUUUGACAACUAACAUACAUAAUUCAUUUAUUUUAAAAUAUUAAACACAAACAUAACAAGAAAUAAUAAAUUCAAUUAAAAUUAUUUAUUUAUUUAUGCAUAAACCCAUGUAUAUAUAUAUAUAUAUAUAUUAAUUGAAGCAUAAAAAACCAUCUACAUGUGUAUAUAUAUCAAUUGAAGCAUAUAUACAAGCUUUAGUCUAAUGGUUUAAGCAAAAAAUAGGCCAUGGUAAAGGGUUUAAGCCAACCCGCCCCUUUAGUUUGGUUUUUGUUUUUUUUUUUUUGUUUUAAUUUCUUUUGGGCUACUGACCAUGCAUUCUCUCAUGGCCCAACGACCACUUAUGGUCACUUACAAGCCAAGCCCCUUCCAUAUAUAUAUAUAUAUAUAUAUGUUUUUAUUUAUUUAUUUAAAUUUUGUCCAUUGCAGCCCAAAGCGACCAUCCCUUGUAAUGGCAUCAUCAACGGUGCCAGAGCUGUCCUCGAACGACACCGAUAGUGAAACGCUGCCACCAUCACCGGAACGGUGAUUUCCCAUCGCCAAACGACGGUGUCACUACCGGAAUGAUGCUGUAACAGCAUCGCUGGGAAGCAACCUAACUUGUGGCGUGACACCAUGACAAGCAAUGCCACUAGCAGUGAAACGCUGUCGCCAUCACCGAAACGGUGAUUUUCCAUUGCCAAACAAUGGCGCCACCACCGGAACAACGUUGAAACAACAUCACUGGGAAGCAGCCCUACCCGUGGCACCAAAAUGGCGCUUGGAUGGCAUUUGGAACACUUGCAACAACGUUCAAAUCAGCGCUUCUCACUGGCAAAUGACGCUUGAACGACAUCUGGAAAUAAUGCCUACAACGCCUAAAAAUUGUGCUAUUUUGAACUCUUAAAACAACGUUGAAAUGACGUCUACCAAAGUCUGGAAUUGCACCGCUGUCUAGAACGAUGCCAUGAUGGUGUCUCACUCGCCUUAAAUGGCACCAACCACCAUGACUUGCAACCUAAAAAAUGGCACUUGAACAGCGCCUGAAGCGUGCCUGGAACGACGCUACAAACGAUGCCUGAAAUGGUGCCUUUUGUAUGCCUGAAAACGACAUAGGAAUGACGCUUAAACUACGUCCAUUUUGAACGCCUGAACGGUGUCCUAACGGCGCCUGAAACGAUGCCUGAAUGACGCCUGGAAUUGGCCCAGAUUUAUUUUAUGUUGUUUCCUUCCUCUUGGAUCUUUUGUUUGUGUUUUAAAAAAAAAAAUGUUUUGGUGAAAAUGGGAAAUGCAACCAGGCUCUGAUACCAUUUUGUGGGACGUUCAUUCUCCAUUAUCAUCGAACACAUGCAAGAUAUAUUUAUAUAUAUCUAUCAAUUCAUUCAAAAUAUGCCUUCAUUUUAUGGAACAUACCCGAAUCCAUUUUGUUUGUGUUGAAGAGGUACAGAUCUUCUAAGGCUAUGGGGGGUACCACCUUUUCUUAGAAUUCUCUAUGACGAUGGGAAGCCAGAGAGAACAAGUUCUAUUUUUAUUUUGAAAACGUUGUUAUCCUUAAAGAACAAACACUAUUAUUUGGAUUUAUACUCUCCUACCUUAGGGACCAUACCCUUUGGCUAUUGGGCCUCACGAGUCUUAGGCCCAUCAUCUAAGGCUCGUUAUAGCACUAGGCUCUACACAUAAGGUGGCCCAUACUCUGGAAAGAAUAGAAAUCAUAUGUAUAUAUAUGGAUAGCUAAAUCAUGAACAAUGGUUAAUAUGAUGUCGGUUCACAUUUAUUAUAUCAUAGAGACUUCCCAUAUGAAGAAAAUCGACAGCAGGUAGCUUUGCCAUUCUUAGUCUGUAUACAACCAACCUUAGCAAGGAUUGAACCCUUUUAUGCUUAGUUGUGCCAUAAAGAUCCUUACCACUGCCUAUAACAUGUAAUCAAAAUGAUUCGAUAAUAUCAUCUAGUGAACCAAUACCUCCAAAUGAGAGACCAUUGCCUUGGUAACUAGGGCUCAUGACUGAGAAUUGCUUGAACCCCUUUGCUUGGGUUGGAGCUUGACUGAUGCACAAAAUAUUCAUAGGCCUCUUCCCAUAACUGGCACCUUGUGUUUGCAACAUAAUUGAACAUGUAUUGAAGUGAGUUUUUUUGCAUCUUUUUGUAAGAAAAUUCUAAACAACAGAGAUUGCUUAGUGUGCCCGGCUCCUCGGGGAAUCAAGGUUCAUUCCUGUAGGGCCAAUUUUUUCACAGUCGAACUAGAUAACAUGGAGAGUAUGUUGCAAUGCUUCAACGGGGUAUUUCUUAGGAAAAUCCACCUGAAGCUAGUACAAUUCGUUGGCGUACUGAGUUCCUGGAGCUCUAUUGACUUCAAUCACCCAUCUUUGUAGAUUAUCGGUGACUUAUGCUCGGAUCCUGUAGGAGGAUUGACCUGACAUUCCACUAGCUCUUUCUGGAAGGCGAUCUUGUUUAACACCUUGUGAGAAGAGGCAAGGGAACUGGUCAUUGUUUCUUCGAGAAGAUCAGUGGCCGAGGAUGGGUUUGGAUCAGAAUUGCUAUAUGGGUUUUCUUUGGGUGAACCAAUUAGUGAAGUGGGUGGCUAUAUAGCAACUGAAGGGUAGUCAUACUAACGAGGAACUAUUAUUUCAUGCAUGUGGAGAGGAAAUGAGUAGAUUCUUCAGGGAUAUAUGAUUAUUCAUCUCUAGCUUACGUUGAAUAUCUCCUAACAAAUUUAUGCUUUGAAGCUCCCUUAGUUUCAUUACAGCUAACUUGGCCAACUUGGUUUCAUCAUGUUUCCUACAACCUCUAAGCAAAGCACGCCAGAUCACCAAAUCAGGUUCUAUUCGCAUUUUGUCCAUAAACUCCUUUGCCUAUUGACAAUAGACUGCCCCUCAAAAUUUGAUGAGAUAACAUCAACGCUGACAGGUUGGCCAUCCCCAUAAGCAUCUUUAUAGAGAUUGAUUCUAUGUUUAGAUAUUUCUCUCUCCUCAAGUGAGUUCAAUUUUUUUGUAACAUCCUUCUCCUUCUCUACUAAUAGUCUUAGCUGAACAUCCAACCUAUGUUCCUAAAGUGCCAGCAUCUCAUAUCUGAUGACAAGCCAACAACCUUGCCCUUGCUGAGACCAAUGUUUUUAAGGCGUUUGUGGGGCGCGCCUUGAGGCGAGGCGCAGCGAAAACGUGUUGAGGCGUUAAAAAUAAAAUGAAACACCUGAAAGGCGUACGCUUUUCCGAUGAGGCGUGAUUGAGGCGUGCUUUGAUCGCGCCUUUCACACUCCAAGAAGAAGGUGUAUGCUUCCUCGGAUCUGAUGUGGCAAUGAACAGAGAUUUAAAAAAAAACCCUAAGUAAUCCCUAAAACCCUAGUCCCGACUGAAAACAAACCCAAAACGAAACCCUACCUCCAACGACUCAAGUGGCGACGGAGUGCUCACCCUCGGCUGCGACCAAUCGCAAUGCAUCUUCUCCGGCGACGAUCCCUCUCAUUCAUCUCCAGGUAUGUUGCGAACUCCUUCUUCCAUGGUUUCUCCCUCUUCGUUUCUCUUUCUGCAAUCCACACGGGCUUCGUCGACUCUUCAUCCAAAUUUUUUUUUUAUCAAAUCAGUUAUGUAUAUCUAUUUAAAUUUUAAACCCUUUUUUCUCUCUCUUACAGUAUAUCUAUUUAAAUUCUUUCUCGGCAAUCCACAGCCCACACUUCCAGUCCACACUUUUCUCUCUCUCCCAAUAGGCUUUUCAUUUUCCUUUUUUUUUUUUUUUUUUUUUUAAAUUAUCAAAUCAAAUGUGCCUUUUGUUAAUAAGAUUUUUUUUGAAGUUUUUUAUAUGUUUGCUUAUAGUAUCAACAAAAAAAUAUAAUUAAAAUUAUAUAAAAGACAAUUAUUUGUGAAUUUUGAAUUUUUUAUUUCUGGUUUAAUUUUAAUUUUCACCUCAAUUUUCUUUAUUUCAUUAUUAAAUUCCAAUUAAAAUUUAUGUGUAUAAUUUUUAAACUCUUUUAAAAAAAAUUGGUUUUUUUUUAAUUUAAACCAAUUAAAUUUUGUAUUUCAUUUUUAAAUUUCUUUCAAUUGUGCUUUGUUAUUAUUUUUUUAGUCAAUUAUAUUGUUAUAUGGAAAUUUGAAUAUUAUUAUUGGUGAUUUUUUUUAGAAUGAGUUCCUCUGAUUCAAAAAAUUCAAGAAAGGAUUUUGUGUGGAAGUAUGUGAUGGAAGUUUCUAGAGAGCAAUAUUUAAUAUGUAAAUUUUGCAAUCAAAGAUGUACGGGAAGGGUGAAUAGACUAAAACAUCACUUAGCCGGAACUCAUCAUGGUAUGAAACCAUGCAACAAAGUUAGUGAAGAUGCUAGAUUGGAAUGUAAAGAGGUAUUGGCUAAUUUUAAGGAUCAAAAAACGAAGAGAAAUGAAUUGCUCCAAGAAAUUGGUAUGGGUCCAACUUCAAUGCAUGAAAGUGCCUUGUCUAAAAUAAUAGGGACAUUAGGGAGUGGGAGUGGGAGUGUAAGUGGGAGUGGGGAACCUAUUCCUAGGGGACCCAUGGAUAAAUUUACCACUUCACAACCUAGACAAAGUACUUUGAAUUCAUAGUGGAAGCAAGAAGAAAGGAAGGAAGUGUGUAGAAAAAUUGGUAGGUUUAUGUAUUCAAAAGGUCUCCCAUUCAACACUGUGAAUGAUCCUUAUUGGUUUCCUAUGAUAGAUGUUGUUGCAAACUUUGGGCCCGGGUUUAAGCCUCCAUCUAUGCAUGAAUUGAGGACAUGGAUUCUUAAAGAAGAGGUGAAUGACCUAAGUAUCAUUAUGGAAGAUCACAAAAAAGCUUGGAAACAAUAUGGAUGUUUAAUUAUGUCAGAUGGUUGGACAGAUGGAAAAAGUAGGUGUCUUAUCAAUUUUUUGGUGAAUAGUCCUGCUGGAACUUGGUUUAUGAAAUCAAUUGAUGCUUCUGAUACAAUAAAAAAUGGGGAAUUGAUGUUCAAAUAUCUUGAUGAGGUGGUUGAAGAAAUUGGAGAGGAGAAUGUUGUGCAAGUCAUCACUGAUAAUGCCUCUAAUUAUGUGAAUGCUGGAAUGAGGCUUAUGGAAAAAAAGAGUAGAUUGUGGUGGACUCCUUGUGCUGCUCAUUGCAUUGAUUUGAUGUUAGAGGAUAUUGGAAAGCUAAAUGUUCAUGCUACUACACUUUCUCGAGCUAGGCAAGUUGUGAAGUUUAUAUAUGGGCAUACUUGGGUUCUUAGCUUGAUGAGAACAUUUACAAAAAAUCAUGAACUUAUUCGUCCAGCAAUUACACGGUUUGCUACUGCAUUUCUUACUCUCCAAAGUCUUUAUAAGCAAAAGCAAGCUCUUAUAGCAAUGUUCUCCUCAGAAAAAUGGUGUUCAAGCACAUGGGCUAAAAAGGUAGAAGGUGUGAAAACUCGAAGUACAGUGUUGUUUGAUCCAAAUUUUUGGCUUCAUGUUGCUUUUUGCAUAAAGACCACUGUUCCAUUAGUUAGUGUCUUGAGAGAGGUUGAUUCAGAGGAAAGACCAGCCAUGUGUUAUAUUUAUGAGUUGAUGGAUUUAGUUAAGAAGAAGAUUGCAUUUAAUUGUCGGGGCAUGGAGAGAAAAUAUGACCCAAUUUGGAGAAAAAUUGAUGCAAGAUGGACUCCGCAACUUCAUCGACCUUUACAUGCAGCAGACUAUUAUCUUAAUCCUCAAUUGCGGUAUGGAGAUAAGUUCUCUAAUGUUGAUGAGGUGAGGAAGGGAUUAUUUGAAUGCAUGGAUAGAAUGUUGGAUUAUCAAGAACGUUUAAAAGCUGACAUUCAGUUGGACUCAUAUGACCAAGCAAUGGGUGAAUUUGGGAGUCGUAUUGCAAUUGAUUCUCGAACAUUAAGAAGUCCUACAAGUUGGUGGAUGCGUUUUGGGGGUUCAACACCGGAGUUGCAAAAGUUUGCUAUUCGAGUCCUUAGCCUUACUUGUAGUGCUUCGGGAUGUGAAAGAAAUUGGAGCACAUUUGAAUCGGUAAUACUUCUAUUUUUGUAAAUUUUUAUACAUAUAUUUCUAUUUCAAUGUUAGAGAACUUUAUUUCAUUUUAACACAUAAAAUUGUUUCUUUUAUUAUUUGUAGAUCCAUACAAAAAAAAGAAAUAGACUUGAACAUCAAAAGUUGAAUGCUCUAGUGUAUGUAAGGUACAACACUAGAUUGAGAGAGUGAAGUCUACAAAGGAAACAAAAUGUUGAUCCAACCUUGGUAGAGGAGAUUGAUUCUGAUGAUGAAUGGAUUGCGGAGAAAGAAGAUCUCCUCCUCCCCCUUGAUCUUUGUUGGCUUCAAGAUAAUGAAUUAUUCAAUGUUGAUGCCAUUAGAGUUGUGUCAUCCAACUCCCAAGAGACGCAAGCAUCAUCGGAUCAUAUGGUUUCUUCACAUUCCUACAAAAGGAAACAUAAUGAAGUACCAAGUAAGUACUCAAAAAUUGAAAUCAUAAAUUUGAUUAAAUUUAAUAAAAAAAACUUUUAAUAUUUAAACAUAAUUAAUACUUUAUGCUAGGUACAAGUGGAGGCAAAGGCAAAGAGAAGGAAUUGAAUUUGACACCAAUUGAUGAAGAUGAAGAUUUAGAUGAAAUGGGGAUACAUGAUAGUGGACAUUUUCCUACUAUUGAUACAUUGGAUGAGGAUGAUGAUGACCUUGGAGAGGAGGAUUUAAGUUGAAACAAUUUACUCUAGUUGUUAUUUCAUGACUUAGUUAUGGAUUUUUUGUAAAAGUUUAGAACUAUUAUUAUGGUUGACUCUAUUUUCUAUUUCAUGACUUAGUUAUGGCUUUUUGUUAAAGUUUGAAACUAUUAGUAUAGUUGAAUCUAUAAUCUAUUUUAUGAAUUUGUUAUGGUUUUUUGUGAAAGUAAGGAACUAGUAUGUUUUUUUUUAUGAUUCUAAUGAAUUGUUUUCAUGUUUUUAUUUAUGCUAUUUUAUUUUAUAUAUUUUAAAAUAUUAAUUAAUUAUAUAAUGUGAGGCUCAAAAAGCUUACGCCUCAAUGCCUCGAGGCUUACGCCUCGCCUCACGAACACAAAAACGCCUCGCCUUACGCUUUCGCCUUUAAAAACUUUGGCUGAGACCCAAAUAAGUAUCCAGAACCAUCAUCAUCAACCCUUUCACAAGCCUUUGUAUUUGAAGGUCAGAUUGGGAUUGCUUUGAAUGCACUGACACUGACACUGCAAUACACAAUUGUUUCUUCUCCAAUAAAAACACCACAAAGAGGUGAGGGGACUGGUAUUAGCAAAGAAGUGUUGUUAUCUAUAUUGUUCUGAGCCCGAGUACCAAAAACAAAAUCCUCAUCCUCAUCUAUACUCUUCCAUUACAUCCCUAGGCUUUUCAAUGUGAUCCACAUGGCUUACAGGAAUCCAGAAAUAUCGGUCUGUAUAAAAGUUGCUCUUAUGUGGCUCUCCUAGAAAACAUCCCAAUCAAGAUGAUCAACCUAGCUUAGAUGCUCAACACCCCAAACUUACGAGAAAUAGAGGAAUAAAAAGCAAGGAUAGGAGCCAAAGUAAAAACUGAGGGAAGAGCAAAUAGGAAAUCAAGCAAAACAUGAAUGUACAGAGCCUCAUUUCAGGUGACAUCUUUGGGCUAAUAAUAGGUGGAAUUAACAAAGUAGAUAAGCAUGAUUGUUAUAAAUAUCAAGUUCAAGGAUGAAGUCGUGCAUCAGCUACUUAUAGGGGGAGUCAAGGAAACCAAGAUAAGAUCAAAGAGAGCAUGUAUGCAAAUAAACAGAUUUGACAAAAUAGACCAAACAGCUUGUGAAUAUCCUCCUACAAAAAACUACUACACGUGGCAAAAAGUGAUGAAGCAAAAAGAGUCGGGUCCGCAUAUACAUAUCCUAUGCUAUCCUAUUCCUUCAAAUCCAAAGCAACCUGUAUUUUCAAUGGGAUUUGUUGUGAUGAAUUUUACUGGAUUGUAACAUGUAAAUAUGUUAAAAAAGGCUUGGGACAUUCCUAUAUAGUAACGCAUAAAGGUACUUCCAUUGUGAAGUUGUCAAAAUUGCAAAUUUAAAUUACAAAAUUUGAAAACAUAGAGAUGAAAGAUGAUGAAACCUUCUUUGAAAUUUUAUAUUGAACUCAUUAAUAUUAUUAAUUUUCAUUUCAGUCUAAGGGAAAGAAUUCUUUACUCUAAAGUGGUCACAAAAAUAUUAAAAUUCCUUGUCGAGAGAUUUAGAUCUAAAGUGAUCAAUAUAGAAGAAAGUAAAAAUAUUCUAAGUGUAGGUAAACUUGUAGACUCAAAUGACUCUACCUUCUCAUAAAAAAUCCUCAAUUUUAUAAAUUAUAUAGAUUUCUUCAUUUGAUACAAAAUUUGAAUAAAGAUUUUUCAAAUGACAACACAAGGAAAGGGAAAAAAAAAAUCUAUCCAGAUCAUAUUAUUUAAUCACUUAAAUUAUUUAAAAAUAAAAAUGUUUACUGCUAACAUUAUUUAGGUUCAUCUUUCUUUUGAUGGAGGUUAAAAUUCAUAAUUUUGAGGAAAAAGAUGAGGAUUCUCAUUUUUUUUUUCCAUGUAUGAAUGGGAUUCUCAUUGUGUAUAUGUGGGUUACUAAAUGGCAAAUUUGGGGGCCAAUAUGAGGGAAAAAAUGAAGUUGAGUUUGUCACCAAGAAUAGACAUGGUUCCUACAAAGGUGGCAUCUUUAAUUUCAUGUUUGGAUUGGACUUGUCAUGUAACAACUUAACAAGUGAAAUCCCUCAUGAACUUGGAAUGUUAAGUUUGAUUCAUGCAUUGAACUUGUCUCGUAAUCAACUAAAAGGCUCCAUUUCAAAGAGUUUUUGCAAUCUUUCUCAAAUAGAGAGCUUAGACCUUUUUAAUAAUAAACUAAGUGGAAAAAUUCCUCCAAAAUUGGUUAGACUAAACUUUUUAGCAGUGUUCAAUGUUAGCAUAUUCGGAAGAGUUUUAGAUAUGAAUGCAUAAUUUGCAAAAUUUGAUGAAAGUAACUAUGAAGCUAAUCCUUUCCUUUGUGGACCACCAUUAAACAGAAAAUGUAGCAUAAAUGUUGUUGAACCACCUUACCAACCAUUAGAGUCUUCAGAAGAAAGUGAUGCAAAAUGGUAUAAUAUCAAUCUUGUUAUUUUCUUUGCAAAUUUUACUACAUCAUAUAUCAUGAUAUUAUUAGGAAUUUCAACCAUUCUUUACAUUAACCCUUAUUGGUGUCAAAUAUGGUUCAAUUUUAUCGAGAAAUAUAUAUACUUUUGCUAUUAUUUUGUUUCCUAUACUCUUUCCAAGUUAUUAACAUAUUUUGAAUAAUUAGAGAUUUUUGUUUUCAAUAAUAUUUACAUAAUUAACUACUAUUGGUUUCCAUGACAUGGAAAGAAAUGCGGUGAAGGCAACAACCACUUUUUUUUCUCCUCUACUAGUGCAUGAUUGAUAUGAGUUAAAACUUGCACCCUUAUCUUUACUUAAAUUUUCUCAGCUUUUGUUUCAAUUCUUAAUUAUCAUUUCUUUUAUGUAUUGUUUAAUACAAUAUCCUAAACACAUUGCUUUGAAGGUUACUUAUUUAUUAAGCAUGAUAUUUAUUUUCAUAAAGACAAAUUCAAGUUUUUUAGGAAUUUUUAGAAUUAUUAUAAUUUGGAGUUCACAUUAGAGGAAAAAAAGGAAAGAAAAGAAUAGAUAAUUAAAAAAACAAUUUUAGUAAGUAUAAUUUGUCAUCUUCGGUAUAACAAAUGGGAAUUCCAAAAUAAUAUUUCAAUUUGUUAGUCUAUUCCUUAUAAUAUUAAUUGAAAUAUCAAAUAAGGAGUCACGUUUUGAUUUUUUUAUUAGCUUGAAUUGCAUGUCACAUAUAUUUUAAAAUCAAGCAUACCUCAGCAGGGAAGUUCUUGUAACAUGCAUGAACAUGAUAUGAUGAAUUAAAUAAUUUUCUUAAUUGUGUGAGACACAAACCCUCUUUGUUUAAUAAUAAUAAUAAUAAUAAUAAUAUACUACACAUUAUUAAAUCAUAUAUGUAUAUUUAUAGUCGUAUAAUAUAUUUAUAUAAGUAACAAUAAAUUAUAUUGUAUAAGGUAUCGGUAGGAGUUUUCAAUUCCCUCAUAUAAUAAUAUCUAUCAAUAAUUGGAUUGGACACCUUGCUGGCCAUGAGAAUGGACUUGACAUUAACACAUAGCCUUGAGUGGUGUUGAUAUUAUUACUUUGAACCAGAACUGCAGUCAUCUCAAAAACUAUAUUAUAUAGAAAAGCAAAAUAAAAACAUUAGUUAAAAAAAAUGUCAAGAUCCUUGAAAUCACGUUUCAAUAUGUUAAAUUACCAUUUUUUUAAAUAAAUUUUUGAUAGGUUGUGUGAAUAAAUAUAAUUGCUAUGAAGGGUUUCAAUUUAAUUUUACUAGCAAAUCCAUAAUAGGUGAAAAGACAAAACUACCAUUUUUGUUUUUUUUCUUUAUUUACCUUUUUUCUCUCGUAACCUUACUCCUUUCUCCUUUUUGUUUUUUCCUUUUUUAUUAUUAAUUUGUCUUUUUCCUUUUUCUCAACUAACUAUUUUUUUUCUUGUAAUUGUUAUUAUCAUUCUUAUUAUAAAUAUUAUAACCUUAUAUUAUAAAUUUUUAGUUUAGAUUAUAUUUAAACUAACUAAUGUUGUGGUUUUAAUUGACAUGGAAAAGAAUGUGGUUAUACAUGUGAUUGUCGCCUUUUUUUUUUUCAAUUAGUUAACUAUUGAUACAAGUUAAAAGUAAAAAUUGCAAUAUUAUCUUUACGUCAAUUUCACCGAUCUUUUGUUUUUAUUUUCAUGUAUCAUUCCUUUUUUGGUUAUUUAAUUAAAAGGAUUAAAAAAAAAUCACAUAUUCACAAUAAUAACCUUCAUAUUUUAAAAACAUAAAAUAAACAUUUUUUUUUUUUUAUAAAAAUACCCUCCAACUAUAUUUUUUAUAUCCCUAUUUCAAAUCCAAACACUUCUUUUAAAAAUAAUAAUAAUAAAUAAGGGCAAAAAUGUCAAACUGGGAUUAUAUUUAUAAUUUUCAAUAAUUAGAGGUUGUUUUUCCAAUGUAAAAAUUAUUUUGUUCCUUUGGCACAAAUAUUUCUUUCUUUUAUGUAUUUUUUUUAUUCAAAAUAUUAAACACAUUACCCUCAAGGUUACUAUUUAUUAUGAAUGGUGUUUACUUUACAUAACGAGAUAUUCAAAUUUUUUAGAAUUUUUUAAUGUUAAAAUAAUUUGGAGCUUAAUAGGGAAAAAAAAGAAGAAAGAAUAGAUAAUUAGAAAAGCAAUUCAAAAAAAUAAAAUUUAUCCUCUUAAAUUGGUUUUGUGUAAUACUAUAGAAGCCAUUUCUUGAGUUUGAUAUGGUAGAAUUUGGAUUCAUAUUUAUUUUAAAAUCAAGAAAUUCAAGUGUUGGUAGCAUCAAUAGAAUCUUAACAAAUUUGAAAAAAAAUAUUUAGGUAGAUCACAUUUAAAUAUAGCUAAUAGAAUAAAAAAUUAGUAUUAUUAGAAAGACAUGAUCAAUUAAAUCUUUUUUCUUAUCUAUGACACCGACUUUAUUUUUUUACAUAGUCAAUACAAUUUAUUACAACUUAUAUGUCAUUAAAUUAUAUACGUUUAUAUUAAAUAUAAUAUAAGACCAUUAAUGGAAUAAUUAUGCAAGUAAUAUAAAUUGUAUAUAAUAUAAAAAAUUUAAACUCCAUCAAACUAAUGGAAUCUAUUAUAAUAAGUAGACUAGACACCAUGUUGGCCCGAGUUGCAGGCCUGGGCCAGAUUUUAAAGGCUGGGCUUUGAGUUGCCCGUGGGCCUGAGCCAAGGCCUUCUCUUGGUAUCAUCAUUUUGAAGAAAUAAAUUGCUGAUACAGAGAAAAAAACUAUACUAAAUAGAAAAAUAAAUAAAAGCAUUGACUAAAAUGAAGGUCAAGGUCCUUGAAAAAUAAUCUUUAAAUUGUUGCAUAUAUAAUUUCAAUAAUGCAUAAAUAAUUGCAAUAUAUAUGAUAUGAUAAAGAAUUUGGAAUUAAAAGAAGAUUGAUCUAUUUUAAAUGUGGUUGGAAUAUUUCUAAAUUUGUGAUGGGAAGUUAGACAGCCAAUUAGGGAUCCAUAUUAUUUAUUUUCAAUGAUAUGAAUUUAUUUACUUUUAUUAAUAUUCUUAAUGCAACAAUAUAAAAUAUGUCAAUUUUCUAAAAUUUAAAAAGUAAUUGUAAAAGAAUUUUUUUUAAUUAUUUUUCUGAAAUUGAGUUUAUUAUAACAUUUUUCUUUACAUAAAUUUCUUUUUUAUUUUUAUUUUUUUUAAAAUGAGAUAUGAAAAAAAGAGAUCAAUAUUAGUACAAGUAAAACCCAAUAUAUAUAUAAAAAAAAUGAAUAAAUGUUUAUGAAAUAUUUUUUCUCUUUUAAUUCCUAUUCAAUUCAUUACACAAAAUAUUUUUGGUUUUUAUGCUAAAAUUUAUUGUUUAUUCAAAAAUUCUAGUAUACCUAGCUAUCAUAGAAGAGCCCCAAAAUUUUAUUGUUUAAGAGAAUAUGUGUUGCCACUUUAAAAGAUUUAUAUGCAAAAGGGAUUGAUAUUUUUUUCCUUUGGAUAUAUUUAGUUCCCGGAAAAUUUGAGGGAAAAUGUGAGGGAAGAAAAAUAGAGAAGAAAAGUAUAACGAAAUAAAAAGUGAAGGAAAAUGAAAAAUAGAUUUAAAGUUAAUAAAUUAUUUUCAUUGGUUUUUUCAAACUUAUUUUACUUAUUUUAUUCUAUUAAAUAAAGAUUAGCUAAUUUUAAUUAUAUUUGGUUUGAUUUUUAUUAUUUUUCAAAGCAAAACCAAAUAUGAAAAAAAAAACAUUUUUUUUGUUCAUUUUUUCUUUCCUUAUUACUUUUCAAAACUCAAACAUAGCUUUUAGAUUUGGAGCAUGGAAAGAUAAGAGUAUUGAAUAAAGGUUCUAUAUAUGCCCAUGCCCAUGAUACCAUUGAAAAAAAUGGAGAAAGGGUGAAACUUUUUCUCUUCAAUGGAAAUCAAAUAUAAUUAUUUUUAUCUUGUAGUAAUUGAAUGUUAUACUCCAUAAACUCAAAAUUAAAAUAAAUAAAAAAUUUAAAAACUAGGACAAUCCCAUUUUUUUUUUCAAUUUCUUAAAAAGAAAUUAAAUUACAUUUAUUUAUAUCUAUUUUCAUCCCUACCCAAAAAAAUAAAAAAAAAAUUAACAAGGUGGGACAUGUAUGAGAAAUUCUCACACUAACUCUCUCUAGUUUAUUUUUUAUUUUUUAAAAAAAAUCAAUUUCUUUUAAAAAAAUUAAACUAUAUAAAAAAUAAAUAUAAUUUAAAAUAAAAUAAUUUAACAAUUUUUUUUUUAAGAAAAGUAAAUUUCUUAUUUUAUAUAUGUUAAAAAUAAAUAUAAUCUUUUAUUUUUUUAUAUAUAUAAUCGGGUAAGGUAGAGUGGGACAAAGAAAUAAUCCCCUUCGAUUCCAAUAUGAAUUUUUAAAAUAUAAAAUAAAAAUCUUAAACUCAUCCCUAAUCCAUUUAUUUUUAAUCCUAAACUCGUCUUAUUAAGAAUAAGGCAAAGUGAGUACAUGAAAACACUUCUUUUAUCAUCAUCUCUACAAGUUCUAAUGUUUAGACUGCAAUCCAUAUCAAAGAUUUAUAAAGAAAGGACAACGAUGAAUUUCAUAAACAUUUGAAAGCAUAUACGUACAAAGUUUUAAAUAAUAUUGCUUGAGGUGCAAAUAUUAUUUGGCGCACAUAUUGAGGGACUUCAACUUGUUUUUUACAUUAGUAAGUAAUCUUGAAUAUCUAGAGUAACUUGACCAAAAUCUCUUUAAUUUUAUUUUCUUUGAUGGUUGUAUGAUGAAUUAGAAUGCUUAUAUAACAUGAUUAAAAAUUUUAAGAAAAAAAAAACUAAGAAGAAAGAAAGAAGCACCGAUCUUCCAAAUAUUGCUUCCACUUUAAUAUCUAGAAGGCUCUAAGAAAAGAACUUUUUUCAUGAAUCAUAACCCAAGUCGAAAAUAAAUUGAACCCAUUUUCUAAGUUAAAUUUUGAAUUUUUUACUAGUGAAUGCAAAUUGGGAAAAUGUAUAUAAAUAUAAUUAAACUAGAAUAGUAGGUUAGGUUUGUAGGUGGAGUUUGUUUGAAUUGUUGGAACUUCCAAGUCGUUGUGGGUCUAGUGGUCCCAUAGCUCUCUAUUAAUUUCCACCAUCAAUUUUCUGCAAUAAAGUCAAGUCAUUCCUAACCCCUAUAUUAAGUUGGCCUUAAAAGUCAAGUCAUUGAUCAUAGUUACAUUCAUGAAUCACAACCUAAGUCGAAAAUAAAUUGAACCCAUUUUUCAAGUUCAACUUUGAAUUUUUUACUAGUGAAUGCAAAUUGGGAAAACAUAUAUAAAUAUAAUUAAACUAAAAUAGUAGAUUAGGUUUGUAGGUGGAGUCUGCUUAAAUUGUUGAAACUUCCAAGUCAUCGUGGGCCCAGUGGUCCCAUAGCUCUCUAUUAAUUUCCACCAUCAAUUUUUUGCAAUAAAGUCAAGUCAUUCCUAACCCCUAUAUUAAUUUGGCCUUAAAAGUUCAGUCAUUGAUAGCUAAAUCCCAACCCAAGUCAAAAAUAAAUUGAACCCAUUUUCUACGUUCAACUUUGAAUUUUUUUUAAUUGGAAAAAUGUAUAUAAAUACAAUUAAACUAGAAUAGUAGAUUAGGUUUGUAGGUGGAGUCUGCUUGAAUUUGUGAAACUUCCAAGUCAUCGUGGGUCUAGUGGUCCUAUAGCUCUCUAUUAAUUUCCACCAUCAAUUUUCUACAAUAAAGUCAAGUCAUUCCUAACCCCUAUAUUAAUUUGGCCUUAAAAGUCUAGUCAUUGAUAGCUACGUUCAUGAAUCCCAACCCAAGUCAAAAAUAAAUUGAACCCAUUUUCUAAGUUCAACUUUGAAUUCUUUUAAUUGGGAAAAUGUAUAUAAAUACAAUUAAACUAGAAUAGUAUAUUAGGUUUGUAGGUGGAGUCUGCUUGAAUUUGUGAAACUUUCAAGUCGUCAUGGGUCUAGUGGUCCCAUAGCUCUUUAUUAAUUUUCACCAUCAAUUUUUUGCAAUAAAGUCAAGCCAUUCCUAAACCAUAUAUUAAUUUGGCCUUAAAAGUCAAGUCAUUGAUAGUUACGUUCAUGAAUCACAACCCAAGUCUAAAAUAAAUUGAACCCAUUUUCCAAGUUCAACUUUGAUUUUUUUACUAGUGAAUGCAAAUUGGGAAAACGUAUAUAAAUAUAAUUAAACUAGAAUAGUAUAUUAGGUUUGUAGGUGGAGUAAGCUUGAAUUGUUGAAACUUCCAAGUCAUCACGGGUCUAAGGGUUCCAUAGCUCUCUAUUAAUUUUCAUGGUCAAUUUUUAUGAAUUAAGAUUUAAAAGUGAGAAGGGAAUAAAUUUUUUCUUUUUCAAUUCAUUACAAAAAAUAUUUUUGGUUUUUAUGCUAAAAUUUAUUGUUUAUUCAAAAAAUUAAAGUAUAAAUAUAUAUAUAUAUAUCUUGCUAUUAUAGAAGAGCUCCAAAAUUUUUGUGUUUAAGAGAAUAUGUGUUGCCACUUUAGAAGAUUUAUAUACAAAAAGGAUUGAUGUUUCUCCUUUGACUAUGUUUGGUUCCCAAAAUUUGAGGGAAAUAAAAAAAAAAUAGUAAAAAAGAAAAAAUGAAAGAAAAUAAAAAAUAGUUUUAAAGUUAAUAAUUAUUUUUAUAUGUUUUUUCAAACUUAUUUUACUUUUUUUUUCAUUAUAUAAAGAUUAAAUAAUUUUAAAAUGCAUAAAUUUCUAACUAAUUUUAAUUAUAUUUAAUUUUUCUUUUAUAUUUUUUAGAUAGGAUCCGACACAUGAAAAAUCCUUUUUUUUAGCAUUUUUUUUUCUUUUCUUAUUACUUUCCAAUAACCAAAUAUAACCUUUAGAUUUAGCCUUUAAACUUGGAGUAUGGAACGAUACUGAGUAUUGAAAGAAGGUUUUGUAUAUGGCCAUGAUACCAUAGAAAAAAUGGGCGAGAGAGAAAAAACCUUUAUUAAAUGAUAAAUUAUUUUUUUCAAUGGAAAUCAAAUAUAAUUAUUUUUAUAAUAAUUACUUUAUUUUUUUUAAAAAUAAUAAUUUGUUGUUGCAUUAAGUAUUCUUGCAUUUGGAGAAGCAUGUUACUACUUACUACAUAAAUAGAUAUUCAUGGAGUGCAUUCUCUAAAAAGCUCCAGUCUCAUGAAAAUGGAAAGAUGGACCGGCCGGUGAACCGGUUCGAGUUUGGAUUUAUUGGCUGCCUCAGCCUUACACGCAUGAUAGGCUGUUGCAGGUGAAGAACUAAUUAAUUUAAAGCCUUCUUCUAUCCUCUCCUAUUCCUCUAUCACUCCAAAUGUUCCACAUGAUAAUGACAAUUCUUUUGUUAAAUGGUAAAAAAAAAAUUUAAAUAUUAUUUAAAAUUUUUUUUAAUUCUAAAUCCAAUGGAAAUUCGACUCUAAGGUGUGUAGAAGGCCCUAGUGCCCAUGUUGCUAAUUUGAUGAUAGUUAAAUUGUCAUUUUGGGAGAUUCCACACACUAGUAUUCUCAUUUAUAAAAUCAUGAACUUUGGCAUCCUAAUUAAUGCAAUUUAAACUUUUUUUGUUUACAAAUGAAAUAAGAGGCAACAUAUAAACCCAAAAGUUAAUUUUCCUACCAUCUCUAUGCACCAUUUUAGCUUUACUCCAAUAUAUUUUCUAUGAUUAAUUAUUUUCAUUCAAACAAUAAUAUCAAAAUAUUUUAAAAUUAGACAUAUCAUAAUCAAAUACCAUUAUAUUAUUACCGAAUAAUAUUUAAUGUAAUUUAAUUAUCAACGUAUACUUAUAAAAUUUAUAUUUUUUAUUAAUGCAUAUAAUAUUAUUAUCAAAUAUGAUAAAUUAUAUAUAUAUAUAUAUAUAUAUAUAUAUAUUUCUUCAACAAAACAACUUUAAAAUAUCUAUUAUAUUUCUAAUUUCAUUUCUAAGAAGUUUUUUUUUUUUUUUUACAUUUUUAUAAGUUUUGAUCAAUUGUAGGCUAACUGAUAUUUUUUAUAUCAAAAUAUCCACCAAUAUAUCUCUGAUAUAUUAGAUAUAUCCGUAAAAUCGAAAUACCAAUAUAUCCGUGAUUAUCGAUAUUUUUAUCCUUGAGGGAUAAUAACUAAUCUAGUUUUUGCACUUAUUGAUAUUUCUCAACAUUUAGAUUGAUUUGACCAAAAUCUUUUUAAUUUUAUUUUCUUUGAUGGUUAUAUGAUGAAUUAGAAUAGUCAUAUAAACAAAUUUAAGAAAAAACGAUAAAAAAGCUCACAUUUUUCAAAUAUUGGUUUCAACUUUGAAUAUUUUUAUUGGUAAAUGAAAAUUGUGAAAAACCUACUAAUGCUAAUACUUUUCACCACAUAAUUAAAUAUAAUAAACUAGAAUAGUGAUUCAUUGAUGUCUUAUAAAGCUACAUGCCUACUUUGACUUGUUAGUUGAUUUUUGUAGGCAGAGUCCAUUUCCAUAUGAAUUGUUGAAACUUCCAAGUCCUUGUGGGUCUAGUGGUCUCUCUAAUAAUUCCCACCAUUAAUUUUUUGUGAUGAAGUGACGUCAUUGAUAGCUACUAUAUCAAUUUGCUAUUAAAAGUCAAGUCAUUGAUAAUUACUAUUCAAUCUUUUUCAAUAUGGAAAUUGGAAUCUCUACUCUUCUCAUUGUUCAUUUUUAGGUAAUGUGAGAAUGUGAGAAUGUGUGAACAUAAAUGUCUUCUAAUCAACCAAUUUUUUUUGAAAAAAACAUGUACAAAAUUGCAAACUUGCAAAAUCAAACUUUCUUGUUGAAUAACCAUAGCUUGAUGGUUUUGAAGAAUCAAAGGAUGAAUCAUAAAAGGGUAUUUGAUAAAAAAUAAAAAUUAAAAAAAUUAAAAGACAACUACUCCCUUAGGUGUAAUAAGUGUAUUUGGUAGCACAAAUUUCCUACCACUUAUUAUUUUUUCCUUUCUUAAAAAAUUAUUUACUCUAUUAAAUAAACUAACCUUGGCUUAUCACUUAUAGCAAAAUAGGUUAAGUACUUUUUAAAAUUUUAUAAUAUUAGAUUUACAUUUUUAUCCUUCAAAAUUUCAUUAAUGUUAGAUUCUUCUAUAUGCUUAACUAAUAAAUAAUUUUUAGCAUUUUUCUUUUCUUAUAAACAUAAAAAAAUAAAAAUAUUAUUAACUUAUUGGUAUAUUUUAAAAUUUUAAUUAGAUUUAAGCUUUUAUUUAUUUGGAUUACCAAUUAUACAUAUAAAUCCUUUAUUAUUAUUGUUAUUAUUGAAAGAAAGGGGUUGAAUAGGUAGUCCCUCAAUCCCCAAAUUAAAUUCUUUAUUGCCUACUUUUGGUUUAUUCCUUUACAUGAAUUCCUUGGUGAGAGUAAACAUUUCAUUAAUAGAUAAAUAAAAUUGAUUCCAUAUCAUAGGGUAUAAUGUGGAAAAAUCACCAGUCUCAUGUGUUCCUUAGUGGAUCCUUUGGAGCCCUUAUCAAAGUUUCAUGAUGAAACCAUUGACUUUUGUUUAACCCAAAUGUGCUUUCAAGACAAAUCUUGAAAUAUUUGAGAGAUGGAGGUUCAAGUCUUUUAUGAACGACCAUGUUCUCUUAGGGUUCAUGAAAAUUCACACCUUUUGAUAAAUAAAACUUAUCUAUUUAUACGUCUAAAACCCAGUAUUUAUUUAUUUAAUUAUAGAAAGUUUCUUAGUUUUAAAAACAUUUCAAAAAUCAUUUUUAGAAUCAAAUAAUAAUUUUAGAGAUAAACACAAUAUUAAAAUUUAACAAAAACAAAAUUUCGAAUUAAAAACACAAUAUAAACUAAAUUACAAAAUAUAAAGGAAUUUUUAUCCUAAUUUCUUGUUUCAAAACCAAAUGGAACACCUAGAAGGGGAGUGAAUGGGUGAUUUUAAAAUUUUUCAAUAAUGAUUUAUAAGUUAUACCCAAUUCUUUUACCCUGCGAGUUGUUAGGGACUAUCAAUUCUUUCCUUUUGGCAAUUCAAACAAUAUAUCAAAUAAUAAAAAGAUAUAAAUAAUGAGACAUAAAGAUUUUUACAUGGAAAACCCCCCACACUAACCAUGGAGAUAAAAAGCCAUGGAGUCUAAGACCUAUUAAUCUAAAUUCACUGUACGAAAUCAAGUUACACAAAUUUAUUUGAUAGCUUUAACUUAAAGACUUACUCUCCGGUACUGACAACUUGAUUCACAUCCACAACGUAGCAACCCUCAAUUACUCCAAUGGAUCACUUCAAGCUUACUAAAAGGAUGAAGGCCUUCAAACCAAGAUUCAAAAAUCAAUUCCUUGAAUGAAAGAUCAGGGAUGGUGUGCCACUUUAGGCUUUCUCUCUAAGAACUCUAAAAUGAUCUCCUCAAUGAAAACCUCUUAAACAAAAUGAGAUAUUUCCCCACAAUCUCUAAUCCUCAAGGGGUUAUAAUGAGAUAUUUAUAAGCAACUAAGUUGAAGAGUUUCAGUUUUGGAACAUGACCGCUCGAGCCAACACACUUCCUACUUGAGCGUUUCGGGCACUUGAGCGGUAAGGCUCGCUUGAGUUGUCCUAAGCGCUUGAGCAUUCCAAGCUACUUGAGCAAUCUUGCUCUAUUUCAAAAGUUAAUUUUAAAUCAUUUUAAGUUCAAAACAAAAUUGAUUCCCUUUAUACCUCAAAGUAGCCUAACUUACAAACCAAACUUUUUUAGAUAUACUUGUGACUUCCUGGUUGGACGAACAACUCUUAAUCUUCAAUGGAAAGCAAGUCAUUAUCUAAAAAGAUUUAUAUGGUCAAACAUAAAAAAACAAAAACAAAAAAAUUGCCAACAUAACAACAAGACUCAAUGUCCUAACAAUCUCCCCCUUUGGCAAUUUUAUGACAAAAACAACAUUACAUAUACCCACUUGAACUCUCAUAAUGGAGUUUAAUAAUACACAUUAAUGUUCAAUUAAAAAUAAACUAAGGGAAUACUUUGUAUCACUUUGUAGUAUUUGUCUUCCAACUUUGUAACCUACACACAUAUAGAAAACUAUACCAAAGGUAAAGCAAUGUGUAGGAUAAGAUAUGAUCAAGAAAGCAAAAUAGGAUAAUUGAAAAUUUUGCUUGAUGCCUUGUGAAAGCAUGAAAAGGGAACAAAUUCAUAUAGUAAUACCAAGGGACAAAGCAAAACUAGAGAAGAAUAUAUAUGUAUGCAAAUCAACCAAACAUAAUAAAAGCUACAUAAGAUGCAAUAGAUCAAUAAUAAUGCCUAGGGGUCUAUCUCCAACCAGAAAAUAGGGAGUGAAAAUCAUAGGAAGAACCUUCUGUGACUUAGAAAGGUUCUAGAGAGAUAGUCAAUUCAAACAUAAAUAUCUUGCUAGAAACAUCUAUGUUAUGUAUCUCUCUAAACCUUCUAAGUUAUGCUUUCAUUAGUUGAUUUGGUUUUUCUCCAAUGUCUCAGGUUUAAUUUCCUCUAAUAUUUCAAUUAGAGAGAAAUUGGUAGUCGAUUGACUUAGUGGGUGUUUGGUAAAACUUAAUACUUAUUAUUUAAUGAUUAACUUUAAGUUAAAUUGUUCUUAAGUUAUUAAUUUAAAAUUUAUUACUUAUUUUGUAUUUAAGUACUAGGGUUAUUUGAAAAAAUCGACUUAAAAUUUAUUCUAAAUCAUCAAAAUGACACAUUUACCCUUAUUAAUUUUAACUUAUAUUUAUUUUCAUUAAUUUUAAACAAUAAAUUUAUUCAUAAAACAUCUAUAUUUUUGUAGAUACAUAACCAUAAAAUAUUUACUAUAAAAAAUGAGUCAUGGAUGUAGAAUUAUAAUUCUAAAAUAUACACUUAUGAGUGUGGGUAAAUAAGGCAAAAAUGAUUUGAGAUUAAGAGUAAAGUUAAUUAUUUUGACUUAAGACUUCAAGUUAAAAAUAACUUUAAGUUGCAAUAUUAAGUUAUUUUAUCAAACAUGCUUAAUUUACUUAACAACUUAAAUUAAGUUAUUAAGUUGAAUUAUCAAACACCCCACUAGUAGUAUGUUGAAAAUUCACACCUUUUGAUAAAUAAAACUUAUCUAUUUAUACGUCUAAAACCCAGUAUUUAUUUAUUUAAUUAGAGAAAGUUUCUUAGUUUUAAAAACAUUUCAAAAAUCAUUUUUAGAAUCAAAUAACAAUUUUAGAGAUAAACACAAUAUUAAAAUUUAACAAAAACAAAAUUUCGAAUUAAAAACACAAUAUAAACUAAAUUACAAAAUAUAAAGUAAUUUUUAUCCUAAUUUCUUGUUUCAAAACCAAAUGGAACACUUAGAAGGGGAGUGAAUGGGUGAUUUUAAAUUUUUUCAAUAAUGAUUUAUAAGUUAUACCCAAUUCUUUUACCCUACGAGUUGUUAGGGACUAUCAAUUCUUUCCUUUUGGCAAUUCAAACAAUAUAUCAAAUAAUAAAAAGAUAUAAAUAAUGAGACAUAAAUAUUUUUACGUGGAAAACCCCCCACACUAACCAUGGAGAUAAAAAGCUAUGGAGUGUAAGACCUAUUAAUCUAAAUUCACUGUACGAAAUCAAGUUACACAAAUUUAUUUGACAGCUUUACCUUAAAGACUUACUCUCCGGUACUGACAACUUGAUUCACAUCCACGACGUAGCAACCCUUGAUUACUCCAAUGGAUCACUUCAAGCUUACUAAAAGGAUGAAGGCCUUCACACCAAGAUUCAAAAAUCAAUUCCUUGAAUGAAAUAUCAGGGAUGGUGUGCCACUUUAGGCUUUCUCUCUAAGAACUCUAAAAUGAUCUCCUCAAUGAAAACCUCUUAAACAAAAUGAGAUAUUUUCCCACAAUCUCUAAUCCUCAAGGGGUUAUAAUGAGAUAUUUAUAAGCAACUAAGUUGAAGAGUUUCGGUUUUGGAAGGUUUCUUAAUUGAAUUUGUGUGAAAAACUCAACAGAAUCAACAUGACCGCUCGAGCCAGCACACUUCCCACUUGAGCAUUUCGGGCACUUGAGCGGUAAGGCUCGCUUGAGUUGUCCUAAGCGCUUGAGCAUUCCAGGCUACUUGAGCAAUCUUGCUCUAUUUCAAAAGUUAAUUUUAAAUCAUUUUAAGUUCAAAACAAAAUUGAUUCCUUUUAUACCUCAAAGGAACCUAACUUGCCACAAACCAAACCUUUUUAGAUAUACUUGUGACUUCUUGGUUGGACGAACAACAACUCUUAAUCUUCAAUGGAGAGCAAGUCACUAUCUAAAAAGAUUUAUAUGAUCAAACAUAAAAAAACAAAAAAAUUGCCAACAUCACAACAAGACUCAAUGUCCAUGCAUGGUCACCUGAAAGUUGACUCCAACCACAAUAUAAUGCAUGUUCUCAUAGAACAUGUGAACAAGAUGGAGAUAGAAAGUCCCUUAGAGAGAAAACAGAGUCUUCUAACCCUACUCUUGAAUGAUGAUAGGGAAGACAGUGUCCUGAAAAGCUUAGAGGUUAAUGGCAUGUUGAGGCUCGACACACCGAUAUGUGAAAGAAGCGUAAUAAUGGUCCCAUGCCACCUGGCAGUGAAAGCGCUCAAUCGAAAGUGCAUCUAGGUUAAAAAGACCCUAGAGUGGGAUGCCCUAGACGGUUUUCAGUGACCUAGGAAAGGUCACCUCCCUCUGAAAUCUAUGACUAGCCAUAUCUAAGGUAUAUAAUAUGAAAAAAAAAAAGCUAAAGAAAAACUAAAGAAAAUCCAAAGAAAAGCUAAACCACUAAAAAUGUUAAACUCAAUGCGUCGAACAAUACUAUACAAAUGGAAAUGAAAAAUAUGAAGCGAACUGACCUCAGAAGACAAAAGGACAGUUACCCAGAGGGCUCGAAGAGGAAUAGGAAAGUUUGAAAUGAAUAUUGUGUGAUGGAUGACCUUUAUAUAGCUUAUAGGAGUGCUUGAUGCAGAUUAGCACUUGAGCGUCAUGACUAACUUAAAUCAAAUUAUUUAUUAAUAUGGAAAUAUUUUAUAAGUUUCAAAGGAAGUAUUCAAUUUAGAACCUUUUUAGAAUUUUUUUGAAAGAAACAAAAAUAAAGCGUGAAAUAUUAUGUGUUAAAGGUGUUAGAAGACAAUAUUGUCUAAUCAAAAGCCUUACACAUUCCCAAAAAAAAAAAAAAAAAAGGAAAAAAAAAGAUACUAUAUAAGAUUUUGAUCACAUCUAAUAGAAACUAAUAUUUAGCAACAUAUCACCAAGCACUAUCUUAUCAGAAAGCUCUAACAUGUUGGAAAUUUAUGUAAGGUUCCAUAACAACUAACAACUUUUUAUGACGACUCGGUAAUGGACCAUUUGCACUUCAACUACAUUAUUAAAUUUAAAUCAUAUUAGAAUAUAAUUGACUUCUCUUUUGUGAGGUUACAUAUCUUGUAGGAUGGGAUAGGUGAUUCAUUUCAUAUAUGAAAUUUUCUUAAUUUAGUAAUGCUUCCAAGUUCAUUAUGAAUCUAAUGGUAUCACAACUCCUUGAAUAUUUGUAAUCUGUAAUCUUUGCUUCAACUUCUCAAGUCUAGUCAUUUUAUCGGCAUAACUAGUUUGCUUCAAUUAUCUCUCAACUUUAUUAUAAAACUAAGGGAAAGGAUUGUCACUCAUUUUAUAUUAACUUAACCAAACAUCUUUAUAUAUAUAUAUAUAUAUAUAUAUUGUAAAUUUAGGAAAAAUUCAUCCAUUAGCCAUAGUAAGUAAGAAUCAAAUAAGGGAUAUGUAAGCCAAUGGUGAUAUUGAUGGCGUUAAAUCAAUGACAUAGUAGAAAAGUGGAUUGUCUAUUUUCAAACCUUUAUAUUUUCAUGCAAUAGUAAAAAGGUUAAGGCAUCACUUGAAAAGUAGUUCGUUUUUUACCUUGGACUAUGAUUUAUGAAUAAAGUUCUUCUGUUGUAUACCUUUUGUGAUGCCCCAACCUAAUUUAGGGGUAAAAAAAUAAUUUAGAAAAAAAUAAAUAAAAAGUUAAAUAAAUUUAAUUAAGGUAAAAAUGUAUUUUUGUAUUUAAAAUUCCUAGGUAUCAAUUAUAUAUUUCUUGUCUUCUCUAUUCAAAAAACCAUAUUACACAAAAAUCAAAUAUCAGAGAACAUAGGACAACGCAGGGUUGAAGAUUUGGAGGUUUAGGGUUGAAGAUUAGUUUUCCAGGUAAGAUUCUAACCCUUAAAUUAGUAUUUUAGAUUCGUUAAUUAGUUUGAACACUUUAGAUAUUCUUUGAAAAAUCUGAAUAUACAUUAGGGUUUGUUAAUUUAAUUUUUAAAUAAAAAAGAUUGAAAAUUUAUGAACAUAAGUAGAGUUAUUAUUAAAGAUUGAAAAUUUUUGAAUAUUUGAAUUAAAAAUCUAGAAAAAAAAGAAGAAAAUAAAUUAUAGCUUUGGACGUGGAAAAAAAUUAAUAUUAAUUAAUAAAUAAAACCUAUGAGUAUGGAAGUAGAAAAAUAUGAGAGUUGAAAGCAAAGAAAAAAAAAGAGAAUAAGGUUUUGUGGUUGUACAUGCCUCCUUAGUGGAAAAAAAAAAUACAAGGUUGCUUGCAAUAGGAUAUGACAAAGAGAGAGAGAUAAAUGCUUAGAUGUUGAUUUUUGUGGGGAAAAAAAGAUUGGGUAAUGUAGGAGAGAAAUAGGUAGCACUUUUAGAGUCGGUGGAGUUGUUGUAAAAGCUCGUAGGGGUAAUUGUUAGGUAGUAGUAGGGUAUGAGAUUAAUUGUUAGGAAACAUUAGGACUUGAAAUAAUAAUAAUUGCUUCUAGUAAAAGUUUUAAUUUAGUUUAAGUAUAUAAAAGAAAUAGAUGAUUAGAAUAAGAUUUGGAAGGAAUAUGAAUUCAUAAAAAUUUCAAAAUUUACUAAUUUAGAUUAUUAUUGUUUUGGAAGUUGAAUAUAAUAUAGGUGAUAAUAUUAUUAAUAUAGGAAAUGAUUAAGAUUCUCAAACCUACAAUUUUAGAUAAAUAGUUAAUAGUAAUAGUUGAUUUUUUAUUUUUUUUUUAUUUUUUAUUUUUUAUGUUAUGUUAAGUGAAUAAUGGAUUCUUUGAUUAAUUCUCUAAGGUUUCUAAGUGCUUCUUUAAGGUAAGGGAUAUUAAUACUGAUUUUGUAAAUGAAAAUAUUUCUUUUUAUAAGUUAUUUUAAAUUAUGAAAAUUUUUAUUUUUAUUUAUGCAUGGAUCAAAUAUAUAUUUUUUCAUGAGAAACAUGUUUGGGCAAUUUCUUUGUUUAUAAAUAAAUAAAUGAAAACUUUGGAAAUAUAAUGUUUUGUUUUGUAAGUUUAAAAUAAUGAAAUAAAGUUUUUGACUCUGGUUUAUAUGACCUUAGUUAAUAGGUUAUAAUUGUUGACAUUUUCAGCUCCAGUCAACGAUUAUAAUUGUUGACAUUUUCGGCUCUCCAAUCAAUGAUUAUAAUUGUUGAGAUUUUCAACCCUAGCCAACGGGUUAUAAUAGUUGACCUUAUAGCCCUAGUCAACAGAUAUAAUUGUUAACCUUUGGCUUUUCCCAUCUUAAAAAGAACAAAUUUAAGGCUAGCCAUUUAUUUGUAAAGUCCCACCUAACUAAGUACCAUUUGUUAUUUAAUAACCAGAGUAAAGAUAUUUUGAAUGUAUUUGAUGUGAAAUUGUUGUGAUAUUAAUAUGAAAAUGUUUGGUUGAAAAGUUCAAAUGUUUAAUGCAUGUUGAAUUCAAAAGUUUUUAUGAAAAUGAUUAUAUGUUAUAUCUCUUAUUUGUAAGUUUGAUCCAUGAAACUGUAUUAAUAUUCCUUAUUGGACUUUGAGCUCAUUCCCCUUUAUUGAGAAUUUUUUUUCGUAUUCUCAGUUUGGGCAAGGAGUGAUGACUGGGUUGGGGAAUUUUCUUUACUAUGGUUUUGCUUCAAUCUUAUUUUGGACAUUGUUUAGAUGUUAAAAUUUAAUUCCCAUUUAAAUUAUUUGGGUUUGGAGUUAUUUGGACGAUAAAACUUUGAUUGAUGUGUUAGUUUUAAAGUUGAGAAUUGAAAAUUAUAGAAUUUAUUUAUCUUACUACUUUGAACAGAAAUUUAGUAAUUGGAGAUCAUCCAGUUACAAGAUGAAUAUUUGAGUCGUUUCAAGUCGUUUCCACUUUGAGUGUUCAGGCUUAGGGUGUGAAAUGAUCGUUAUGCCCUUGGAGUGGGUAUAUUGUUUAUUUGAAUUUAAUGGUCCCCGAACUCCUUAAUUACUCAUAACUUUAUAUCAGCUUCUCAAAGUUAAGUUGUUUUACAACUACUAUCUAGCUACUUUUCUCUACUAUGACAACUUUAUUACAUAGUGAUUAAUUGAAAGAAUCUACAUGUCUUAUUUCAUAGGAUAGUUGAUUUUUUUACUCAAUGAAUUUUGCUUUUAUUAUUGAAAAUUUCAAAUCAUUGUAGUCCAACAAUUUCCUAUCCAUUGGUAAUUUCAUAUUACAUUUCCAAAGUCUAAUCAUUUAAAAACACUUGUAGUUAAUAUAUUGGCAAUUGCAUUGUGGGAAGUUGUUCACUUGAUUUUAAUGUUGAAACUUUCAAAUUUUUGUAGUCCAACAAUUCCCUAUCCAUUGGUAAUUUCAUAUCACAUUUUCAAAGUAUAAUACUUGUAUAUAGUAUAUUUGGUGAUUGUAGAGUGGAAAGUUGAUCAUUUUCAUGAAGACCUCUAAAAUAGAAUUUUUUUUCAUUCCAUUUAUUAAAGAAUUUCAUUAAUUGAACAUAUAUGUUUUUUUAACCGAAAAGUAGAGGCCACAUUAUACGAGGCCUUAGGUGACAAUACUAGGUGAGGGCUUUUUUUUUUAAUUUAUUUAUUACGAAAUAUAAAUAAUAUUAUUUAUUGUAUAAUAAAGAUUAUUAUAAUAUAUUUUUUAUAGAUGAAAAAAAAUAUUAAUUGAGUUUUAUUUUUUUAAAUAAUUGUUUUCAAUAAAUAACGUAUUUGUAAAAAGAAAACUAUAAAAUAUAUGCAUUUGAAAAAUAUUUAAUUUUUAUUUGAUUUAGUAUCAAUUAAUAUUUGUAAUAUUUUUUAAUAUUAUAGAAGUUAACAUACUCAAUUAAGAUAUUCAAGAUCAAGAGAAUAUUUGAGAUUGAAUUAAUUUCUUUAUUGUUUAUGUUUUAGUAAAUUUUUAUAUCCAUUAAAAUUUUUUUAUUGUUUAUUUUUCAUUCAAUGUUUGCAUUUUGUAAUAGAUAUUAAAACAAAUUUUUUUCUUGUAUGUUAAAAAAAUAUUUCAAUGUCUUUAAAAAUAAAAUAUUGUAGUAAAAUCAAAAUUACAUUGUGAAACUUUAAGCGAAUGUUUUAUACUAAAGAAGUGCCAAUUAAAGUAAGCAUGCAUCUACAAUUGUAAUUUAGAUGUCAUAUUGAAACAAUAGUUCUCUUUGACUAUAUCAUAAAAUUUGGUUCGAAUUACUUUAAGUCAUCUUGUAGAUUUUCAAGUUCCAAUGAUAUGCAUCAAGUAUGUGCAACAUACUUGAUAUGACUAAUAUUUUCUUAAGUAAUUGGACACUUUUUUCUAUAAAUUUACUUGAUUAUCAAUGAAUACUUUUAUGUAAGGUAUUGAUAUAAUUCGAUAAAUAUUUUAAAAUAGUAUUAGAAUAGCUUUGCUCUUUCCUAAUUAACAAAUUUACUAAAUUAACUUAUAUAUAUUUGUUUAUUUUAAUUUACUGGUAUUUGACUCAAUUUGUUAUUAUUUUUAAAAUUAUAGGAAAACCAUUAUUUAUAGAGUUUAAUUAUAUUUGGUAAAUUAUCUUUUUAAGUUUGACUAGGAUUAGGAAACUAUUAAUUUAAGAUUAAUCCAUAAGGCUCUAUAAAUUUGCAGUUUUAUAUAACAUUUAAAAAAAGAAAGAAAAAGUAAGAAAAAGUGAAGAGAGAUAGGCAAAGAGUGCAUUGGGUUUUAGAUAGAGAAAGGUCGAGAGAGUUUUGAUUACUACUCAAAAAGAACAUAUUUUAGAUAGUAAUUCUCAUGGGUUUCACAUCUUUUGAGUAUUAAUUAUGCCUAAAAAUGCUCAAUUAACAUGUUGUUGCCCUUGCAAGAGUUACUAAUAAGUUUUAUAAAGUUUUGGAGUCAUUUCAAGUUAUGAUUUUAAUAAAUUGGUGAUGAAAGAGAUGAAUUGAUUUGAAGAAGGAAAAUAAUAUUGAUGAUGAUCCAAAUGCAUAAUGAAAGAAGCAAUAUAAUUAGUUUGAUCGGGAUUUGCUGCUAAUUUGGAGGUAGUUAAGGUGGAGUCAAAAGAAGAAAAUGGAAGAAAUGACAAAGAGGAACUUAAAAACCAAAUGUUGCAGAUUUGUAUGAUCAUUCAAAAAUUACAUGACUAUGCCAAAUGGAUUAGAGAAGGAAAAUUGACUAUAGUAUAAGGAGGAUGCUUAAGUUGAUUUAGCAUGAACAUGAGAAAAUUUCGCAUGAACAUGCGAAAAUUUUGCACAAUCAUGCGAAAUGGUCCAGAAAGCUCUCUAAUGUUGUUGUUGCUCCACUAAUUUCGCACCACCAUGCGAAAUCGAUCUUUUCAUGCAAAAUGGCUGAAGCUCAUGUGAAAUCAUGAUUUUGAUGCUAAACUCCAGAUUUGUGAAUUUGGAAGGUUUUAGAAGACCAAUGAGAGGUUGCCAAGUGUCCACUUGACCUUGGUCUAUAAAUAGAAACUUGAAUUUCCCAUGUAAAGAGCUUUGUGAUACUUUUGAUUUUAGAUUUUUCUAGAAACUCUUUCUCUAAAUAGAAUUCUAUAUUUUCUUUAAUUUUCCCUCAUUUUCUCAUUAGCCAAACAUGCCUAGUGAGACCAAAUUUCCAAGUAUGAGUGACUAAAUCUCGUUUUUCUCAGAGGAAUGAGGAUCUAGAGGCAAGAUCUAUGGUGAAUUAUAGAAAUGAGUUUUAAUUGCAAAUGUAAUUUGAUUCAAUUGAUUGAUUAAUUGAAAUUCGAGGAUUUUUCUCUUCAAAUUGUCCUGAAUGACAAUUACAUUGCAAACUAGGCAGAUUAAUUAAAUUCUUAAAGUUAGAUUUAAUGAGACUGAAUAGUUGCAUUGUAUGAAUCAUUGGAAGAUGAUUUAAGAUGAAUUGAAUAUAUAAUUUAAAUUCAUAUCUUGGAUUAAAUAACCUAAUUUGAAGAGAAAUUAGGUUUAGACUUAAAGGGAAAUCUAAAAUCGGUUUAGAUAAGAAUUUAGGUUUUCAAUCUAACUUGAUGAAAAAUAAAUCUCAACAUUUAUUCACCAUGGAAAUUGUUUUCUAAAAAAUAUUAACUCUGAGAAUUCCUUUUCCUUAUCAGUUUUCUUAUAUUCUACAUUAUAUUAUUCUUUUCGAUUAGAAAUCAUUGUUAUUUUGAUUUUUCGUGAAUUGUCAAAUCAAUUUCACUUGACCAUAAUCAUUUCUUUUCCUCUCAUUUAAACCUUAAUUAUCGAGAAUAAUCCAUCCCAAUAGAAGACACCUAAGACCACUAUACUACUGUAGCUUUUGCUAAAAAACCUUUUUGAUCGGGCAAGAGUUACCUUAGCAUAGUUGAAUUAGGUUAUAAAUUUUUUAUCCAAUAAACAACAAAAAAAUCAAUUGAUCAAGUUUACAUUGUGUAUUCUUGAAUUUUAUUAAUAAAUUUGAUCCCCUUUUUUGAAGCGAUUACACCAAACCAAGUAAAUAUUUUAUCUACUUCAUUUGCUUUAUUUUUUCUAUUAAGUUUAGGUGUUGCAAUUUUUAAGAGUCAUGGUGAGAAGAUUGUGGGAAAAAUUAUUUUAAGGAUGGAGUCGAACAUAAAAUAUGAAAUUGAGUCCUUUGAUGGAAAUAAUAAUUUUAAUAUUUGAUAGAGUAUUAUUAAAGAUGUUUUGAUACAACAAAGACUUCUCAAAGCAUUACAAGGCAAAAAAAACUAGAGAGCAUGACAAAUAAAGAAAUGAAAGAAUUACAAGCAAGAGUUGUAAGUACUAUUUGUUUAAGUCUUAAAAAUGAAAUACAUUGUUUUGAAUGAAAAAAAUAUUCUUUUAGGGGUGUCAAUUGCUCUUUUAGAGACCAAAAAUAUUAAGCAAUCAAGUAGUUCAUCUCAUAUUGGACAAACUGUUAUGAUGAAUUCUAAACCAUAUCAUCAUAGGAGUAAAUCGAAAGAAAAGUAUCUGAUAGGAGGAUGAUCAUUCCAUUCACACUUAUAGAGGAAUAUGAAGUAUUAUUNNNNNNNNNNNNNNNNNNNNNNNNNNNNNNNNNNNNNNNNNNNNNNNNNNNNNNNNNNNNNNNNNNUAGUGAUUGUUUUAUGUUGAAGAAAGGCUAAUUAAAGUAAACAUGCAUCUAAAAUUAUAAUUUAGAUGUUGUACUCAAAUAGUUGCUCUCCUCGAUUAUAUCAUAAAAUUUGGUUUGAAGUCUAAGUCAUCUAAUAAUUUUCUAGUUCCAAUUACAUGCAUCAAACAUGUGUGUUAGGAAGUGUUGCAAAUUACUAAUUAGUAUAUAUUCUUUUUUUUUUAAGAAUAUUGUAUUAAAUAUUUCUAGGUUGAUAUAUUAUUGUAAUAUUAGACUUCUUUAUAGAAUAAGGAAGGUUGUUGAAAAUAUCCCUAUAAAUAUUCUAGUUCAUAAGGGGAAAAAGUUUUGAGAUGAAGAUGGACCCAUAAAGACUAUACAAGGUGGAUAGAGAUGUGAGGAAGAACGAGAGGUACCCGAUGGAGCGAGAGGGCUCGUGGUAGGGUAUAGGUACGAAGAGUGAGGAAACAUGGGAUGUUUUGGGAACUCAAUAUUUGUAUCUAGUUAUGUCCUCUAUAAGUUCUAGUUCUGUCAUCUGCAUUGUUCUCUAUUUUAUAGUGGAAUGAUUCUCUCUUAUCUGUGGACGUAGGCAUGGUUUUCGAACCACGUUAAAACCUUGUGUACCGUUUGUGUUGAUUUUUUUUAUCUUUAUUUUCUUGAUUAAUGAAGUUUGCAUCAAAGCUUCUGUCAACGUAACAAACUUGUAUCAAAGUUUGGGAUAAAGAUUUCUAGAAGAGUAAAAGAUCAUAGAGCACACAAGAUGAAAACAAAAGGAAUUUUUAGUGAAAAAGGAGUCAAUUGCUCUCUCGUGGUGAUAUGAUAUAAAAAGUUUAUGUCAUGGAAAGUUUGAAGAUUUACUUCAUGGAAUCUGGUCCAAAAUGGAGAUUGUUAAUAAGUGUCCCAAAUUCCUAAUUAGUAUAGAUUUUUUUUUUUGUAAAGAAUAUUGUAUAGAAUAUUUCUAGGUUGAUAUAUUAUUGUAAUAUUAGACUUCCUUAUAGAAUAAGGAAGGUUGUUGAAAAUAUCUUUAUAAAUAUUCUAGGUCAUGAGGGAAAAAAGUAUGAGAUGAAGAUGGGCCCUAUAAAAACUAUAUGAGGUGGAUAAAGAUGUGAGGAAGAAUGAGAGGUACUCAAUGGAAUGAGAGGGCUCGUGGUAGGGUAUGGAUACAAAGAGUGGGGAAAUAUGGGAUGUUUUGGGAACCUAUUAGUUGUAUCUAGUUCUGUCAUCUAUAAUGUUCUAGUUACGUCCUCUAUAAUGUUCUCUAUUGUAUAGUGGAAUGAUUCUCUUUCAUCCGUGGAUGUAGGCAUGGUUGUCGAACCACAUUAAAACCUCGUGUACUAUUUGUUUUAUUUUUAAAUUUUUUUUAAUCUUUGUUUCUUGAUUAAUGAUGUGUGCAUCAAAGCUUCCAUCUACGUAACAAACUGGUAUCAGAGCUUGGGUUGAAGAUUUUUGGAAUAGUAAAAGAUCACAAAGCACACAAGAUGAAAACAAAAGGAAUUUUUAGUGAAUGUGGAGUCAAUUGUUCUCUCGUGGUGAUAUGAUACAAAAAGUUUGUGUCAUGGAGGGUUUAAUGAUUGACUCCGUGGAAUUUGGUCCAAGGUAGAGAUUGUUAGGAAGUGUCCCAAAUUCCUAAUUAGUAUAGAUUUUUUUUUUUUAAAGAAUAUUGUAUAGAAUAUUUCUAGGUUGACAUAUUAUUGUAAUAUUAGACUUCCUUAUAGAAUAAGGAAUGUUGUUGGAAAUAUUUUUAUAAAUAUUUUAAGUCAUGAGGGGAAAAAUUUAUGAGAUGAAGAUGGGCCUAUAAAGACCAUAUGAGAUGGAUAGAGAUGUGAGGAAGAAUCGGAGGUACCCAGUGGAGCGAGAGAGUUCGUGGUAGGGUGUGAAUAUGAAGAGUGGGGAAACAUGGGAUGUUUUGGGAACCCAAUAGUUGUAUCUAGUUCUGACAUCUAUAAUGUUCUGGUUCUGUCAUCUAUAAUGUUCUGGUUUUGUCCUCUGUAAUGUUCUUUAUUGUAUAGUGGAAUUAUUCUCUCUCAUCUAUAUAGGCAAGUUGCUAAACCACGUUAAAACCUCGAAUACCUUUUGUGUUGAUUUUUUUUAUCUUUGUGUUCUUGAUUAACGAUGCUUGCAUCAAAGCUUCUACCAACGUAACAAUGUGCAACAUAUUUGAUAUAACUUAUAUUUUCUUAAGUAAUUGAACACUUUUUUCUAUAAAUUUACUUGAUGAUCAAUGAGUACCUACAUAUACGGUAUUGACAUAGUUUGAUAAACAUUUUAAAAUAGUAUUAGAAUGGCUUUUCUUUUUCCCAAUUAACAAAUUUAUCAAAUACACACACACACACACACACACAAAAUACUCAUUAGUAUGUCUUUUAUGAAAAAACUAUGUUUGUUUAUUUGAAUUUAGUAGCCAUUCAAUUCCUUAGUUACUCAUAAACUUUUUAUCACCUUCUUAAAGUCAAGUCAUUUACAAUUAUUUUCAAGUCAUUUACAAUUAUUUUAGCCUUCUCCAUUAUGACAACUUUAUAAGAUAGUGAUUGAUUGGAAGAAUCUACAUGCCUUUGUUGAUAGUAUAAUUGUUUUUCUUUUUUUUCGUAUUCAAAGAAUCUUGCUUCUGUUAUUGAAACUUUCAAAUCCUUUAUGUCUAGUGGUCUUAUAAUUCCCUAUUCAUUGGUCUUUCAUAUUACCAAUCAUUUUGCAAAUGAGUUAAUUUCAUUCACAUCCUCUGAGAUUUGAUGUAAAUUCGCUUAGUUACCAAUGAUUUCAAAUUUCAUUAAUUAGUACCCCUACAGAUAUAAUUCGUGUACAAAAUUUAUUUUUUAAAAGAGUUUAGGUAAAAAUAUUUUAGGUAUAUGUCUUUAACAAUUCUCUAAAAUAAAUUUUACUUGCUAAAAAAUAACUUAUAUAGAUAGAAUACAUCUACAGGAGUUCUAACUAACGAAAUUUAAAACUAAUGGUGGUUUAGUGUAUUUAAACUAAACAUUAGGAAGGGUGACUGAAAUUAACCCUCUAGGUAUAUAUGUUUAACAAAAUUUUUAUUGUUUAUUUUUCAUUUAAUGUUUGCAUUUUUCAAUAAACAUUGAAAAGGAAUUGUUUUUCCAUAUGUUAACAAAAAGAAAUUUGAAUACCUAUAAAAAUGAAAUCUUGUAGUAAAAUUGGAGUUACAUUAUCAGACUUUUAACGAGUGUUUAUGUUUAGAAAGGCCAAUUAAAGCAAGCAUGCAUCUAGAAAUUGUAACUUAGAUGCAUCAAACAUGAGCAACAUAUUUGAUAUAACUAAUAGUUUCUUAAGUAACUAAACACUUCUUUUUCUAUAAAUUUACUUGAUUGUCGAUGAAUACUUACAUACAUUUACAUAGUUUGAUAAAUAUUUUAAAAUAAUAUUAGAAUAACUUUGUUUUUUCUCAAUUAUAUUAGAAAAUAAUAUAAAGUUACUUAUAAACUUUAUAUCAUUUUCUCAAAGUCAAGUCAUUUACAAUUAUUUCUAUCUAGUCUUCUCCAUUAUGACAACUUUUAUAUGAUAGUCGUUGAUUGGAAGAAUCUACAUGUCUUUUUUGAUAAGAUAGUUGUUUUUAUUAUUUUUAUUUUUUUUAUUCCAAAAAUUUGCUUCUAUCAUUGAAACUUUCAAAUCUUUUAUGUAUAUUACCAAUCAUUUUACAAGUGAGUUAAUUUCACUUAGGGUAGAUAUACUUAGCCACACCCCUAUAGAUGUAAUUUGUGUUUAAAUUUUAUUUUUUAUUUAGGUAAAAAUAUCUUAGGUAUAUGUGUUCUACAAUUCUCUAAAAAAUAAAUUUUCUUAUCUAAAAGUUUAUAUAGACAAAAUACAUCUAUAGAAGUCCUAACUAAUGAAAUUUAAAAUCAAUGGUUGUUUAGUGUAUUUACAUUAAACCUUAUGGGGUAUGAUUGAAAUUAAGUCUUUUACAAGCACUUGUAGCUAAUAUGUUUGUAGUUGUAGUCUUGGAAAUUGAUCAUUUUCUUGAAGGCCUCUAGGAUAUUGAAAAUAUUGCCAUAGUUUUAGACUUUUUUUUUAUUACACCUAAUAAAAAAUAUUAUUAAUUUAACAUAUAUAUUCUUGACUUAAAAGUAAAGUCUCUCCAUAUUGUAUAAGCCCUUAGGUGGCAAUAUUAGGUGAAGUUUUUCUUUCGUUUAUUACAAAAUAUAAAUAAUUUAUUAUUGUAUGAUAAAAUUUUAUGUAAUAUAUUUUUAUAGAUGUAAAAUUAUUAAUUGGGUUUUGUUUUUUUUUACUAAAUUGUCAUUUCAAUAUAUAAAACUUAUUUGUAAAAAGACAAUUAUAAACUAUAUGAAAUUGAAAAACAUUUAGUUUUUUUAUUUAAUUUAGAAUUUUAUUUGGAUUAAUAAUUGAUAUUUGUAAGAUUUUUGAAUAUUAAAAAAAGUUAGCAUACUUAAGAAAGAUAUUCAAGAUCGGGAGUGUUUGAUAUCGGAUUAAUUUCCUUAUUUUCUCUAUUUUAAUAAAUUUUCACGUCCAUUACAAAAUUUUUGUUGUUUAUUUUUUACUUCAAUAUUUUUAUUUUGUAAUAGAAAUUUGAAAAGAUUUUUUCCUACAUGUUAAAAAAAAAAAAGAUUUGAACACUCCUAAAAAAGAAAUAUUGCAAUAAAAUUAAAGUUUACACUGUAGGACUAUUAGCAAAUGCUGCAUACUUAAAAUAGACCAAUUAAAGUAGAAAUACUUCUAAAAUUGUAAUUUAGGUAACAAUAAUAUAAAAAGACAAUAUUUUUGAAACAAUAGUUCUCUUGGAGUUUUGGGUACAAUGGACUAGACUUUAUGUAACAAUAGAUAUACAAACUUUCCAUUAACAUCUUGAGAGACAUGAUGAGGAGCAAAGUCAUCCAAGAAGGUACCAUAGAGGUACCUUAGCUCAAUUCAUCUAGACUACAUAAUGUUUAAAGAUCAAAUUCAAUGACUAGAUUUCAAAAAUCAAUAUAAGCUUUCUCAUAUUCUACUCUAUAUAAGACAAUGGUAUGAUACCUCUCUUGUGUCGUAGAAUGCACCAUGAAAACCUUAUCAUUUUAACAUCAGUUUGAAACUUAAAAGUCACUUAGCACAUUCUAGUUAUUAAUUUAAGAGCAUUAAAAGAAAUAUAUAAAAAAAAAGUUACUUUAUCCUUGUGAUUUUGAUCUAGGACUUUUAAUGAUAUUAAAAAAAAAAACAGAAAAAUAAAUGGAAAUAAAAUCAAUAAAUUAAACAAUUGAAUUAAGUUAGUUUAAUUUUUGAAUCGUUAAAUGGGUAAAUAAAGAUCUUAGAUUUGAUAUUAAUAUGAACAUCAUGACUUCAGUGAAUCUUACAAGAAAAUUUUAGUUUGAAAGACUUCAUUCAUUAAACGUGUGGCACAUAUUAAAGUAAAACUAAGUCUUCUCUAUAAUUUGUACCUAUCAUAGUUUCUUUCCUCAUAAAUAGCCUUUUUUGAAUAUAAUAUAGACUUCAACAUGCAUGGUGGGGCCAAUCAAACUACUAGUCAAGACAACUCAUGGGCAACAACGAUGUACCAACUACAUUUAAAUACUCUUCAUAUAUUUGCAUAUCAAGAGUAAUUUAGUAGUGUCUUUCUUAUGUACCUCAUAUCUAGACUUUCAAUGGAGAGUUCUUCAUCUAAAAAUUUGACUUGGGUUUUCAUACUAGUUUUGGUUUAGACAUGUGGAUGCAAAGGUUGCAUCAAAGAAGAGAAGUAGGCUAAAUCAUCUUACAAAUUUUCAAGUUCAAAUUAGAUGCACCAAACAUAUGCAACAUAUUUGAUAUAACUAAUAUUUUCUUAAGUAAUUGAAUACAAUUUUUUUUUAUAAAUUCACUUGAUUAUUAAUGGAUAACUAACUACAUGUAUGGUAUUGACACAACUUGAUAAAUUUUUUAAAAUAGUAUUAGAAUAACUUUGCUAAAAAAAAGUAAAAAUAAAAAUAAAAAUACAUCUAUAUAUAUAUAUAAUUAAAUAAAAUUAAAAAUUAAUAUAUAUAUAUAUAUAUAUAUAUUCUGUGUGUGUAUGUGUGCAUGGUCUCACAAGUCAUUAGCUACUCAUAAGCUUUAUAUCACUUUCUCAAAGUCAAGUCAUUUUGUAAUUAUUUCUAUCUAGCCUUCUCCAUUACGACAACUGUAUAGGAUAUUGAUUGAUUGUAAAAAUCUUCAUGUCUUUUUUUAUAAGAUAGUUUUUUAUUAUUAUUAUUAUUCAAAGAAUUUUCUUUUAUUAUUGAAACUUUCAAAUCCUUUAUGUCUAGUGGUCCUACAAUUCCCUAUUCAUUGGUAUUUCAUAUUACCAAUCAUUUUACAAAUAAGUUUAUUUCACCCGGUAAAUAUACUUAACUACCAAUGGUUUCAAAUUUAAUUGAUUAACACACUUAUAGAUGUAAUUUGUUUUUAAAUUUUAUUUCUUUUAGAAGAAUUGUAGGUAAAAAUGUUCUAGGAAUAUGUGUUCAAUAAUUCUCUAAAAACAAUUUAUAUAGAUGGAAUACAUUCAUGGAAGUUCCAACUAAUGAAAUUUAAAACCAAUGACGAUUUAAUGUAUUUGCACUAAAUCUUAGGGGAGGUGUACUAAAACUAGCCCUUUUACAAAUAUUUGUAGCUAGUAUAUUUGUAGUUAUGGUGUUGGAAGUUGAUCAUUUUCUUAAAGGCCUCUAAGAUAUUGGAAAUAUCGCCAAAGUUUUGAACUUUUUGUUUCACCUAAAUAAAAUAUCAUUAAUUUAAUAUAUAUACUCUUCGCUUGAAAGUAUAGUUUCUUCAUAUUGUAUGAAGUUGUAACUAGGUGACAAUAUUAGGUGAAAUUUUUUUUUGUUUACUACAAAAUAUAAAUAAUAUAUUUAUUAUAUGAUAAAAUUUUGUAAAAUAUAUUAUUAUAGAUGCAAAAUUAUUAAUGGAGUUUUAUUUUUUACUAAAUUAUCAUUUCAAUAAAUAAGAACUUAUUUGUUAAAAGAAAAUUAUAAAAUAUAUGCAAUUGAAAAAAAUUUAAUUUUUUUAUUUAAUUUGGUAUUUUAUUUGAAUUAAUAAUUGAUAUUUGUAAAAUCUUUUAAUAUUAAAAGAAGUUAACAUACUUAAAAAAGACAUUCAAAAUCAAGAGAGUAUUUGAUAUGAAAUUAAUUAAUUAUUUUUUUUCUAUUUAAAUAAAUUUUUACAUCCAUUAAAAAAAUUUUCUUGUUUAUUUUUCACUUCAAUAUUUUUAUUUUGUAAAAUAAAUAGAAAUAAAAUCAACAAAUUAAACAAUUGAAUUAAGUUAGUUUAAUUUUGCCACCGUUAAAUUGGUAAAUGAAGACUCUUAUAUUUGAUAUUAACAUGAACAUCAUGACUUCAUUGAAUAUUCUCACAAGAAAAUUUUAGUUUGAAAGAUUUUAUCCUUUAAACAUGUGGCACAUAUUAAAGUGAGACCAAGUCUUCCCUAUAAUUUGUAUCUAUCACAAUUUCUUUCCUAAUGAAUAACCUUUUUGAAUAGAAUAUAGACUUUAGCAUAUUACCAACCAUUUUACAAAUAAGUUAAUUUCACUCAGUAAAUAUACUUAACCACCAAUGGUUUCCAAUUUGUAGCACUCUUAUAGAUGUAGUUUUUUUUUUAAAUUUUAUUUUUUAGAAGAAUUGUAGGUAAAAAUAUUUUAGAUAUAUAUGUUCAACAAUUCUCUAAAAACAAUUUAUAUAGAUGGAAUACGUUCAUGGAAGUUCCAACUAAUGAAAUUUAAAACCAAUGAUGAUUUAAUGUAUUUGUACUAAAUCUUAGGGAGUGUGGACUAAAAUUAGCCCUUUUACAAAUAUUUAUAACUAGUAUAUUUGUAGUUGUGGUAUUGAAAGUUGAUCAUUUUCUUAAAAGGUUUACCAUUGAAGUUAGUUGAAUAUAAAGUUAGGUGAACUUUACCAUUGUUUAAUUGGUAAAUGAAGACUCUUAGAUUUGAUACUAACAUGUACAUCAUGACUUCAUUGAAUCUCUCACAAGGAAAUUUUAGUUUGAAAGACUUCAUCUUUUAAACAUGUGGCACAUAUUAAAGUGGACCAAGUCUUCCCUAUAAUUUGUAUCUAUCACAAUUUCUUUCCUCAUAAAUAGCCUUUUUUAAUAGAAUUAAUAUAGACUUUAGCAUGCAUGGUGGGCCCUGUCAAACUAUUAGUCAAGAUAAUUUGUAGGUAAGAACGAUGGACCAACUAUAUUAAAUAUUCUUCAUCUAUUUGCAUAUCAAGAGCAACUUAAUAUUGUCUUUCUUUUGUACUUCAUGUUUGAACUUUCAAUGGAGAGUGUGUCAUCUAAAUAUUUGAUGUGGGUUUUUAUACUAUUCUUGGUUCAAAUAUGUGGAUGCAAAGGUUGCAUCGAAGAAGAGAAGAUGGGUUUGCUUGAAUUCAAGGCUUUUCUUAAAUUGAAUAAUGAGCAUGCAGAUUUUCUUCUCCCUUCAUGGAUAGAUAACAACACUAGUGAAUGUUGUAAUUGGGAGCGGGUUAUUUGCAAUCCCACCACAGGUCGAGUUAAGAAGCUUUUCCUCAAUGAUAUUACGCAACAACAAAGUUUCUUGGAAGACAAUUGGUACCAAUAUGAAAAUGUCAAAUUCUGGUUACUAAAUGUCUCCCUAUUCCUUCCUUUUGAAGAACUUCACCAUCUAAACUUGUCUGCAAACUCAUUUGAUGGGUUUAUUGAGAAUGAAGGUAUGUUACCUCUCACCUUUAAAAUUUCAUUUCACUUAUACUCCAAACAUUCUAAAGGAACUACUAGCAUAUGUUCUUAAAAGUGUUCAGGUGGAGACCAAAUGGUCACUAGUAACUAUUGAAUUUAAUAUAAGAACAAUUACUAAUUAUUAAAAUUUAUAAUGUAAAUUAACAUUUAAACAGAACAAUAAAAAAAUUAUUAUUUUAGAAAACUAUAGAUUACAUUAGCCUUAUAUAUAUAAGCAUACUUGUUAUUUAUGCCAUCAUUUCACACUCAACCCAAUAAGUGGGAUUCAACUAAGAGUGAGCAAUUUCACAAUUAUUAAUUAACAGGAACACUUAGUCUCCCAUAUCCUUAUCCUUUUUGUUGAAUUGUCUUUCCUUAUCUUCCAUUCCUAAAAAGCUUGAUUUCUAUAUUCUAAAUUGAUAAAGAUUGGUUAAAGAAAGGUGAUCACAAAAUUUGACUAUUGCUGUCAAAUAAGGAAUCACCAUCUUCAAAGUUUCACAUUUACAAAAAAAAAAAAAAAAAAAAAAAAAAAAAAAAAAAACCCUAGCCUUGGGUAAGGUCCAAGCCUUAUUGUUUUAAGCUGAUGUCGGGUUGGUUUAAUAAUAAACAAAAAAAAUCCUAACCCAUGACCAUCUACGCAUUUCCAAAUUCCACCCAUCCACAACCCAUUAAUAUGACAUUUUCAAGGACAAAAUUUAAUCAAUUAAACCUAUUAGAUGGAUUCUCCAUACAAUGUUAAAAUGAAUAUAAAAACUUUAAUUCAAAAAAUAAUUUCCUUUAUUUAGUUAGGAUUCAAAUUAUAGGGGCACAAAACAUGAAAAUUUUCAUGUUUAAAAUUCACAAAGAUCACAAAAGCUCUUUGAAGCUCUAUGGACUUUUUUAUUUCUAACAUUUAAACACAAAAAUCACCAUAUUUAAUUAGAGAUUUGGAUACAUAUUCUUAUAUUAAAGACAUGUAAGCUUACAUAUUUAAAUAUGAAGAUCUCAACUUGUAAUUACAUGCUUCUAAUUAAAGUUAUAUUACUCUAUUUUAUAGGAUUUAAAGGGUUAUCAAGUUUAAAGAAAUUGGAGAUCUUAGACAUAAGUGGUAAUGAGUUUGAAAAAAGUGUCUUAAAAUCUUUGGACACAAUAACAUCACUCAAGACAUUGGCUAUUUGCAGCAUGGGACUGAAUGAAUCUUUUUCCAUUCGAGGCAUGUUAUAUGUCCACAUUGUUUCUUUGAAAUUAAGUAAAAUAUAUUUCUAACUUUUAAUGUUCCUUAGUUAAUCUCUCUUUUGAUUCAUGUUUGUUGCAGAAUUAGCUAGUUUGAGAAAUUUGGAAGUGUUGGAUCUAAGCUAUAAUGAUUUGGAAAGCUUUCAACUAUUGCAAGGUACUUCAUUAACUUGCUAAAAAAACUUAUGAUAUUUUGUUAUUAAAUUAAAGGUAAGAUUAACAAACAAUUUCUUCUCAUUAGUUACUUUUCUUUGUAAUAUCAUUAAAUUUGAUAUAAAGUAGUCUAAAUCAUCCUUUCAAUUUAUAAGUUUUAAUUAAAACGCAUCAAGCAUGCACAAGAUGUUUAAUAUAACUAAUAUUUUCAUAAGUAAUUGAAUUUUUUUAUAUGAAUUAAUUAACUUGAUUAUCAAUAAAUACUUACAUGUAUAAGAUUAAUAUAGUUUCAUAAGUAUUUUAAAAUUGUCUUACAACACACACACACACACACACAAGGAAAAUGAAAGGUAUGUGAUAUCUUUAUGCUAUGUUUGGUUCCCAAAAAAAUUGAGGGAAAAUGAAAGGAGAAAAAAGUAGAGACGAAAAGUAAAAGAAAAGAAAAAAAGUAAAGAAAAAUAUAAAAUUGAUUAAAGUAAAUACAUUAUUUUUAUAUGUUACUUUAACUUGUUUCACUUAUUUUAAUUCUUCAAUGUAAAGAUGAAAGAUUUGAAAAUGCAUAAGUUUCUAAUUAUUUUUUAUUUUAUUUUAUAGUUUUUACAAUACAACCAAACAUAAUAAAAUCAUUUUCUUUAAUUUUUUUUCUUUUCUUAAUACUUUUCACGAACCCUUUAAGUUAUGUUUGUUUGCAGAAAAUAUGAGGAAUAGAAAAUAGAAAAGAAAAUUAGAAGGAAAGAAAAAGUGAAGUAAAAUAAAAAUAAAUUUAAAUUUAAUAAAUUAUUUGUAUAUGCUACUUUAAACUUAUUUCACUUAUUUUAAAUUAUUUAAACUCAUUUCUAAUAAAUAAUAAUGGAAAUUGUAGAGAAGUUUGUGUUAUUCAAGCUUUGCAAUGACUUUACAAGGUGAAGGAAAAUAUUCUUGCUGAAAUUGAAAAAAGAAAUACCUUCUUAAAUAGCCUAUUGACCGAAAACACAUUACCCUAACAUAUACACACACCUUUAUUAUUUAUACAAUCAUUUAAUACUUAAUCCAGUUAGUGGGAUUCUAGUGGUUGUUUUUAUCUUGGUUUCCAAUAUUUCUGAUUGAUAGUGUUCGAUUAAUGAAAUAUCAUAAAUUUUGACCCUAAUAAGGACCAAUCCCUAUUAAAUGUAAUUGGGUUGACCUAAGACUAAAUGUUAGAUCCAACUAAUAAAAACCCAUCUAUUUGUUGGAGUGUAAAUAACCCGGCCUUAGGUAGGGCCCAUGCCUUAUUAUUUUAAGAUGUAGUCCAACUGGUUUGACACUAGAUUGAGUAAAGCCCAACUUAUGAGCAUCUAUGCAUUUCCAUCCAUCCACAACCUACUGGCAUGGACAAACUUUGGUCAAUUAAACCUAUUAUAACUGCAUACAAAAUUUUAAGUUCAAAAGAUAAUUUUCCUUAUUUAGUUAGGAUUCAUAUUAAAAAGGCACAAAGCACGAAUUUUCAUGUUUAAAUUCACAAAUAUCACAAAAGCUCCUUCAAGCUCUAUGGACCAUUUUAUUUGUAACAUUAUAUUACUCUUAAUUAUCAAAUUAACCAACAAAUUCUUCUCAUUAGUUAUUUUUCUUUAGUAAUGUCAUAAAAUUUGAUAUAAAGUAGUAUUGGUCAUCAUUUCAAAUUUUAGGUUCCAAUUAGAUGUAUCAAGCAUGUGUACCAUAUUUGAUAUAACUAAUAUUUUUAUAAGUAAUUGAAUUUUUUUUUCUAUAAAUCAAUUAAUUUGAUUAUCAAUGAAUACUUUCAUACAUGAUAUUGAUGUAGUUUCAUAAAUAUUUUAAAAUAGUCAUAGAAGUCUUUUAUCUGAUUCACUAGAAAGAAAAAUAAACUAUUCUAAUGAAAAGACUUGAUGAUUUGAAGUGAUUGCUUUUGAUUUUAUUUGAUUGCUACCAUUAUUAAUUGUUAGAAAUUGGCAACAAAUACCCAUUUUGCAUCACUUCUAUAUGCAUCGGGGGAAUGAAUUAUAUUUCAUAGAGCUAAUAGGGCAAAACUCAAACUUUUGGAAUUAUGGAAAAGGUUGCUAGAAAGCUAAUUAACCAUUUAUAUUAUGAUUAAGACUAGUUGGGUUAGAAAUAAUUCAUAUGGAGAUUAAAAAAAACUAUGUAAUUUAGUUUAGUAGCUUGGGUGCUAUUGUAAUGAUUAAUGAUCUGCAACUUGAACACAUCUACUAGUGCUUUCUACUUGUAUAGCUAAAUUUAUGUUACCACUUUGAACUACAGUACUUACAUGAGAAGAAAGUUUUUCCUUAGUGAUAAUGCAAAAGAAAUUAAGUAUCAAUUUUUGUUAAACUAACAAGUGAUAGUUUAGAUAUGGUUUGAAUACACUUCCUUUCUUCUAUAUUUUUAUUUUGAAAAAAAAAAACUCUUUAAUGAAAUAUAAGAAAUCUUAUAUGUAUAAAAAUUAAAGACUUAAACAAAAAAAUUCUUCAAAUUUGAAAAUUUUCGAGAAGUAUUUUUAAGAAUUUGUAUUUUCAAUAUAAUAAUUCAUAUAUUUUGUAUAAAAGUUUUUGUUUAAAAAAAUAGAAGUGUGUCCAAAUUACAAAUUAAUUGUUAAAUUAAGAAUGUUUCUCAGAUCAAGAGAUGAUGAAAGUUGUAGAGAGUUUGCAUUACUCAACCUUUGCAAUUACUUUUUGAAGGUAAAAGAAAAUACCUUCCUACAUAACAUACAAUGGCAGGUUCUGGUUUGUAAGAAACUAAUAAAUGAUUAAGAAUAUGAAUAAGACUUCCUUUAUAAUGGAUAUGUAGAGAAGAAUAGUGGAUGAUAGGAGGUGAAAAUCUUGUAAUAAAAUAUCAAUAUCAGUUAUAAGAUAAUCAACAUUUUCUCUAUUUCUUGUACCUAUGUGAUUAAGAAUCUUGUAGCUCCCUUAUUGAAAUAUAAUAUAAAAAUAUAAAUAAACUAUUUAGAAGUGCAUGUAGUUUUCAACAUGAGGAAGUUCAAAAGCAAGUUAAUUAUGAUAAUUUUCUAUAGUCUAUAUUGAACACAAAUUAUUUUUACUAAAGGUUCAAUCGUUCUAUGAAGGUUAAAAGUUUGAAUUGUUUACAUAUGCAAAUGGACAACCAAACAAGAAAAUGAUUUUGAAAUCCUUUUUGGACCUUUUUUUAUCAUUCAUUUUUUCCCCUACUCUAUUUCCUUUCCCUCAAACUCUCUAGGUAGUAAACAUUACCUAAGAUAAAUAGGGAAGAAAAUAUUUUAUCAUUUAUUUAUUUAGUAUUUUUCUUACAUUUUUUGUAUGUUAUCCAAAUAUAAGAAAACUAUUUUUCUUUAUUUUUUCUUUUCCUUGUUGCUUUUCAAGAAUCAAGCAUACUUUAAACUCUAAUUAAGAGUUACAUAGAUUUACGAAGAAACAAUGCAACUGGUAACAAAAAAUUAAGGAAAUUUAAUUUUUGAGAGUAGGUAUAAUGAGAUUGGUUUGUUUGAUACAAAAUUUGAAUAAAAAUUCUUUCAAUGAAAAUUCAAGGAAAGGAAAAAAAAAACAACUUUCUCUCUAGACUAUAAUACUAAAUCACUUAAAAAAUAUCCUAACAUCGUUUAUGUUCAUCUUUCUUUUUAUGGAUUUGAAAAACCCAAUAAUUUGGAGAAAACUGAUUCAAGGAAGAAUAAUUUUUAGAAUAAAAUAUUAUUAUUUAAGAAGAUCAUAAAUAUUAUAGUCAUUGUUGAAUAUGAUAAAUGAUUUAAAAAAAAUGGUAGUUGGAAAUUUAGAUACUUUUAUAAGACAAAUGAAUUUUUCUAGUAUGGUAUGAAAAAAGGUAAAAUGAUAGGCUUUGAUCAUUUUUUAAGGUAGUUUGUUUAAAUCAUUUUAAUUUAUUUUCAUUUAAGAACAAUAACUUUUAUUACACUAGUUAUUUUGAUUUUCUUUUGAUAGAUUUUGCAAGCUUAAGCAAUUUGGAGCUAUUGGAUUUGAGUAAUAAUUCAUUUAGUGGGAGCGUUCCAUCAUCUAUAAGAUUGAUGUCUUCUCUCAAGUCUUUAUCCCUGGCUGGAAAUUACCUCAAUGGUUCCUUACCAAAUCAAGGUAUAUAUAUAUUGUGAUUACAGGUUUUUCUGUUUUCUUUUUUAAUAUCUUGUUUGUUCUUUAUGCCAAUGAAGUCAUGCAUGUCUAUUAAUUUUUGGUAUUUAAUAAAAAACUUUAUUCUUAAUUCAUAAAGACCUCAUCAACGGUAAGUAACAGCUAGUUGUAAGUUUGGGGGCAUUGACAAGACGAGGAGAUGAUUGGUUACAUGUCUUAUUCUCUUUUGUAGGCUUUUGCCAAUUGAAUAAGCUUCAAGAAUUAGAUCUUUCUUACAACUUGUUCCAAGGAAUCCUUCCUCCAUGUUUGAAUAAUUUGACAUCUUUGAGGUUAUUGGAUCUCUCUUCCAACCUAUUCUCCGGAAAUCUUUCUUCCCCUCUGUUACCUAAUCUCACAUCCCUGGAGUACAUCGAUCUCAGUUACAAUCAUUUUGAGGGUUCAUUCUCUUUCAGCUCUUUUGCUAAUCACUCCAACCUUCAAGUGGUCAAACUUGGAAGGAAUAACAACAAAUUUGAGGUAGAAACUGAAUAUCCAGUUGGUUGGGUUCCCCUGUUUCAGUUGAAAGCUCUUGUGCUAUCCAACUGUAAGCUCAUCGGUGACCUUCCUAGUUUCCUUCGACACCAAUUAAGAUUAACCGUGGUUGAUCUCUCCCAUAAUAACUUGACUGGAAGUUUCUCCAUUUGGCUGCUUGAAAACAAUACAAGACUAGGAUCUCUAGUUCUGAGGAAUAACUCUUUAAUGGGUCAACUACUUCCCCUGAGACCUAAUAGUCGUAUCACUUUAUUGGAUAUCUCAGACAACCGACUUGAUGGGGAACUUCAACAAAAUGUGGCCAAUAUGAUUCCAAAUAUUGAGUUUCUAAAUUUAUCCAACAAUGGUUUUGAAGAUAUUCUCCUAUCCUCAAUAGCCGAAAUGAGUUCCUUACAGUCAUUGGAUUUGUCUGCUAAUAGUUUCUCAGGGGAAGUACCAAAACAAUUGCUUGUGGCAAAAUAUUUGUGGCUUCUGAAAUUAUCAAAUAAUAAAUUUCAUGGUGAAAUAUUUUCAAGGGAGUUUAACUUGACUCAGUUAGGGUUUUUACAUUUGGACAAUAAUCAGUUCAAGGGAACACUGUCAAAUGUAAUCUCCAGAAUCUCUAGGUUAUGGGUGUUGGAUAGGUAACAUGACCGAUUUGACUACCCUAGUGUUGGGCAACAAUAGUUUUAAAGGCAAAUUACCACCUGAGAUUUCUCAAUUGUUGGGGAUGAUAUUUCUUGACCUUUCUUAAAACGCUCUUUCAGGAUCUUUUCUUUCUUUGAAGAGCCUGGAGUAUUUAGAGCAUCUACAUUUGCAAGGGAACAUGUUUAUAGGAUUGAUACCUAGAGAUUUUCUCAAUUCCUCAUAUCUAUUGACUUUGGAUAUCAGAGACAACAGGUUAUUUGGAAGUAUUCCCAAUUCAAUCUCUAGACUUUUAGAGCUAAGAGGAAACCUUUUAAGUGGUUUCAUUCCAUAUCAGCUCUGUCAUUUGACUAAAAUAAGCUUCAUGGAUCUUUCAAACAACAAUUUUUCUAGGUCAAUUCCUGGAUGCUUUGGUCAUAUCAGAUUUGGAGAUUUCAAAACUGAGCACAAUGUGUAUAUACCGAUGUUGGAUUCGUAUUCAGAAAGCAAUCCUUCUAUAUAUGCGGGUUACUUAAUAAAAUUUUAUUUUUCUCUAGUGAACUCCCUAAUGAAGUAGAUGAAGUUGAGUUUGUUACCAAGAAUAGGUAUAGCUCCCACAGAGUAGAUAAAUAUAUUUGUUGGGAAUUUAGAUAUUUUUAUAGAAAAGUAGACAAGUAUUCUAAUUUAUAAAAAUAAUGCAUUUCUUUAGUUUGGUAUAAAAAAAAUGAAAUGAUAUGUAUUGGUAAUUUUUUUUAAAGUAACAAACGUUUUAUUUUAUUUGUAUUUAAGAACAAUUUUUUUUCUUAUACUAGUUAUUUUAAUUUUCUUUUGACAGAUUUUGCAAGCUUAAGCAAUUUGGAGAUGCUAGAUUUGAGUUAUAAUUCCUUAAGUGGGAUUAUUCCAUUAUCUAUAAGAUUGAUGCCUCAUCUCAAGUCUUUAUCCUUGGCCAGAAAUCACUUCAAUGGUUCUUUACAAAAUCAAGGUACAUAUGUUAUGAUUUGUUUGUUUCAUAUAGAUUAGAGAAGAUGAAUAUUGUUAAAAAAAAAAAGUUGUUGUUAAUGUAAGCUAGAAAUAAGUAUUUUGCCUUAUAAAUUAUAUAAGCAUGUGUUUGUUCUGAAUGAAUCUUUACAACAUUUAGAGUUACCAAUGUUUAUAAUUCAUAAAGACCUCAUUAACAGUGAGUAACAACUAAUUGUAAGUAAUUGUGGAAAAAGUAAGGAAAACAAAAUGAGGGAAAAGCAAGGAAUUAGGAAAUUAUUUUGUUCCCAUAAAAAAAUGCUAAGGAAGAAAAAGGUAAAAGAAAGUUUAAAAAAAGUGUAUUUUUCAAAAAUUUAUUUCUCUUUCCUUUAAUUUUGCUAUGGACAACCAAACAAGAAAAUAAUUUUAUAAUUCCUUUUUUUUUUCAUUCUCUCUCUCUCUCUCUCUUUUUCCCUACUCUAUUUCUUUUCCCUCAAACUUUCUUGAUAGUAAACACAACCUAAGGUAAAUGAGGAAGAAAAUUUUUAGUUUUUUUUAUUUUUUAUUUUUUUAGAAUGUUUUCUUACUUUUUAGUAUUUUAUGCAAAUAUAGGAAAAUUUUCAUCUUUCUUUUUAUGGAUUUGAAAAACCCAAUAAUUUGGAGAAAACUGAUUCAAGGAAGAAUAAUUUUUAGAAUAAAAUAUUAUUAUUUAAGAAGAUCAUAAAUAUUAUAGUCAUUGUUGAAUAUGAUAAAUGAUUUAAAAAAAUGGUAGUUGGAAAUUUAGAUACUUUUAUAAGACAAAUGAAUUUUUCUAGUAUGGUAUGAAAAAAGGUAAAAUGAUAGGCUUUGAUCAUUUUUUAAGGUAGUUUGUUUAAAUCAUUUUAAUUUAUUUUCAUUUAAGAACAAUAACUUUUAUUACACUAGUUAUUUUGAUUUUCUUUUGAUAGAUUUUGCAAGCUUAAGCAAUUUGGAGCUAUUGGAUUUGAGUAAUAAUUCAUUUAGUGGGAGCGUUCCAUCAUCUAUAAGAUUGAUGUCUUCUCUCAAGUCUUUAUCCCUGGCUGGAAAUUACCUCAAUGGUUCCUUACCAAAUCAAGGUAUAUAUAUAUUGUGAUUACAAGUUUUUAUGUUUUCUUUUUUAAUAUCUUGUUUGUUCUUUAUGCCAAUGAAGUCAUGCAUGUCUAUUAAUUUUUGGUAUUUAAUAAAAAACUUUAUUCUUAAUUCAUAAAGACCUCAUCAACUGUAAGUAACAGCUAGUUGUAAGUUUGGGGGCAUUGACAAGACGAGGAGAUGAUUGGUUACAUGUCUUAUUCUCUUUUGUAGGCUUUUGCCAAUUGAAUAAGCUUCAAGAAUUAGAUCUUUCUUACAACUUAUUCCAAGGAAUCCUUCCUCCAUGUUUGAAUAAUUUGACAUCUUUGAGGUUAUUGGAUCUCUCUUCCAACCUAUUCUCCGGAAAUCUUUCUUCCCCUCUGUUACCUAAUCUCACAUCCCUGGAGUACAUCGAUCUCAGUUACAAUCAUUUUGAGGGUUCAUUCUCUUUCAGCUCUUUUGCUAAUCACUCCAACCUUCAAGUGGUCAAACUUGGAAGGAAUAACAACAAAUUUGAGGUAGAAACUGAAUAUCCAGCUGGUUGGGUUCCCCUGUUUCAGUUGAAAGCUCUUGUGCUAUCCAACUGUAAGCUCAUCGGUGACCUUCCUGGUUUCCUUCGACACCAAUUAAGAUUAACUGUGGUUGAUCUCUCCCAUAAUAACUUGACUGGAAGUUUCCCCAUUUGGCUGCUUGAAAACAAUACAAGACUAGGAUCUCUAGUCGUAUCACUUUAUUGGAUAUCUCAAACAACCGACUUGUUGGGGAACUUCAACAAAAUGUGGCCAAUAUGAUUCCAAAUAUUGAGUUUUUAAAUUUAUCCAACAAUGGUUUUGAAGGUAUUCUCCCAUCCUCAAUAGCUUAAAUGAGUUCCUUACAGUCGUUAGAUUUGUCUGCUAAUAGUUUCUUAGGGGAAGUACCAAAACAAUUGCUUGCGGCAAAAUAUUUGUGGCUUCUGAAAUUAUCAAAUAAUAAAUUUCAUGGUGAAAUAUUUUCAAGGGACUUUAACUUGACUCAGUUAGGGUUUUUACAUUUGGACAAUAAUCAGUUUAGGGGAUAUUUCUCCAGAAUCUCUAGGUUAUGGGUGUUGGAUGGGAGAUAGUUUUAAAGGCAAAUUACCACCUGAGAUUUCUCAAUUGUCGGGGAUGAUAUUUCUUGACAUUUUUCAAAACGCUCUUUCAGGAUCUCUUCCUUCUUUGAAGAGCCUGGAGUAUUUAGAGCAUCUACAUUUGCAAGGGAACAUGUUUAUAGGAUUGAUACCCAGAGAUUUUCUCAAUUCCUCAUAUCUAUUGACUUUGGAUAUCAGAGACAACAGGUUAUUUGGAAGUAUUCCCAAUUCAAUCUCUAGACUUUUAGAGCUAAGAGGAAACCUUUUAAGUGGUUUCAUUCCAUAUCGGCUUUGUCAUUUGACUAAAACAAGCUUCAUGGAUCUUUCAAACAACAAUUUUUCUGGGUUAAUUCCCGGAUGCUUUGGUCAUAUCGGAUUUGGAGAUUUCAAAACUAAGCACAAUGUGUAUAUACCGAUGUUAGAUUCGUAUUCAGAAAGCAAUCCUUCUAUAUAUACGGGUUACUUAAUAAAAUAUUUAUUUUUCUCUACUGAACUCCUUGAUGAAGUAGAUGAAGUUGAGUUUGUUACCAAGAAUAGGUAUAGCUCCCACAGAGUAGAUAAAAAUAUUUGUUGGGAAUUUAGAUAUUUUAUAGGACAAUAUACAAGUAUUCUAAUUUAUAAAAACAAUGCAUUUCUUUAGUUUGGUAUAAAAAAAAUAAAAUGAUAGGUAUUGGUAAUUUUUUUUCAAAGUAACAAACGUUUUAUUGUAUUUGUAUUUAAGAACAAUGUCUUUUCUUAUACUAGUUAUUUUAAUUUUCUUUUGACAGAUUUUGCAAGCUUAAGCAAUUUGGAGAUACUAGAUUUGAGUUAUAAUUCCUUAAGUGGGAUUAUUCCAUCAUCUAUAAGAUUGAUGUCUUGUCUCAAGUCUUUAUCGUUGGCCGGAAAUCACCUCAAUGGUUCUUUACAAAAUCAAGGUACAUAUGUUAUGAUUUGUUUGUUUCAUAUAGAUUAGAGAAGAUAAAUAUUGUAAAAAAAAAAAAAGUUGUAGUUAAUGUAAGCUAGAAAUAAGUAUCUUGCCUUAUAAAUUAUAUAAGCAUGUGUUUGUUCUUAAUGAAUCUUUACAACAUUUAGAGUUACCAAUGUUUAUAAUUCAUAAAGACCUCAUUAACGGUGAAUAACAACUAAUUGUAAGUAAUUGUGGAAAAAGUAAGGAAAACAAAAUGAGGGAAAAGCAAGGAAUUAGGAAAUUAUUUUUUUCCCAUAAAAAAAUGCUAAGGAAGAAAAAGGUAAAAGAAAGUUUAAAAAAAGUGUAUUUUUAAAAAAAUUAUUUCUCUUUCCUUUAAUUUUGCUAUGGACAACCAAACAAGAAAAUCAUUUUAUAAUUCCUUUUUAUUUUUUUCAUUCUCUCUCUCUUUUUUUCCCUACUCUAUUUCUUUUCCCUCAAACUUCCUUGGUAGUAAACACAACCUAAGAUAAAUGGGGAAGAAAAUUUUCAGUUUUUAUUUUUAUUUUUUUAGAAUGUUUUCUUACUUUUUAGUAUUUUAUGCAAAUAUAGGAAAAUUAUUUUUUUUUCUUGCUCCUUUUCAGACAUGAAUCACACUUUAAAAGAAAAUUAAUUUUUAAUUAGGAGUUAAGAUAAAUUUAAGGAGAAACAAUGAAUCACGAAUAACAAAAAAUUAAGGAAAUUGAAUUUUUGAAAGUAAGUAUAAUCAAAUUGCUUCAUUUGAUACAAAAUUUGAAUAAAAAUUCUUUCAAUGAAAAAUCAAGGAAAGGAAAAAACAUUUUUGUCUCUAGAUUAUAAUACUUAAUCAUGUAAAAAAUCUCUUAACAUCAUUUAUAUUCAUAUUUCUUUUUGUAGAUUUGAAAAAUUCAACAAUUUGGAAUAAACUUAUUCAAUGAAGAAUAAUUUUUAGAUUUAAAGAUUAUUAUUUAAGAUCAUAAAUAUUACCAUCAUUGUUGAUGUCCAAGAAGAUCAUAUUCAACAAUUUUUUUAAUAUGUUGUUUUUUAUGGUAAUUAAUUGAUGUCUUGUAAUUUUUAAUAUUUAAUGAAAAACAUUAAUUUAAUUCAUCUAAAGCUCUUAAUUCAUGAAGACCUCGUUAAUGUAAUGGUGAGUAAUAGUUGGCUGUAAGUUUGGAGUCAAAGACAUGUUAAGGAGAUGAUUAGUUACAUGUCUUAUUCUCUUUUGUAGGUUUCUGCCAAUUGAAUAAGCUUCAAGAGUUAGAUCUUUCUUACAACUUAUUCCAAGGGAUCCUUCCUCCAUGUUUGAAUAAUUUCACAUCUCUGAGGUUAUUGGAUCUCUCUUCCAACCUCUUUUCCGGAAAUUUUUCUUCCCCUCUGUUACGUAAUCUCACAUCCCUAGAGUACAUAGAUCUCAGUUCCAAUCAGUUUGAGGGUUCAUUCUCUUUCAGCUCUUUUGCUAAUCAUUCCAAGCUUCAAGUGGUCAUACUUGGAAGGGAUAACAACAAAUUUGAGGUAGAAACUGAAUAUCCAGUUGGUUGGGUUCCCCUGUUUCAGUUGAAGAUUCUCUCUCUAUCCAGCUGUAAGCUCACCGGUGACCUUCCUGGUUUUCUUCAAUACCAAUUCAGGUUAGUGGGGGUUGAUAUCUCACAUAAUAACUUGACAGGAAGUUUCCCCUAUUGGUUGCUUGAAAACAAUACGAGACUAGAAUCUCUAGUCUUGAGGAAUAACUCUUUAAUGGGUCAACUACUUCCCUUGGGACCUAAUACUCGUAUCAAUUCAUUGGAUAUCUCACACAAUCAGUUGGAUGGACAACUUCAAGAAAAUGUGGCCCAUAUGAUUCCAAAUAUUAUGUUUCUAAAUUUAUCCAACAAUGGUUUUGAAGGUAUUCUCCCAUCCUCAAUAGCUGAACUAAGAGCCUUAUGGAUUUUGGAUUUGUCUACCAAUAAUUUCUCUGGAGAAGUACCAAAGCAAUUGCUUGCAACAAAAGAUUUGGGGAUUCUGAAAUUAUCAAAUAAUAAAUUUCAUGGUGAAAUAUUUUCAAGGGACUUUAACUUGACUGGGUUAUUGUGUUUGUAUUUGGGCAAUAAUCAGUUCACAGGAACUCUGUCAAAUGUAAUCUCCAGAAGCUCUUGGUUGGAGGUGUUGGAUGUGAGCAACAACUACAUGUCAGGUGAAAUUCCAAGCCAGAUAGGUAACAUGACCGAUUUGACUACACUGGUGUUGGGCAACAAUAAUUUUAAAGGCAAAUUACCACUUGAGAUUUCUCAAUUGCAACGGAUGGAGUUUCUUGACGUUUCUCAAAAUGCUUUUUCAGGAUCUCUUCCUUCUUUGAAGAGCAUGGAGUAUUUAGAGCAUCUACAUUUGCAAGGGAACAUGUUUACAGGAUUAAUACCCAGAGAUUUUCUCAAUUCCUCAAAUCUAUUGACUUUGGAUAUUAGAGAAAACAGGUUAUUUGGAAGUAUUCCCAACUCAAUCUCUGCACUUUUGAAGCUAAGGAUUCUUUUGCUAGGAGGAAACCUUUUAAGUGGUUUUAUUCCAAAUCAUCUUUGUCAUUUGACUGAAAUAAGCUUGAUGGAUCUUUCAAACAACUCUUUUUCAGGGCCAAUUCCCAAAUGCUUUGGCCAUAUCCGAUUUGGGGAAAUGAAAAAGGAGGACAACGUGUUUGGACAGUUCAUUGAAUUUGGGUUUGGAAUGGUUUCUCAUCUUGUAUAUGCAGGUUACUUGGUGAAAUAUUACGGUUCCCCAACUUUAGUAUAUAAUGAAAAAGAUGAAGUUGAGUUUGUCACCAAGAACAGGAGUGACUUCUACAAAGGUGGCAUCCUUGAAUUCAUGUCUGGAUUGGACUUAUCAUGUAACAACUUGACAGGCGAAAUACCUCAUGAACUUGGAAUGCUAAGUUGGAUUCGUGCAUUGAACUUGUCUCACAAUCAAUUGAAUGGCUCCAUUCCAAAGAGUUUCUCUAAUCUUUCUCAAAUAGAGAGCUUAGACCUUUCUUAUAAUAAACUGGGUGGAGAAAUUCCUCUAGAGCUAGUUGAACUCAAUUUUUUAGAGGUGUUUAGUGUGGCUUACAACAACUUCUCUGGUAGAGUUCCAGAUACCAAAGCACAAUUUGGGACAUUUGAUGAAAGGAGCUAUGAAGGUAAUCCUUUCCUUUGUGGGGAACUAUUAAAGAGGAAAUGCAACACAAGUAUUGAGUCACCAUGCACACCAUCACAGUCUUUUGAAAGUGAGGCAAAAUGGUAUGAUGUCAAUCAUGUUGUUUUCUUUGCAAGUUUUACUACUUCAUAUAUCAUGAUCUUGUUAGGAUUUGCUAUCAUCCUUUACAUCAAUCCUUAUUGGCGUCAUAGAUGGUUCAAUUUUAUCGAGGAAUGUAUAUAUUCCUGCUAUUAUUUUGUUUUUGAUAGUCUUUCCAAGUUAUCAGCAUAUUUGUAUAAUUAGAUACUUUUAAUUGGAUGAUAUUUGCAUAAUUAACUACUAUUUGUUUCCCUGGGAUAGAAAGAAAUGGGAUGUAUAAUGCUAUGAGCUGAAACUUACAUACUUUGCUCAAAUUCUAACAUCUUUUGAUUUUAUUUUCAAGUUCCGUUAUUUAUUAUGUAUUGCUUAAUUCAAGAUUUAACCAUAUUACGUUACUCUUAUAAAAGCAAAUUCAAAUUUUUAGGAACUUUUAGCAUUAAAAUAAUUUCAUAGUCAGAUUUUAAAAAAUAAAGAAGAAAGAAAAUAAUAAAUAAUUGGAAAAACAAUUCAAGGAAGUAUUAAAUUAUUAUCUUAGAAUUAUUUGGCGUAGUAUGGGAAUUCAAAAAUAAUCUUUCAAUUUGUUAGAAAUGUUUAUUUAUUUAUUAUAGCAAUGAUUGAAAUAUCAAUCACAAAGUAAUGUUUUCUUUUCUUUUGUAGGGCACUAACACUUUUUCUUUGAUAGUAAUAAUUGAUAAAUAUAUUACACAAUUAUUUGUUUUAAAAAAGGGAGGGAUGACAAACAUAAUAACAUGUGAAAUAUUUCUAAAACUGUAAUGGGAAAUAAGCCAUCUAAUUAGGGUGCAAUAUUAUUCAUUUUAAUUUACAUGAAUUUACUUAUUUUUAUUUGCAUCAUAUUUUGAACUAUUUUAUGAAAUUAAGGGAGAUUAAAACAUCACGAGUUUCUUAUUUUAGUUUAUAUUCUUAAUAAUAAAGCAUGAAAUAUUAUAAAAAAAAAAAUCAUGAAUUUCUUUAAUUCCUUAGGAAACCAAUAUAUAAAAAAUUGAACAUAUUAUUAUUUUAUAUCCUAAAUCUCUAAAUUUGUUCAUUACCUAUUUAUUUUUAUAUUAAAUUUAUUAUUAAUUAUUUAUUUAUAUUAUUAUUUUAUGUUUAAAAUGUUCAUAAAUAAUUAAAAUUAAUAAAUAUAAAAAUAAAAUAUUAAAAAAUUAAAUUAUAAAGAUUUCAUCAAACUGACAUAUUUAAAAAAAAAAAAAAGCUAAAAAAGAUGAGGAUAUUAUAGAGGAGGGGAAAAGGAUAAAAGAAAAUUCAUGUGGUAUGAUAAUAUCACGUGUCAAAGUUAUUUUCUUUAAAAAAUAAUAAUAGUAAUGAUGAACUCAUUUGUCUUAUCAAAGUAAGUUAAAAAAAAAAAAAAAAAAAAAAAAGAAAAGAAAAAGAUGGUAGUUGGCUUAUUUGUUCUUUGAAAAUAAAAAAUCAAAGUUUUAGAAAAAUACAAUUUUCUUUUAAAUGAUGAAUGGUUACAUCAUUUCCCCUUAGCUUAUCUGUUCCUUUAAACUUUAGUUUGAAUAAAAUUAGUUUUAAUUAUUUUCUUUUUGGAAUUAUAUUUAAUCGUAUUAUUAAAAAUAUAAAAAACAUCGUAAUAAUAUUGUCAAUAAGUUUUUUUAUAUAUAUUGAAAAAUAUUUAUAUUUAAAAAUAUUUAAAUUUUGUCAUGGGCUGCCCAUUUCAAAAUGAUAAGAAUAUAAUAACCUAAUUUUUCCAAAUUCCAGGUAAAUAUGCUAAUCUAAAAAAAAAAAAUUAUUAGGUUUUUAUGUGCUGAUUGGGUUUUUUUUAUACCCAGUAUGCUCUCCAAUCUACCACUUAAGCAUCCGACAUGGCUAAAAAUAAAUUUUUAAAAAAAAGAAUAAAAAAGGAAAAAAACGAAAGUGUGUGAUCUCUUUCUUGAGUCUUCACAAUCUGAGACACUGAACCCAAAUCAAAAUUAAUCCUCCAAAUUAAUUUUCACCUCCAACCCAAACCCUAACGACUGCCUCACUUUCUUCUCAAACAUAGCUAUACGAAAAACCCUAGCCUCUGCCUCGUCUUCCUCUUAUCCCGGAAACCCAAAUCCCGUGACCCUAACCCCUUCUCUUUCCGAAAACCCUCCAGAAUCGGAAGAUUCAAGUGAUCGAAUUAAUUCUUCAGAAUUAAUUUUCACCUCGAAGCCGAACCCUAACUGCCUCAUCUUCCUCUCAUUCAUAUCCCAAAAGUAGCUUCAACAGUCAGGCCUGCGGCCAUGAAAGCCGUAGUGAUCGCCACUUCCGGCGAUCCCCAAGUUCUCCAAGUGCAAGAAGUCGAAAACCCUGAAAUUGGAGAUGAUGAAGUUCUAAUUAGAGUGGACGCCGCUGCCAUUAAUCGAGCGGAUACGCUUCAGAGGAAGGGCUUGCACCCUCCCUCAAAGGCGGCAGUCCCUACCCCGCUGGAAUCAUCGAAGCUGUUGGAAAGGUCGUCGUUCGAUGGAAGGUUGGCGAUCAGGUAUUUCAAUUGCCUAAUAUUUUGAUUCCGUUUCUGUUCCUGUAUUUUUCUCGGCUAUCCUUUAUGUGAUUUUGCUUCCUCCUGAGUACAAGUUCAUAAUAUACAUGGUACAUGGUGAAUCUGUAUGACAUUUCAUGGUAUACAGGUGUGUGCUCUUCUUUCUGGUGGAGGGCAUGCUGAAAAAGUGGCUGUUCCAGCUGGGCAAGUUCUCCCUGUCCUAUCUGGUGUUUCUCUGAAGGAUGCUGCUGAGGUUGCAUGUACUGUUUGGUCAACUGUUUUAAUGAUGAGCCGACUGUCUGCAGGAGAAACAUUCCUGGUGAAUUUUUUGUCUUUUUUAUUUUCUGAUGCCUGAUAUAUUUACCAGCACAAAUUUUCCCUGUUGCUGUUUAAUGUGUGUGCAUCAAUAUUGGAUUAGGGAGGUAGAAGAGCCAUGGUUCUAUUACAUCAUCAUAUUCUUAUUUAGAUACAUUGUAUCCCACAAUUUCAUUGCAUCCAAGGCUAUGUUGUUUUUUAUUGCACGGUUUGUCAUGGUAAUUUCUCAACCCUUCUCUGGAAAAUUAUGUUGGAUGGCUGCUAUUAAUUACCCCAAAAGAAGAAAUUUUAUGUUGAAGUAAGAUGAGUAGCACAAAGAGUUACUUGUGGUUGAUCCUAUCAUCAAAUGGGCGAUUGAUGCACAAUCCAAAUGGUAAAUUUUUUUCCCCCUUUAUCCAGAUGGAAUUUUUAUGCAUGGUUGAAUAGUGAAAUGAGGACUGAUAAUAUUUCAGGUUCAUGGGGGUUCAAUUGGAAUUGGUACCAUCUAUUCAAAUAGUGAAAUAUUGAGGAGCAAGGGUAUUUGUUACAGCAGGUUUGCCAUCACUGUUCUACCUCAUCCCACAGAAUGCUUAUCUCAUGGCACCAAUUCCUUUUCUUCACAUGUUUUCAACCAUUUUUUCCACCCAGGAACGAGGAAAAAUUAGCUGUUUGUAAGGAUCAUUGAGCAGAUGUGUGCAUCAAUUACAAGACUGAAAACUUUGUUGCAUGGGUGAAGGAGGAAACAGGAGGGAAAGGUACAUUCUAUUGUAUCUUAACGAUAAUUUCAAUUGAAGGUGGAAUUGCUUUUUAUUUUUUAGUGCACCAAAUCCACUAGUCUGGAAUGUUUGAAAAGAUAAAUAGUCAUCUUCCACUUGAUUCCGAUUGUGAAGAUCUAACCCCAAAAAUGUUGAAUGACAGGUGUUGAUGUUAUACUGGAUAAUAUUGGAGGGGCCUACUUUUGGGGAGACAUCAAUGGUUUAAAUGUUGAUGGAAGGCUUUUUAUUAUUGGUUUUCAGGGUGGAACAGUGGUACAAGUAAAUCUUUCAGGUUUACUUGCAAGGCGCCUUACAGUGCAAGGUACCACUUUCUCUGUAGAAGAUUUUUCUGUAGUUUUGGAGUUGAAUCAAUUUGAUUAAUCUCAUCCAAGUUCAGAACUGAGGUGGAUUCUGGCAAGCCAAGGAAAAACCAAAUUACCAUAAAUUCUUUUUUUUUUUCUGGAUCGUUUUACUUCUUGGAAAUCCUGUUUCUCGAUCUGGUCAGGUAUAUGGAAAUUCCAAGGAAAAUAUGUUUUACAUUUUCCAUAAUUGGAAACACUCAGGAAUUUAAUAUUUUCCUCUGAAAUAGCAAUGGUUUUCUAAUUACGACAUUUGUUUUUCUUGUAUCAUCCCAAAAUAUUUUUUAGGUGUUUGUUCUCUCUUGACACAGCUUUUAAUUGGGUCUGUCUUGCUUUUUGAUAGAUCUCUUGACAAGUUGCUUGUAUAUCAUACUUUCUUUAUUGUUUUCGGAUCAUGAACCUUGCUUCUGUCAGCCCUGUUAUCACUACCCAAACUAGUAAAUUUAUGCACAAAACUCCAUGUGUCAGUAACAGUGGUUAUUUGAUUGUAUUAAAUAAUUUGUAAAUACAGUGGAUAAGUUUGUGCAUAGAUUGAAGGCGAAUGAAAAACGUGCAUAGAUUGAAGGUGUGCUGCUUGAGUUGAUUGUAGUUUGAGCAUGAAAAUUUGAAGAUCCAGAACAGCAAAUGAGGAAUGCCUAUCAAUUUGAAACCAGCAUGGGUGGAUGAAUGGAGAGGUUCUUCACUGAAUUUGUCCAUGAAGCUUUUUAGCACUCUAGGGCAAGGGUCUCCAAGCCUAGCUGUUGAUUGCACAUCCCUCCUGCGCAAUACUAAGAACAGAGUGAAAUGCAAAUGCAGGAAAGGGUGUUUCUUAGCUGUUCAACAACUGACAAUACAUUGGCAUGACAAUUCCCUGGAUCGAAUGCCACAAUGCCCUCUUGGAGUUCCAAAGCUUGUUCACAGGUCAAACGAACUUGAGGGUUUUGGGACAUGAACUCCAAGUUUGGUUGCCAAGAAUCUCCAGGUGGAGGAUCAGCUUCUGACACGUGCACACACCUCUUGGCCAGUUUGUGUUAUUGCAAUUUUUAUUAAAUUGCUAAAAAAUUUAUCGCGAACAAUUUUUUCUUUUUUCUUUUUUCUUUUUUUCUUUUUAAACAAACUGCAAAAAUCCCUUUUUUUUUUAUAUAAAAAAAAAAAAAAUUCUCCAACAAAGUGAUUUUUUUUUGUGGCAUGACUCGGUUUGACCACUAACUCGGUGAACUGGUCUAUCGGCUCAAGUUUGGAUCCCUUAAUUUUGUGGCAAAUUGGGCAUCAAGCCCAACAACCUAACUUCCAUGCGGGCUAUCUACUGGAUCUCACCCAUUGUAACUUGCUCUGGGUGAAUGGCCAUUAUAAACUUCAUUUUAUCCUCAUGUGAUUUUGAUGUGGGAAUGGGAGAGAUGAGGAUUUGACAUUUGGACCUAAGGCUCAAUGGGUUUUAACUCCACUCAGCUACUUUAUGUCUUGUAUUUAAUAUUGCAAACCAAAAUAAUAAUAGACAUGAUUCUUUUCAAAAAAUUUAUAAUGUAAUAUUUUUUAAAAUUAUAAAAUAAUAGGUUAUAUAAAUUUUAAUAUAUAGGUAAAAUUAAUUAAAUUUUAACAAAUAUCUUCACAUUUAGACAUUACAUAUUUUUUAUUUAAUAAAAUUUUAAAAUAUUAAUAUAUCUAAAUAUAAUAUUAAAAAUGAAAAAUAAAAUAGUAAUAAUUUUUAUUUUCUUUAUAUAUUUAAAAUUAUAUAAUUAUUUUUUAUUUUAAUAACAUAUAAAUUGUAUAUUUAUAAUAUUAUUGGUUCAACUGUGAUUCAACCAUCACUCCGAUUAUUCAAUUAUGAAUUAAUAAAUUUUUUAAUUCAAUGAUAGGUUUGAUUAUAAAAAUAUUAUGUUUUUUUUUAUGAAAAGUACUCAAGAAAUAUCAUUAAUCACUAAGAUCACGUGGUUGGAUUAGGUGUAUCCGAAACAUAGGUAUUACUCUCUUCCUUAGUUAGGGCUUAGCUUUUGAAAAUGUAGAUAGGUAAAGUGGAUGGAAAGUCUAUAACUACGUAGAGAUUGAGCUUGGAGGCCAAUCUAGCAAAUGUGGAGAUUAGAAAUAGUUUACCAUCUAGAUAGUCAAGCAUAGCAAUUUACCAAACCCUUACCAACCAUCCAUACUAACCAAUUGUGGUUAAAUGUUUACAAAAAUGUACAUUAAAUCAAAGAGAAAAAAGAUUAAAAACGAACAAGAGAGAAGAAGCACAUCACCUAAUUUUGGUAAUAAAUGAAAUUAAAAUAAAUUCAUAAAUUUUUUAAAUUAAAAUGAAUUUGAACUCUAGAGAUUUGUGUAGAUAUCUUAUUAAAAAACCAAAAAGUUUGUUGCAUAUAUAAUUUCAACAAUGCAUAAAUAAUUACAACAUACGCAAUACAAUAAUAUUACACAACUAUAUUUUCAAAUAUAAUAUAAGAUCAUUAAAGUGAUAAAUUGUAGUUGUAUAAAGUAUUUAUACAAGUAAAGAAGAAAUUAUGAGAUUAAAAUGCUUGUUGGAUUCUAAGUAAAAAAGAAAUGAGAUAUAGAGAUUGUCCCAUCAGACAUAUAGAAUUUCAUAUACAUAAUUUUCCCUUCAAGAAAAUUUAGGGUCAAAUUGAAAAAAUUUCAUUCAUAGAUUUUGGUAAAACCUCUAUCUAGUCCCCGAAGUCUUGUAUACAAAAGGAAAUAACAUUGGUAUGAGGGGUUUGAAUGCUUAAUUUUAGAUUGAAAAUGCUUGAGAUAAUUUUUGAUCGACUUCACAUGUGUUUUUAAUAAACUUGGAACAUUCAAACUUGUAUUUGAAGAAUCUUCAAUUUGAUCUUAAAUAAUGUUGAAACCUUCAAAAUUUGAAUAGAAGAAUCUUUAAGCAUUUGAAUUUUGGUUUAAAGAAUUUUGAAAUUUGAGACUGAAGAAUCUUCAAAUUUGGGCCUGAAGAUCAAAGGCUAAGCUUGAAGAGUUCUUGAAGCUUGAGUGGUAUGUCCGAUUUUGUUUUGUAUUUUAUAAAAACUUUUAGGCUAUGUUUGGUUCCCAGAAAAUUUGAGGGAAAAUGCGAGGGAAAGAAAAUACAAAGGAAAAGUAGAAGGAAAGAAAAAGUGAAGGAAAAUAAAAAAAUAGAUUAAAAGUUGAUAAAUUAUUUUUUUUGUUACUUCAAACUCAUUUUAUUUAUUUUAACUCAUCAAUAUAAAGAUUAAAUAAUUUAAAAAUAUAAAAGUUUUUAAUUAGUUUUAAUUAUAUUUAAUUUUCUUUGAUAUUUUUUAUAAGACAACCAAACAUGAGAAAAUCAUUUUCCUUAGCAUUUUUUUUCUUUCCUUUGUACUUUCCGGGAACCAAACAUAGCCUUAAGUAUACUAUAUUUAUAGGUUUGAAGAGACAUUGAGAUUUUGUAUACAUGUUUGGAGUUUUAAACCUUGAAAUAUUACUCUUUUAUGAAAUUAACAUUUAUAAAAUUUGGAAGAACAUAAUUAGAUAAUAUUCUAAGUUAUUUUUAAUGAAAAUUGAUAAUUACCUUUUAAUUAUCAAAUUCACUAUUUCUAUUUAUUUUUGUAAUAUAUAUUAAUUACUAAAAUCAUUUAUUUCCUUUAUUUAGUUUGAAAGCAAUUAUAUAUCUUUUGUUUGUGUAGAGCUCAUGUGACACGACAAAUUUUAUUUUGUAACUUGCUCUGGAUGAAUGGCCAUUAUAAACUUCAUUUUAUCCUCAUCUGAUUUUGACGUGGGAAUAGGAGAGAUGAGGAUUUGACAUUUGGACCUAAGCCUCAGAGGGUUUUAACUCCACUCAACUACUUUAUGCCUUGUAUUUAAUAUUGCAAACCAAAAUAAUAACAGACAUGAUCCUUUUCAAAAUUUUUAUAUUAAUAGAAGUGUAAAUAAUAUAAGUAAAAAUAAUGUAAUAUUUUUUAAAAUGAUAAAAUAAUAGGUUACAUAAAUUUUAAUAUAUAGGUAAAAUUAAUUAAAUUUUAACAAAUACCUUCACACUUAAACAUUACAUAUCUUUUAUUUAAUAAAAUGUUAAAAUAUUAAUAUAUUUAAAAUUGUAUAAUUAUUUUUAUUUUAAUACUAUAUAAAUUAUAUAUUUAUGAUAUUACUGGUUCAACUAUAAUUCAAUCACUGGUCCAACCAUUGAACCAUGAAUUAGUAAAUUUUUUUAUUCAAUGAUAGGUUUGAUUCUAAAAACAUUAUGGCUAUGUUUGGUCCCAGAAAUUUUUUUUUGAUGGAUAAUGACAAAGAUAUUACCAAUUUGAUAUCACCAAUUGAUAACACAAUUAAAAAAUAAUAUGAAUUUUAACAUAUUUGAAUUCAUUGUAAUCAUAUCCAUGACCUAAUUUUACACAUCCUUAAAUCAUGGUUGAUUUAUGAAACAAAUCUAUACCAUCAAUAGAAAAUAAAUAAAUAAAAUAAUACAAAAAAAAUAUAUAGAUAGUCAAGCAUAGCAAUUUACCAAACCCUUAGCCACCAUCCAUACUAACCUGUUGUUGUUAAAUGUUUACAAAAAUAUACAUUAAAUCAAAGAGUAAAAAGAUUAAAAACGAACAAGAGAGAAGAAAUACAUCACCUAAUUUUUGUAAUAAAUGAAAUUAUAAUAAAUUCAUAAUUUUUUUAAAUUAAAAUAGGAAUUCAAAUACAUGUAACUAUUGUUUUUGUCUUGUAAAUCAUCCAAUUUUUCAAUGAAUUUAAACUCCACAGAUUUGUGUAGAUAUCUUAUUAAAAAAAGCAAAAAGUUUUCACUAAAAUCAUAAAAUUUAGAUUAGAAAUGAUUUACUAUAUUAGUUCAAAAUUCACCUCCACAAAAAUUGAAAUAAAUUAAUUAUCUUCAAUUCAAAUAAAAUUUCUCCAAUUAAAUUUCCAAAUAUGUGCCUUAAUACCUAUAAUGGAAUUAGUAAUUUUAAUUAAAAUAAAAAUAAAAAUAAGGAUUUGAUCUUUUUCUUACCAUUUGAUGAAAAUUAUAAAAUAUAUUAAAAUGACAAGUGAUCAGACAUUUGAAAUUUGCAUCAUUUCUACCAUUGCAAACACCACCAACCCCAUAUUUCCCAUUUUUCUACCUACUGCCAAUUCACUCAUCUCUCUGGGAAGAUUUUUGAGGUUAUCGUCAUGCUUGAGAUAAUCCAGAAAGUUGAGCGGCAUCACUCUCUGAAAGGUGCCUUACAGCAUGGGUAAUGUAUGGGAUACAUCUGAUAACUUGCCAUAUCCAUAAACCACUAUAUUAAACCAUGGUUCAUAUCCCCAACGUUACACGAGAAUCUGUACUCAUCCCAAGCAGCUUGGAGAUCAUAAAAUUAGGUUUUGAGGGCCUCCCGAGACAUGCACAGCUUCACCCUUUGUGCAUUCCUUUGAUUUGGAAAAUUUCUUCUUUAGAAUUCCCCAUUAUCAUGCCCUGAACCAAGACAUAUCAUGAUUGGAUGGGCCCCUUCACCAAUUUCACAAUAUCCAAUAGCAUAUCAUUUACUUCCCUUUUGUCAAUGGGAAUUACCAUUUUGCAUGGGAAGCACCAACGGAGAUGGAGGUUUUCAAAUUGGAUCACUAGCAAAGAAACCCACCGCAACUAUCUGAAUAAUUGAGCACAACAUCGGCUUUAGAGAACUCCUCCUGAAGGCGAAAUCGUCAUCUUGGCUAAACGUAGUCAUAGUUGGGUUGUGAGAAAUGGAGAUGAAUCAUAGAAGGCUUUCAGUUUCAUAGCAACGAAAAGGUAAAUGUACUCUAGAGAAGUUUUGACCUUGGGAGAAGCGCUUUUGAAUCCAAGUCAAGGUCUGUUCUGGAUCCCUUUUCGACUCUCUCUAUUAAAGGAAGAUAAUCUGCCUAGGAUUUGGAUGCAAGCUUGCAAGGCCAUGUUUAGGAGACUUAUGCAAAAUAUUUAUCCAUAGCUCCCCGCCUGAAACAUCUACAUAAAGCGUCUUCCAAGUGUGAACCAUUGUCUUGGGUCCUUGAGAUGAACAAAAACUGAGACAUAUCGUGAGUUAGAUGCAUUGCCUGAAAAUGCCGAGCAGUAGUAUGGCCUUCUUUCUGAUCAACUGUUUUGUCAAAUUCUAGAGCUCUCAUUCCAAAUCCAUCAGUUUUCUCAAAUGAUUGGCUAGUGGAGAUCCAUGGAUAUAACAUAUGAAAUGUGCACAAUAAAAGUAAUCAAACGGUUGGUUGGUUUGGCUGAAUCCCACAAUCGCAAAGACUAAUCAUAUGAAACUGUUACCAGCUGAGUUGAAUUUGGCCUAAAAAGGAUAUCCGUUACUACAAACUAGCGUUCUUUCAUGGUGCUCUCUCUUUGCAGGCUAUCCAUGUUCCAAAGAAAAACUCUCUUGUCAUGUCUGGCACUAGGCACUGAUUAGAGUGUGGGACGUUCAUUCUCCAUUAUCACCAAACACAUGCAGGAUAUAUAUAUAUCAAUUCAUUCAAAAUAUGCCUUUAUUUUAUGGAACAUAACCGAAUCCAUUUUGUUUGUGUUGAAGAGGUAUAGAUCUUCUAAGGCUGUGGAGGGCACCACCUUUUCUCAGAAUUCUCUCUGACGAUGGGAAGCCGAAGAGAACGGGUUUUGUUUUUAUUUUGAAAACGUUGUUAUCAUUAAAGAACAAACACUAUUCUUUGGAUUUAUACCCUCUUGCCUUAGGGACCAUACUGUUUGGCUAUUGGGCCUCACGAGUCUUAGGCCCAUCAUCUAAGGCCCAUGAUGGCACUGGGCUCUACACAUAAGGUGACCCAUACUCUGGAACGAAUAGAAAUCAUAUGUAUAUAUAUGGAUAGCUAAAUCCUGAACAAUGGUUAAUAUGAUGUCGGUCCACAUUUAUUCUAUCAAUCUCCCACUUGGACCACAUAUAUUACAAAACAAUGUUCAUGAUAGUACUUUAUUGAGCUCAUCUUUGCUAUCCUAUCUUAAUAUCCUUAAACAAUCCGGUCUACUAGUUAUGCUAACAUAGGAUCAAAGUGGCCUUCAUUAAUCAUAAUUAUAACUAGACCCAUCAAUGAUCACAACAUUAACAAAAUUAGCAACAUAGAUCAAGUAUGGAUGUGUAGCAUGGAAAUUACAUAAAAUGUGAUCUUUAUUAUGUCUAUUUCCAAUUGGUCCUACUUUAUGACUAAAAAAUAGUCAAAUUCCACUUUCAACACUUGAUGCUAAACUGCUUUUAAAAGUCAUCAUUUCAAUUCAGAGAAUUCAAAUACAAUAGUCUUUAAAAUCAAGGUUUGUACAGAUAACACAAUAUAACAUCAUAUCAAGAAAACAAACACAAAAUCUAAAUACAAACUCCCACUAUACUGGAACAUCAUCAAUAUGUACAACACCCAUAUGUGUGACAUGAUCAUGAUAUACUUUGGGUGGCAAACCCUUAGUGAGCGGAUCCGCAAUCAUGAAGUUUGUGCUUGUAUGUUCAAUCGAUACUUGAAGACUCUAAACUCUUUCUUUCACAACCAAGAACUUGAUGUUAAUGUGUUUGGACUUUGACGAACUUCGGUUGUUCUUAGAAUUACAAUUCUGUGGCUUUAUUAUCACAAUUUAUUCUUAAUGGUUUCUCAAUCUCAUCAACGAUUCGCAACUGAGUGACAAAAUUCCGUAGCCAUAUCCCAUGGUUUGAUGCUUUGUAGUAGGCUAUGAAUUCUGCCUCCAUGGUGAAAGAAGCAAUAAGUAUUUGUUUAACACUUUUCCAUGAAACUGUUCAUCCAACCAACAUGAAGAUGUAGCUUGAAGUGGAUCUCUUGCUGUCAAGACAUCCCACGAAAUCGGAGUCCGAAUAUCCCAUGAUCUCUAAAUGACUGGAUCUACGGUAUGUGAGCAUAUAAUCUUUAGUUCUUUGUAAAUACUGCAUAACCUAUUUUGCCUUUUUCCAGUGAUCCAUACCUGGGUUACUCAAAUAUUUGCCUAACAUUCCAAUAAUGUACGUAAUAUCUGGAUGCGUACAAACUUGUGCAUACAUGAGACUUCCUAUUGUUGAGGCAUAGGGAAACCUCUUCAUAUCCUUCUUUUUAAGUUCAUUUUUCGGACAUUGGUGCAAACUAAAUUUAUCGCCUUUUGCUACAGGCAUGUCUCCUGGUGUACAAUUGCUCAUGCCAAAUCUACUUAACACCUUAUCGAUGUAGGCCUUUUGUGAUAACCCAAGUAUACCUCUUGAACGAUCCUUAUAGAUCUGUAUACCCAGCAAAAAAGAUGCAUUACCUAGAUCCUUCAUGUCAAAUUUACUAGACAAAAAUCGCUUUGUUUCAUGCAAAAGUCCCACAUCACUACUUGCAAGUAGAAUAUCAUCAACAUAUAGCACCAAGAUAAUGAAUUUGCUCUCACUAAACUUGAGAUAUAUGCAUUGAUCAAUGGUGUUUUCCUUAAAACCAAAUGAAGUAAUCACCUGAUCAAACUUUUGGUACCAUUGUCAAGAUGCUUGCUUUAAACCAUAUAUGGACCUUUUUAAUCUGCAUACAAGUUGCUUUGAAUCAUUAGACUCAAAGUUCUCCGGUUGCAUCAUGAAUAUUGUUUCAUCAAUGUUACUAUUAAGAAACGUAGUUUUAACGUCCAUUUGAUGCAGCUCUAAAUCAUAAUGAGCCACAAGUGCCAUGAUGAUUCUAAAGGAGUCAUUUGACGAAACCGGUGAAAAGGUCUCCUUAUAAUCAAUGCCUUCCUUUUGAGUGAAACCUUUUGCGACUAGACGUGCCUUAUACCUAACAAUGUUGCCUUUUGAAUCCCACUUGGUCUUAAAAAUCCAUUUACAACCAAUCGGUUUUACACUUUCAGGCAACUUUACUAGGUCCCAAACACCAUUGUCUUUCAUUGAUUUCAUCUCAUCCUUUAUGACUUCUAUCCACUUUUCAGAGUCAGAACUUUGUUUGAAUUGACUAACUGAAAUUGGAUCGUCUUCCAAACCCAUGUCAAACUCUUGUUCCUGGAGAUGUACAACAUAAUCAUCUGAAAUUGUACUUCUCAUUUCUCUAGUGGAUCUCCUUAGUGGCACUUGUAUUUGAGGUUCUUGAGGCUGUUGAGUUACCUCUUCAUAAACUUGAAUCGGUUCCAUAACUUGAGCAGGAGGAAUCUCAGGUGUGUUUUGAAUCUCUGUUAUUGACUGCACAUUCUGGAUAGUGUCAUCAAACAUAAUAUGACCAUGUCCAGUUGUAAUAAUAGGAACACUAACAGAUUACUCUUCAAAUACCACAUUUCUUAACGGUUCUCUCCCAUUUAACUCAACAUCCUCAAUAAAUUUAGCUUUGCCCGUUUCAAAAAAGGAUCUAGUUGAGGGGUCAUAAAACUUGAAACCUCUCAACCUUUUAGAAUAUCCUACAAAGUAGCAGCUCACUGUUCUGGAGUCCAAUUUCUUUUCAUUUGGUUUUUAAGGCCUAGCUUUAGUUGGACAACCCCAGACAUGCAAGUGCCUAAUACUAGGUUUCUUGCUAGUUCAUAACUCAUAUGAGGUUUUGGCUACUGCUUUGCUUGAGACUCUAUUCAAAAUAUAAAUUGUUGUUUUGAUGGCUUCGCCCCAAAGUGAUUCUGGUAAGGUGGAAUGACUGAUCAUACUUCUUACCAUAUCCUUAAGAGUACGGUUUCGCCUAUCUGCUACACCAUUUUGGCUUGGAGUCCCCAGCAUAGUGUAUUGAGGAACGAUACCACACUCCAUCAAAUAUUUGGCGAACGACCCUAGACGUUGUUCAUUGGAUCCGUCAUAUCUGCCAUAAUAUUCACCUCCACGGUCAGAUCUGACGACCUUUAUUUUCUUGCUUAGUUGGUUCUCAACUUUAGCUUUGAAAUUCUUGAACACAUCUAAUGAUUGAGACUUCUCAUGAAUCAAAUAAAGAUAGCCAUAGCGCGAGUAAUCGUCAAUGAAAGUGAUAAAAUAUUGUUGUCCAUUCCAAGAAGGGGUAGGAAAUGGACCACAAAUGUCCGUAUGUAUCAAUUCAAAGACGUCACUGCACUUGUUAGCAUCAUUUUUUUCUCAUAUUUGUUUGUUUACCCUUAAUACACUCUAUACAGACUCGAAAGUCUAUGAAAUUAAGUGGAUCAAGAAUUCAUUCUGACACAAGCCUUUGAAUACGUUGAUUUGAAAUAUGACCCAAACGCCUGUGCCAUAACAUCGAUGAAUUCUCAUUUGUUAAUUUCCGUUUAAUGUCAUAAUUACUUGAAUUCAAGGUUUCAUUUCCAUUAGUGGUCUUUAUAUUUAAUUUGUAUAAUUUGUCUAUUAGACUACCUGUACCAAUAACAUUUGAAUUUAGAUAAAGACUAACCAUUCCAUUUCUAAAUGAACAAUAAUAUCCAAAUUUGUCUAGACAUAAAACAGAAAUUAAAUUCCGUCUAAACGACGAUACUACAAAAGUCUCUUCCAAAUCCAAAGUACAUCCAGAGUCUAACUGUAAUCUAAAAAGACCAAUAGUCUUGACUGCAACCUUGUUGCCAUUUCCCACAUAGAUGUAUUUUUCACCAUCAGUUGGCAUUCGACUCCUUAGGCAACCCUACAUCGUGACACUUAUGUGAGUAGUUGCACCCGUAUCUAUCCACCAAGUGUCAGUAGGCACUACGACUAAAUUAAUUUAUGAACAAACAAAGUUGAGAAGUGUACCUUUCUUUUCACGCCAAGCGGCGUAUUUGGUACAUGUCUUCUUCAUAUGACCAACCUUCUUGCAAAAGAAACAAGUCAUCUCCUUAUCUUGUUUCUUCUGCACCUUUUGCAUUGAUGUCCUAAAAAUUGCAUUUUGUUUUUCUUUAUUGUCCUUCUUUCUUUUCUUUUUGGUACCAAAUCCCUGAGAUGUGGAAGCCAAGUGAGAACUUUCUAUCUUUUCUUGUUUCAAUCUCUCAUCCUCUUGUGCACAUUGAGCAAUAAGCUCAUUCAAAGUCCAUUUUUCCUUUUGUGUUGUAACUAAUUUUGAAUGGACUGAAUUGUGUAGGCAGAGAGAUUAAGACCAAGUGCACAAGUAUGUCUUCCGAAAACUCUAACUUUAGUGCCUUUAGUCUAGUCACAAGAUUAGACAUUUCCAUAAUAUACUCCCUUAUAUUCUCUUUCCCUUUGUAUCGCAUAGAGACAAGCUUACUAAGAAUAGUGCUUGUCUCAACCUUUUCAUUUGAAGCGAAUCGGUUUGCUAUCUGGUCUAAGAAUGCCUUGGCUUGAGUUUUCUCAGGUAUUGGACUCCUUAUAGCUUUUGGAAUUGAGUACUUCGUUAUCAUUAGACUCAUGCGAUUGGAUCGCUCCCAUUUUUCCAUAGUAGACCUUUGCUCAGUAGUGCUGGCACUAGUAAGAUCUGGAGGGCGAUCCUCUCUUAAUGCAUAGUCUAAAUCCAUGCACCCGAGCACAAUUAUAACGUGCUCCUUCCAUUUCUUGAAGUUUGUGUCAUUAAGCGCAGGAAUGUUAUUAACAUUUGUAGAUAUAGAAUAUGUUAAAUUCAUAAUAAUAAAGCUCACAAUCAAUCACAUAAACAUCAUACAUACAUGAAAAAUAACAUCAUACAAGAUACUUAGCACAAAUAUUAAUAUUUUGUCUUUGGACAAUAAAUAUUAACUUGUAAUUGGUAUCCUUAUACAAAAUUAAUUCAUAAAUAUUGACAAUAAAACCAAAAACAAUAUGUUUGUCUUUAGACUAAUAUGUCGAAUGCAAGAUAAACUUUAUAUGUCACAUAUUUAUGACUACUUUAUUUAUUAUUAUAUUAAAAUAAUCUUCCUUUGGGCCGAUUAUUUUAAAUAAUAAUAAUAACAUGUUUAGAUAUUAUAAAAUAAAUAAAUUAUAUAAUAUAAGUUACUUUGGCAACUAACAUACAUAAUUCAUUUAUUUUAAAAUAUUAAACACAAACAUAACAAGAAAUAAUAAAUUCAAUUAAAAUUAUUUAUUUAUUUAUGCAUAAUAUAUAUAUAUAUAUAUAUAUAUAUAUAUAUAUAUAUUAAUUGAAGCAUAAAAAACCAUCUACAUGUGUAUAUAUAUCAAUUGAAGCAUAUAUACAAGCAUUAGUCUAAUGGUUUAAGCAAAAAAUAGGCCAUGGUAAAGGGUUUAAGCCAACCCGCCCCUUUAGUUUGGUUUUUGUUUUUUUUUUUUUUUUUUUUAAUUUCUUUUGGGCUACUGACCAUGCAUUCUCUCAUGGCCCAACGAAUAUAUAUAUAUAUUUGUUUUAAAAAAAUUUUGUCCAUUGCAGCCCAAAGCGACCAUCCCUUGUAAUGGCAUCAUCAACGGUGCCAGAGCUGUCCUCGAACGACACCGACAGUGAAACGCCGCCACCAUCACCGGAACGGUGAUUUCCCAUCGCCAAACGACGGUGUCACUACCAGAAUGACGUUGUAACGGCAUCGCUGGGAAGCAGCCUAACCUGUGGCGUGACACCAUGACAAGCAAUGCCGCUAGCAGUGAAACGUUGUCGCCAUCACCAGAAUGGUGAUUUUCCAUCGCCAAACGAUGGCGCCACCAUCGAAACAACGCUGAAACGACGUCACUGGGAAGCAACCCUACCCGCGGCACCAAAAUGGCACUUGGAUGACAUUUGGAACUCUUGCAACAACGCUCAAAUCAGCGAUUCUCACUGGCAAAUGACGCUUGAACGACGUCUGGAAAUAAUGCCUACAACGCCUAAAAAUUGUGCUCUUUUGAACGCCUGAAACAACGUUGAAAUGACGUCUACCGGCGUCUGGAAUUGCACCGCUGUCUAGAACGAUGCCAUGAUGGUGUCUCACUCACCUUAAAUGGCACCAACCACCGUGACUUGCAUCCCCAAAAAUGGCACUUGAACAGCGCCUGAAGCGUGCCUGGAACGACGCUGCAAACGAUGCUUGAAAUGGUGCAUUUUGUAUGCUUGAAAAUGGCACAGGAAUGACGCCUACACUACGUCCAUUUUGAAUGCCUGAACGGUGUCCUAACGGCGCCUGAAUGACGCCUGGAAUUGGCCCAGAUUUAUUUUAUGUUGUUUCCUUCCUCUUGGAUCUUUUGUUUGUGUUUUAAAAAAAAAGUGUUUUGGUGAAAAUGGGAAAUGCAACCAGGCUCUGAUACCAUUUUGUGGGACGUUCAUUCUCCAUUAUCAUCGAACACAUGCAGGAUAUAUUUAUAUAUAUAUAUAUAUAUCAAUUCAUUCAAAAUAUGCCUUCAUUUUAUGGAACAUACCCGAAUCCAUUUUGUUUGUGUUGAAGAGGUAUAAAUCUUCUAAGGCUAUGGGGGGUACCACAUUUUCUUAGAAUUCUCUAUGACGAUGGGAAGCCAGAGAGAACAAGUUCUAUUUUUAUUUUGAAAACGUUGUUAUCCUUAAAUAACAAACACUAUUAUUUGGAUUUAUACUCUCCUACCUUAGGGACCAUACCCUUUGGCUAUUGGGCCUUACGAGUCUUAGGCCCAUCAUCUAAGGCUCGUGAUGGCACUAGGCUCUACACAUAAGGUGGCCCAUACUCUGGAACGAAUAGAAAUCAUAUGUGUAUAUAUGGAUAGCUAAAUCUUGAACAAUGGUUAAUAUGAUGUCAGUUCACAUUUAUUAUAUCAUAGAGACUUCCCAUAUGAAGAAAAUUGACAGUAGGUAGCUUUGCCAUUCUUGUCCGUAUACAACCAACCUUAGCAAGGGUUGAACCCUUUUAUGCUUAGUUGUGCCAUACAAAUCCUUACCACCGCCUACAACAUGUAAUCGAAAUGAUUCGAUAAUAUCAUCUAGUGAACCAAUACCUCCAAAUGAGAGACCAUUGCCUUGGUAACUAGGGCUCAUGACUGAGAAUUGCGUGAACCCCUUUGCUUGGGUUGGAGCUUAACUGAUGCACAAAAUAUUCAUAGGCCUCUUCCCAUAACUGGCACCUUGUGUUUGCAACAUAAUUGAACAUGUAUUGAAGUGAGUUUUUUUGCAUCUUUUUGUAAGAAAAUUCUAAACAACAGAGACUGCUUAGUGUGCCCGGCUCCUCGGGAAAUCAAGGUUCAUUCCUGUAGGGCCAGUUUUUUCACAGUCGAACUAGAUAACAUGGAGAGUAUGUUGCAAUGCUUCAACAGGGUAUUUCUUAGGAAAAUCCACCUGAAGUUGGUACAAUUCGUUGGCGUACUGAGUUCCUGGAGCUCUAUUGACUUCAAUCACCCAUCUCUGUAGAUUAUCGAUGACUUAUGCUCGGAUCCUGUAGGAGGAUUGACCUGACAUUCCACUAGCUCUUUCUGGAAGACGAUCUUGUUUAACACCUUGUGAGAAGAGGCAAGGGAACUGGUCAUUGUUUCUUCGAGAAGAUCAGUGGCCGAGGAUGGGUUUGGACCAUAAUUGCUAUAUGGGUUUUCUUUGGGUGAACCAAUUAGUGGAGUGGGUGGCUAUAUAGCAACUGAAGGGUGGUCAUACUAAUGAGGAGCUAUUAUUUCAUGCAUGUGGAGAGGAAAUGAGUAGCUUCUUCAAGGAUAUAUGAUUAUUCAUCUCUAGCUUACGUUGAAUAUCUCCUAACAAAUUUCUGCUUUGAAGCUCCCUUAGUUUCACUACAGCUAACUUGGCCAACUUGGUUUCAUCAUGUUUCCUACAACCUCUAAGCAAAGCACGCCAGAUCACUGAAUCAGGUUCUAUUUGCAUUUUGUCCAUAAACUCCUUUGCCUAUUGACAAUAAACUGCCCCUCAAAAUUUGAUGAGAUAACAUCAAUGCUGACAUGUUGGUCAUCCCCAUAAGCAUCUUUAUAGAGAUUGAUUCUAUGUUUAGAUAUUUCUCUCUCCUCAAGUGAGUUCAACUUUUUUGUAACAUCCUUCUCCUUCUCUACUAAUAGUCUUAGUUGAACAUCCAACCUAUGUUCCCAAAGUGCCAGCAUCUCAUAUCUGAUGACAAGCCAACAACCUUGCCCUUGCUGAGACCCAAAUAAGUAUCCAGAACCAUCAGCAUCAACCCUUUCAUAGGCCUUUGUAUUUGAAGGUCGGAUUGGGAUUGCUUUGAAUGCACUGGCACUACAAUACACAAUUGUAUCUUCUCCAAUAAAAACACCACACAGAGGUGAGGGGACUGGUAUUAGCAAAGAAGUGUUGUUAUCUAUAUUGUUCUGAGCCCGAGUACCCUCAACAAAAUCCUCAUCCUCAUCUGUACUCUUCCAUUACAUCCCUAGGCUUUUCAAUGUGAUCCACAUGGCUUACAGGAAUCCAGAAAUACCAGUCUGUAUAAAUGUUGCUCUUAUGGGGCUCUCCUAGAAAACAUCCCUAUCAAGAUGAUCAACCUAGCUUAGAUGCUCAGCACCCCAAACUUACUAGAAAUAGAGGAAUUAAAAGCAAGGAUAGGAGCCAAAGUAAAAAUUUAGGGAAGAGCAAAUAGGAAAUCAAGCAAAACAUGAAUGUACAGAGCCUCAUUUCAGGUGACAUCUUUGGGCUAAUAAUAGGUGGAAUUAACAAAGUAGACAAGCAUGAUUGUUAUAAAUAUCAAGUUCAAGGAUGAAGCCGUGCAUCAGCUACUUAUAGGGGGAGUCAAGGAAACCAAGAUAAGAUCAAAGAGAGCAUGUAUGCAAAUAAACAGAUUCGAAAAAAUAGACCAAACAACUCGUGAAUAUCCUCCUACAAAAAACUACUACACGUGGCAAAAAGUGAUGAAACAAAAAGAGUCGGGUCCGCAUAUACAUAUCCUAUUCUAUCCUAUUCCUUCAAAUCCAAAGCAACCUGUAUUUUCAAUGGGAUUUGUUGUGAUGAAUUUUACUGGAUUGUAACAUGUAAAUAUGUUAAAAGAGGCUUGGGACAUUCCUAUAUAGUAACGCAUAAAGGUACUUCCAUUGUGAAGUUGUCAAAAUUGCAAAUUUAAAUUACAAAAUUUGAAAACAUAGAGAUGAAAGAUGAUGAAACCUUCUUUGAAAUUUUAUAUUGAACUCAUUAAUAUUAUUAAUUUUCAUUUCAGUGUAGGGGAAAGAAUUCUUUACUCUAAAGUGGUCACAAAAAUAUUAAAAUUCCUUGUUGAGAGAUUUAGACCUAAAGUGAUCAAUAUAGAAGAAAGUAAAAAUAUUCUAAGUGUAGGUAAACUUGUAGACUCAAAUGACUCUACCUUCUCAUAAAAAAUCCUCAAUUUUAUAAAUUAUAUAGAUUUCUUCAUUUGAUACAAAAUUUGAAUAAAGAUUUUUCAAAUGACAACACAAGGAAAGGGAAAAAAAAAAUUCUCUCCAGUUCAUUUCAUUUAAUCACUUAAAUUAUUUAAAAAUAAAAAUGUUUACUGCUAACAUUAUUUAGAUUCAUCUUUCUUUUGAUGGAGGUUAAAAUUCAUAAUUUUGAGGAAAAAGAUGAGGAUUCUCAUUUUUUUUUCCAUGUAUGAAUGGGAUUCUCAUUGUGUAUAUGUGGGUUACUAAAUGGCAAAUUUAGGGGCCAAUAUGAGGAAAAAUAUGAAGUUGAGUUUGUCACCAAGAACAAACAUGACUCCUAUAAAGGUGGCAUCCUUAAUUUCAUGUCUGGAUUAGACUUCUCAUGUAACAACUUAACAGGUGAAAUCUCUCAUGAACUUGGAAUGUUAAGUUUGAUUCAUGCAUUGAACUUGUCUCGCAAUCAACUAAAGGGCUCCAUUUCAAACAGUUUUUGCAAUCUUUCUCAAACAGAGAGCUUAGAUCUUCUUAAUAAUAAACUAAGUGGAGAAAUUCCUCCAAAAUUGGUUAGACUAACUUUUUUAGUGGUGUUCAAUGUGACUCAUAGUAGCAUCUUUGGAAGAGUUUCAGAUAUGAAUGCAUAAUUUGCAAUAUUUGAUGAAAGUAACUAUGAAGAUAAUCCUUUCCUUUGUGGACCACCAUUAAAGAGAAAAUGUAGCAUAAAUGUUAAGCCACCUUACCCACCAUUAGAGUCUUCGGAAAAAAGUGAUGCAAAAUGGUAUAAUAUCGAUCUUGUGGUUUUCUUUGCAAGUUUUACUAUAUCAUAUAUCAUGAUAUCAUUAGGAAUUUCAACCAUUCUUUACAUUAACCCUUAUUGGUGUCAAAGAUGGUUCAAUUUUAUCGAGAAAUAUAUAUACUUUUGCUAUUAUUUUGUUUCCUAUACUCUUUCCAAGUUAUUAACAUAUUUUGAAUAAUUAGAGAUUUUUGUUUUCAAUAAUAUUUACAUAAUUAACUACUAUUGGCUUCCAUGACAUGGAAAGAAAUGCGGUGAAGGCAACAACCACUUUUUUUUCUCCUCUACUAGUGCAUGAUUGAUAUGAGUUAAAACUUGCACCCUUAUCUUUGCUUAAAUUUUCUCAGCUUUUGUUUCAAUUCUUAAUUAUCAUUUCUUUUAUGUGUUGUUUAAUACAAUAUCCUAAACACAUUGCUUUGAAGGUUACUUAUUUAUUAAGCAUGAUAUUUAUUUUUCAUAAAGACAAAUUCAAGUUUUUUAGGAAUUUUUAGAAUUAUUAUAAUUUGGAGUUCACAUUAGAGGAAAAAAGGAAAGAAAAGAAUAGAUGAUUAAAAAAACAAUUUUAGUAAGUAUAAUUUGUCAUCUUCGGUAUAACAAAUGGGAAUUCCAAAAUAAUAUUUCAAUUUGUUAGUCUAUUCCUUAUAGUAUUAAUUGAUAUAUCAAAUAGGAAGUCACGUUUUGAUUUUUUAUUAGCUUCAAUUGCAUGUCACAUAUAUUUUAAAAUCAAGCAUACCUCAGCCGGGAAGUUCUUGUAACAUGCAUGAACAUGAUAUGAUGAAUUGAAUAAUUUUCUUAAUUGUGUGAGACACAAACCCUCUUUGUUUAAUAAUAAUAAUAAUAUACUACACAUUAUUAAAUCAUAUAUGUAUAUUUAUAGUCGUAUAAUAUAUUCAAAAUAUUAAACACAUUACCCUCUUAAAUUUUUAUGAAUGGUGUUUACUUUACAUAACGACAGAUUCAAAUUUUUUUAGAAUUUUUUAAUGUUAAAAUAAUUUGGAGCUUAAUAGGGAAAAAAAAGAAUAAAUAAUUAGAAAAGCAAUUCAAAAAAAAUAAAAUUUAUCCUCUUAAAUUGGUUUUGUGUAAUACUAUAGAAGCCAUUUCUUGAGUUUGAUAUGGUAGAAUUCGGAUUCAUAUUUAUUUUAAAAUAAAGAAUUUCAAGGGUUGGUAGCAUCAAUAGAAUCUUAACAAAUUUGCAAAAAAGUAUUUGGGUAGAUCACAUUUAAAUAUAGCUAACAGAAUAAAAAAUUAAUAUUAUUAGGAAGACAUGAUCAAUUAAAUCUUUUUUCUUAUCUAUGACACCGAUUUUAUAUUUUUACAUAGUCAAUAUAAUUUAUUACAACUUAUAUGUCAUUAAAUUAUACAUGCUUAUAUUAAAUAUAAUAUAAGAUCAUUAAUGGAAUAAUUAUGCAAGUAAUAUAAAUUGUAUAUAAUAUAAAAAAUUUAAACUCCGUCAAACUAAUGGAAUCUAUUAUAAUAAGUAGACUAGACACCAUAUUGGCCCGAGUUGGAGGCCUGGGCCAGAUUUUAAAGGCUGGGCUUUGAGUUGCCCGUGGGCCUGAGCCAAGGCCUUCUCUUGGUAUCAUCAUUUUGAAGAAAUAAAUUGCUGAUACAGAGAAAAAAACUAUACUAAAUAGAAAAAUAAAUAAAAGCAUUGACUAAAAUGAAGGUCAAGGUCCUUGAAAAAUAAUCUUUAAAUUGUUGCAUAUAUAAUUUCAAUAAUGCAUAAAUAAUUGCAAUAUAUAUGAUAUGAUAAAGAAUUUGGAAUUAAAAGAAGAUUGAUCUAUUUUAAAUGUGGUUGGAAUAUUUUUAAAUUUGUGAUGGGAAGUUAGACAGCCAAUUAGGGAUCCAUAUUAUUUAUUUUCAAUUAUAUGAAUUUAUUUACUUUUAUUAAUAUUCUGAAUGCAACAAUAUAAAAUAUGUCAAUUUUCUAAAAUUAAAAAAGUAAUUGCAAAAGAAAAUUUUUAAUUAUUUUUCUGAAAUUGAGUUUAUCAUAACAUUUUUCUUUACAUAAAUUUCUUUUUUAUGUUUAUUUUUUUAAAAAUGAGAUAUGAAAAAAAAAGAUCAAUAUUAGUAAAAGUAAAACCCAAUAUAUAUAAAAAAAAUGAAUAAAUGUUUAUGAAAUAAGAUUUAAAAGUGAGAAGGUAAUAAAUUUUUUCUCUUUUAAUUCCUAUUCAAUACAUUACAAAAAAUAUUUUUGGUUUUUAUGCUAAAAUUUAUUGUUUAUUAAAAAAUUCUAGUAUAUCUAGCUAUCAUAGAAGAGCUCCAAAAUUUUAUUGUUUAAGAGAAUGUGUUGCCACUUUAAAAGAUUUAUAUGCAUACCUUUGGAUAUGUUUAGUUCCCGGUAAAUUUGAAGGAAAAUGUGAAGGAAGAAAAAUAGAGAAGAAAAGUAUAACAAAAUAAAAAGUGAAGGAAAAUGAAAAAUAGAUUUAAAAUUAAUAAAUUAUUUUCAUUGGUUUUUUCAAAUUUAUUUUACUUAUUUUAUUCUAUUAAAUAAAGAUUAACUAAUUUUAAUUAUAUUUGGUUUGAUUUUUAUUAUUUUUCAAAGCAAAACCAAAUAUGAAAAAAAAAACAUUUUUUUUGGUUAUUUUUUUCUUUCCUUAUUACUCUUCGGGACUCAAACAUAGCUUUUAGAUUUGGGGCAUGGAAAAAUAAGAGUAUUGAAUAAGGGUUCUAUAUAUGCCCAUGCCCAUGCCCAUGAUACCAUUGAAAAAAAUGGAGAGAGGGUGAAACCUUUACUAGAUGAUAAAUUAUUCUCUUCAAUGGAAAUCAAAUAUAAUUAUUUUUAUCUUGUAUUAAUUGAAUGUUAUACUCCAUAAACUCAAAAUUAAAAUAAAUAAAAAAUUUAAAAACUAGGACAAUCCCAUUUUUUUUCAAUUUCUUAAAAAGAAAUUAAAUUAUAUUUAUUUAUAUCUAUUUUCAUCCCUACCCAACAAAAUAAAAAAAAUUAACAUUGUGGAACAUGUAUGAGAAAUUCUCACAAUUUUUUUUAAGAAAAAUAAAUUUCUUAUUUUAUAUAUGUUAAAAAUAAAUAUAAUCUUUUAUUUUUUAUAUAUAUAAUCGGGUAAGGUAGAGUGGGACAAAGAAAUAAUCCCCUUCGAUUCCAAUCCGAAAUUUUAAAAUAUAAAAUAAAAAUCUUAAACUCAUCCCUAAUCCAUUUAUUUUUAAUCCUAAACUUGUCUUAUAAGGAAUAAGGCAAAGUAAGUACAUGAAAACACUUUUUUUUAUCAUCAUCUCUACAAGUUCUAAUGUUUAGAUUGCAAUCCAUAUCAAAGAUUUAUAAAGAAAGAACAACGAUGAAUUUCAUAAACAUUUGAAAGCAUAUACAAAGUUUUAAAUAAUAUUGCUUGAGGUGCAAAUAUUAUUUGGCGCACACGUUGAGGGACUUCAACUGGUGUUGUCUAGGUUUUUUACACUAGUAAGUAAUCUUGAAUAUCUAGAGUAACUUGAUCAAAAUCUCUUUAAUUUUAUUUUCUUUGAUGAAUUAGAAUGCUUAUAUAACAUGAUUAAAAAUUUUAAGAAAAAAAAACUAAGAAGAAAGAAAGAAGUACCGAUCUUCCAAAUAUUGCUUCCACUUUAAUAUUUAGAAGGCUCUAAGAAAAGAAUUUUAUUCAUGAAUCACAACCCAAGUCGAAAAUAAAUUGAACCCAUUUUCUAAGUUAAAUUUUGAAUUUUUUACUAGUGAAUGCAAAUUGGGAAAAUGUAUAUAAAUAUAAUUAAACUAGAAUAGUAGGUUAGGUUUGUGUGGUCCCACGAUGACUUGGAAGUUUCAACAAUUCAAGCAGACUCCACCUAUAAACCUAAUAUACUAUUUUAGUUUAAUUAUAUUUAUAUAUGUUUUCCCAAUUUGCAUUCACUAGUAAAAAAUUCAAAGUUGAACUUGAAAAAUGGGUUCAAUUUAUUUUCGAUUUGGGUUGUGAUUCAUGAAUGAAACAAUGAUCAAUGACUUGACUUUUAAGGCCAACUUAGUUAAGUCAUUCCUAACCCCUAUAUUAAUUUGGCCUUAAAAGUCCAGUAAUUGAUAGCUAAAUCCCAACCCAAGUCAAAAAUAAAUUGAACCCAUUUUCUAAGUUCAACUUUGAAAUUUUUUUUAAUUGGAAAAAUGUAUAUAAAUACAAUUAAACUAGAAUAGUAGAUUAGGUUUGUAGGUGGAGUCUGCUUGAAUUUGUGAAACUUCCAAGUCGUCGUGGGUCUAGUGGUCCCAUAGCUCUCUAUUAAUUUCCACCAUCAAUUUUCUGCAAUAAAGUCAAGUCAUUCCUAACCCCUAUAUUAAUUUGGCCUUCAAAGUCCAGUCAUUGAUAGCUACGUUCAUGAAUCCCAACCCAAGUCAAAAAUAAAUUGAAUCCAUUUUCUAAGUUCAACUUUGAAUUUUUUUUAAUUGGAAAAAUGUAUAUAAAUACAAUUAAACUAGAAUAGUAGAUUAGGUUUGUAGGUGGAGUCUGGUUGAAUUUGUGAAACUUCCAAGUCGUCGUGGGUCUGGUGGUCUUAUAGCUCUCUAUUAAUUUCCACCAUCAAUUUUCUGCAAUAAAGUCAAGUCAUUCCUAACCCCUAUAUUAAUUUGGCCUUAAAAGUCCAGUCAUUGAUAGCUACGUUCAUGAAUCCCAACCUAAGUCAAAAAUAAAUUGAACCCAUUUUCCAAGUUCAACUUUGAAUUUUUUUUAAUUGGAAAAAUGUAUAUAAAUACAAUUAAACUAGAAUAGUAGAUUAGGUUUAUAGGUGGAGUCUGCUUGAAUUUGUGAAACUUCCAAGUCGUCGUGGGUCUAGUGGUCCCAUAGCUCUCUAUUAAUUUUCACCAUCAAUUUUCUGCAAUAAAGUCAAGCCAUUCCUAAACCAUAUAUUAAUUUGGCCUUAAAAGUCAAGUCAUUGAUAGUUACGUUCAUGAAUCACAACCCAAGUCUAAAAUAAAUUGAACCCAUUUUCCAAGUUCAACUUUGAUUUUUUUUACUAGUGAAUGCAAAUUGGGAAAACGUAUAUAAAUAUAAUUAUACUAGAAUAGUAUAUUAGGUUUGUAGGUGGAGUAAGCUUGAAUUGUUGAAACUUCCAAGUCAUCAUGGGUCUAAGGGUCCCAUAGCUCUCUAUUAAUUUCCAUCAUCAAUUUUUAUGAAUUCAGAUUUAAAAGUGAGAAGGGAAUAAAUUUUUUCUUUUUCAAUUCAUUACAAAAAAUAUUUUUGGUUUUUAUGCUAAAAUUUAUUGUUUAUUCAAAAAAUUAAAGUAUAAAAAUAUAAAAUAUAUAUCUUGCUAUUAUAGAAGAGCUCCAAAAUUUUCGUGUUUAAGAGAAUAUGUGUUGCCACUUUAGAAGAUUUAUAUACAAAAAGGAUUGAUGUUUCUCCUUUGACUAUGUUUGGUUCCCAAAAAUUUGAGGGAAAGAAAAUAAAAAAAAGGUAGUAAAAAAGAAAAAAUGAAGGAAAAUAAAAAAUAGUUUUAAAGUUAAUAAAUUAUUUUUAUAUGCUAUUUCAAACUUAUUUUACUUAUUUUUUUUCAUUAUAUAAAGAUUAAAUAAUUUUAAAAUGCAUAACUAAUUUUAAUUAUAUUUAAUUUUUCUUUUAUAUUUUUUAGACGGGAUCCAACACAUGUAAAAAUCCUUUUUUUUAGCAUCUUUUUUUCUUUUCUUAUUACUUUCCAAUAACCAAAUAUAACCUUUAGAUUUAGCCUUUAGACUUGGAGUAUGGAAGGAUACUGAGUAUUGAAAGAAGGUUUUGUAUAUGGCCAUGAUACCAUAGAAAAAAUGGGCGACAGAGAAAAAACCUUUAUUAAAUGAUAAAUUAUUUUUUUCAAUGGAAAUCAAAUAUAAUUAUUUUUAAAAAUAAAAAUAAAAAAUAAUAAUUUGUUGUUGCAUUAAGUAUUCUUGCAUUUGGAGAAGCAUGUACUACUUACUACAUAAAUGGAUAUUCAUGGAGUGCAUUCUCUAGAAAGCUCCAGUCUCAUGAAAAUGGAAAGAUGGACCGGCCGGUGAACCGGUUCGAGUUUGGAUUUAUGGGCUGCCUCAGCCUAACACGCAUGAUAGGUUGUUGUAGGUGAAGAACUAACUAAUUAAUUUAAAGCCUUCUUCUAUCCUCUCCUAUUCCUCUAUCACUCCAAAUGUUCCACAUGAUAAUGACAAUUCUUUUGUUAAAUGGUAAAAAAAAAAUUUAACAAUUAAUUUAAAAAAUUUUUAAAAUCUAAAUCCAAUGGAAAUUUGACUGUAAGGUGCGUAGAAGGCCCUAGUGCCCAUGUUGCUAAUUUGAUGAUAGUUAAAUUACCAUUUCGAGAGAUUCCACUCACUAGUAUUCUCAUUUAUAAAAUCAUGAACUUUGGCAUCCUAAUUAAUGUAAUUUAACUUUUUUUUGUUUACAAAUGAAAUAAGAGGCAACAUAUAAACCCAAAAGUUAAUUUUCCUACCAUCUCUAUGCACCAUUUUAGCUUUACUCCAAUAUAUUUUCUAUGAUUAAUUAUUUUCAUUCAAACAAUAAUAUCAAAAUAUUUUAAAAUUAGACAUAUCCACUAAUAUAUCUUCGAUAUAUUAUAUAUAUCUGUAAAAUCGAAACACCAAUAUAUCCGUGAUUAUCGAUAUUUUUAUCGUUGAGGGAUAACAACUAAUCUAGUUUUUGUACCUAUUGAUAUUCCUCAACAUUUAGAUUGAUUUGACCAUUUUUUUUUUAAUUUUAUUUUCUUUGAUGGUUAUAUGAUGAAUUAGAAUAGUCAUAUAACAUUAACAGAUUUAAGCAAAAAUGAUAAAAAAGCUCGCAUUUUUCAAAUAUUGGUUUCAACUUUGAAUAUUUUUAUUGGUAAAUGAAAAUUGUGAAAAACCUACUAAUGCUAAUACUUUUCACCACAUAAUUAAAUAUAAUAAACUAGAAUAGUGAUUCAUUGAUGUCUUAUAAAGCUACAUGCCUUCUUUGACUUGUUAGUUGAUUUUUGUAGGUGGAGUCUGUAGGGACCCCUCCCCCUGAUGACACGUGGCACGCAUUUCUAUCCGGAUUAGCUCCAUCCGGAUUUCCUCCAAGGAGACACGUGGCGCGCUUCCCCUAUCCGGACUCCCUCAGGGAGAAGCACACGACACUCGCAAACAUCACAUCCGGACGACCGCCAUAUCGCAUCCGGACGAUCGACAUAUCCUAUCCGGAUAUGUUUGUCCGGAUCGUUGACUAAAGUAAGCAAGUCUUACUACGUCAUUCCGACAGCCUGCCAUGGCCCACGUUCCACCACCUGCAAAGUGAAAAGACAGGAAUGAUGGCAAGUCACUUCCUACGAUCUCUGACAGCUGUGGCGCCUCUCACGAUCUCUGUCAGCCGCCCGUAGGGUGAUGAUGGCCCUGUCACCACCUAGAGUCAUCAUGACAAGCCAAAAUAUCUCUCUAUCAUUAAAGAGGGAGACAGAGCUUCUGGUACUAUAUAUAUGGACCUUCACACAAAGAGGAAGGUAAGCUUGCUAUACCUAGUAAAAGGCCAACUGAUUUAUCUCUUUAACCAUGGCUGACAAAACCAUCGGAGGGUGUGUCCGGACACCCUGUCCGGACGCCUUUUGCAGGAACGAUUGAACCAGGAAUCUAUAUUGGUUGAGAUCGUGCGUCCAUCCAUUUGGCAACUACGUGGAUCACCAGGGACGCGAGGCCUCAACAUUGGCGCCGUCUGUGGGAAAAUCACUGAUUCAGUCACCGACAAAGAUAGCCACACCUUCCCAAAGCCGCUCGUCCGCUAGGGAAAAGGAAGAUAAUUCUGAAUGGCGCCGAGCCAUUGAAAGAAGACAGUUGGCAAGCUCGUGACAACUGCAAGCUCUCCUCCAGGAGACAGAAUGACUAAGAGAAGAAAACGCGGUACUACGCAUCCAAGCUUCAUCGACGGGGCCUCCCCGUCGUCAGCAUUCAAAAGGCCAGGUAGCAAACUCAAGGCCUGACCCAGAGUCAAUAUACCCUGGGGCAGCAGGAGCAAUACUUGAAACAUGCAACGUUAGGCCACAUGAGCCACACACGCCCAUGCACCGAGCUCCCCAUGAGGAAAGCUCAGACUCUACUCAUUUUUCAGCAAAAAGACAACGCGACAAAAAAUCCCAAUUGUCAAACUCAAUGCGUGCGAGACUAGGCCCACAGGAGCCUGGGAGGCCAAAGCCGCCAGUAGCCAUAACCUGGGCAGUGCACCUUGACCCUAUGGUCACCCCCAUGGUGCAGAGCGUUCUCCCGCACCGUGACCCUAUGGUCACCCCUAUGGUGCAGAACGUUCACCCGCACCUAGCGGUACGACAAGCUGGGAGAAACCUCCCAAAUGAGCCACCCAUUGGCUCCAUUAGCAAAAGGCUGGACGACAUGCUCUCCACGCCUUUUUGCUCUCAUAUCAUUCAUUACGAGCCCCCAAGGGGAUUCCUCGUGCCCAAAUUCUCCACAUACGAUGGGUCCAGCGACCCCUUCGACCAUAUCAUGCAUUAUCGACAGCUCAUGACUCUCGAUAUAGGCAAUGACGCGCAGCUAUGCAAAGUAUUCCCCGCCAACCUACAAGGGCAGGCCCUCUCAUGGUUUCACCGCCUACCUCCCAACUAUGUUGAUAAUUUCAGAGACCUAUCAGAGGCCUUCGUGGGACAAUACUUAUGCUCUGCUCGACAUAAGCAGAACAUCAGCACUCUGCAAAACAUAAAAAUGCAGGAUAACGAAUCCUUAAGGGAGUUCGUGAAGUGGUUUGGUCAUGCCGUACUACAGGUAAAGGCUUACAGCAUGGAUGCUGUCCUGCAGAUCUUCAAGCGAAGUAUUUGUCCAGGCACCCCAUUUUUUGAAUCACUCGCUAAAAAGCCUCCUACGACGAUGGACGACUUGUUCCAGCGUGCGAGCAAAUACUCAAUGCUCGAAGAUGACGUGCGAGCAGCCACCCAGCAAGUCUUGGUUGCCGGACAGGCAUCUAGAAGUGGCACGGAAAGAAGUGCCAAACUUCCGGACAGGCCAAGACAGUCCCAUCAAAGGCAGGAAGGGCCAAGUCGCCCGGAAAGGCCGCCCCUCACACCCCUUUCCAUAUCCUAUGAGAAGCUUCUCCCUAUGAUCUAAGACAUGUCCGACUUCAGGUGGCCUAGACCCAUCGGAACGGACCCAUCCAAAAGGGAUCAUAGUAAAAAAUGUGCCUUCCAUAAAGAGCAUGGUCACACAACGGAGACAUGCAGGUGCCUUCAUUAUUUGGUCGAAAGGCUCAUAAGGGCGGGACAUUUAAAGCAAUACCUCCACUCAGAUACCGGAGGUAGAGAUGCUUCCCGAAAUCACAACUCUGGAGCCCCUAGGGCCCUAGCCGUCCCCAAAGCCGUUAUAAACUAUAUUAACAGAGGCCCAUCUGACGAGGAGUACGACUCCAAACGAAAGAAACAAAAGUUGUUGCGGGCAGCAUCGGUGCGCGAACGUGUCAACUCCAUCCGGCCUGGGAUAACUGGGGGGGCCCUCGCCCCAUAGAUGGGAUAAUCAUUUUCCCACCAGUAGACCCCACCCGGAUAUUGAAGCCGCACCGCGACGCCCUCAUCCUGUCCUUAAAGAUAGGAGACUUCGACGUGAGACGCAUCCUGGUUGACCCAGGUAGCUCGGCCGAUCUUGUGCAAGCAUCGGUCAUUAGCCACAUGGGGCACAAUCUCACAGGCCUCGAAAACCCUGGGCGAAUCUUGUCCGGAUUCAACGGGGCGUCAACUACUUCAUUGGGAGACAUUGUACUGUCGGUCCAAGCUGGCCCAGUCACUCUCAACGUACAAUUUUCGGUGGUACAAGAUUUAUCACCCUUCAAUGUCAUCUUGGGGCGCACAUGGCUGCACUACAUGAAAGUCAUCCCCUCUACAUAUCAUCAAAUGGUAAGCUUCCUUACCAAGGAUGGGCAAAUUGACCUAUACGGCAGCCAGUUAGCCGCUCGCCAAUGCUACCAGAUAGCACGAGAAGCAGGGACCAACCAGGAGGAUGCAUCCCUCCCUGAGUCCAGCCAUGCACGUGACCAAUAGCAAUUAUUGAGUCCGGGGGACAAAGAUCCCCCGGCAGCGGAUCCCUUGCAAGCAAUCCAAAUUUCGGAAGAAGGUACUCACCUUACGAAUAUCAGUUAGAAGAGACCCGGAACAUGCAGAACGCCCUCAGACAAAACCAUGACGUCUUCGCAUGGACACAUUCUGAUAUGAAGGGAAUUCAUCCCUCCAUUACCUCUCAUAGGCUUAACGUCUUGCCAACAGCCAGACCCAUCCGGCAGAGGGUUAGACGUUUUCACCCGGACAGACAAAAAAUUAUCCGGAAUGAGAUUGACAAGUUGCUAGAAGUCGGAUUCAUCAGAGAAGUGCAUUACCCGGACUGGUUGGCAAAUGUAGUGGUGGUACCCAAAAAAGAAGGCAAAUGGCGGGUGUGAGUCGACUAUACCAACCUCAAUAAUGCAUGCCCAAAAGACAGUUUCCCUUUGCCACGGAUGGAUCAAAUUGUGGACUCCACUGCUGGGUAAGGGAUGCUCUCCUUCUUGGACGCCUUCUCUGGAUACCACCAAAUCCCCAUGUCCCCGGCUGAUGAAGAAAAGACAGCCUUCAUAACACCACAUGGUCUCUAUUGCUACAAAGUCAUGCCAUUCAGACUCAAAAACGCUGGUGCCACUUACUAGAGACUGAUGACGAAGAUCUUCAAACCUCUGGUCGGCCGCACAAUAGAGGUAUAUAUUGACGAUAUCGUGGUUAAAAGUAAAACCCGAGAGGAACAUGUCCUCCACUUGCAAGAAGUCUUCCACCUCUUGAGGAAGUAUGGCAUGAAGUUGAAUCCCUCUAAAUGUGCCUUUGGCAUAAGUGGUGACAAAUUCUUGGGAUUUAUGGUUAGCCAAAUGGGGAUAGAGGUCAGCCCGGACCAAGUCAAGGCAGUCAUGGAAACACCACCCCCUAGGAGCAAAAAGGAAUUACAACGCCUCACAGGCAAGCUCGUCGCGCUAGGGCGUUUUAUAGCCCGCUUCACUAAUGAACUGCGACCCUUCUUCUUGGCAAUACGAAAAGAAGGAGCAAACGGAUGGACGAACAACUGUCAAAGCGCUUUUGAAAAAAUUAAACAUUGCCUCAUGCAAUCGCCCAUCCUGAGCAGUCCCCUCCUUGAAGAAAAACUGUAUAUGUAUCUGGCUGUAUCGGAGUGGGCAAUUAGUGAUGUUCUAUUCCGCUGCCCCUUACCCAAGGAGCAGAAACCUAUCUACUACGUCAGCAGAGCAUUGGCAGACGUAGAAACCAGGUAUUCAAAGAUGGAGCUAAUGGCCUUAGCUCUUCGAAGUGCUGCCCAGAAGCUCUGCCCCUACUUCCAAGCCCACCCGGUGGUCAUGCUAACUGACCAGCCCCUUCGCAACAUUCUGCACAAGCCAGACUUAACCGGAAGAAUGCUUCAAUGGGCCAUAGAGUUAAGCGAAUAUGGAAUCGAGUUCCAACCCAGGCUGUCCAUGAAAGGCCAAGUUAUGGCUGACUUCGUGUUGGAAUACUCCCGAAGGCCUAUCCAGCGCAAGGAACCAAGUGAAAAAGAGUGGUGGACUUUGCGGGUCGAUGGAGCCUCACGAUCAUCAGGAUCCGGAGUAGGGCUCCUGCUGCAAUCACCAACAGGAGAACAUCUGGAGCAAGCCAUCUGGAUGGGGUUCCCCGCCUCUAACAAUGAAGCGGAAUAUGAGGCCAUCCUAUCCGGAUUGGACCUCGCCCUGGCUCAUCCGUCUCCAAGCUCCGGGUCUAUAGUGACUCCCAACUCAUGGUAAGACACGUUAAGAAGGAAUACGAAGCUAAGGAUGCGCGCAUGACGUGAUAUCUGACUAAAGUAAGGGACACCUUACAACGGUUCACCGAAUGGACGAUCGAAAAAAUCAAACGAUCUAAAAAUGGACGUGCCGACGCCUUAGCAGGCAUAGUUGCCUCCCUCCCCAUCAAAGAAGCCAUAUUGUUGCCUAUACAUGUGUAAGUCAACCAUUCCGUCGCGGAAACCUCCACUUGCAAUACCAUUGAGGCAAAUCAAGCAGACGACCAAGAGUGGACGGAAGACAUUAUAAGGUACCUCUAGACAGGCACUCUGCCUGAAGAGCCCAAGCAGGUACACAAGCUCCGGGUGCAAGCCGCCCGUUUCACCCUAAUUGGGGGGUACUUGUACAAGCGAUCCUUCACAGGUUCCUAUCUUCGGUGCCUAAACCACUCAGAGGCCCUGUAUGUAUUAGCUGAAUUGCACGAGGGAGUAUGUGGAAUUAUUCUGGAGGUCGAUUUCUGGCACACAGGGCCCAUUCGCAAGGAUAUUACUGGCCCACGAUGAAGAAGGAUGCGGCAGCCUAUGUCAAAAAAUGUGACAAAUGCCAAAGGCAUGCCCCCAUACCACAUGUGCCGUCGGAGACAUUGAAGCCAAUAUCAGGCCCCUGGCCCUUCACGCAGUGGGGCAUGGACAUAGUAGGACCCCUACCACCCCCACCCGCUCAAAAGAAAUUCCUGCUCGUCGCCACGAAUUACUUCAGUAAAUGGGUGGAAGCUGAGGCAUACGCUAGCAUCAAAGACAAAGAUGUCACCAAGUUCAUGUGGAAGAACAUCAUCUGCCGCUUCGGAAUCCCCCAAACCAUUAUAGCCGACAACGGUCCAUAGUUUGAUAGCAUCGCUUUCCAGAAUUUCUGUUCGAAACUAAACAUCCGGAAUUCAUACUCCACACCGCGUUAUCCUCAAAGUAAUGGGCAAGCAGAGGCCACAAACAAGACUCUAAUCACUACCUUAAAGAAAAGGCUCGAGCAAGCCAAAGGAAAGUGGGUGGAAGAGCUACCCGGCGUCUUGUGGGCUUAUCGAACCAUACCCAGAUGUCCGACAGGAAACACUCCCUUCGCCCUCGCAUACGGUAUGGACGCAAUCAUUUCUAUUGAAAUAGGGCUACCCACUAUCCCGGACCGAGGCAGGAAAGCAGGAUGAUGCAAAUGUGGAGUUAAGAAGAAACUUGGACUGGGCAAACGAAGUAAGGGAAACUGCAUCCAUUCGGAUGGCAGAUUAUCAACAAAGGGCAUCCGCUCACUACAAUCGCAAAGCAAGGCCCAGAAGCUUUAAAAAUGAUACGCUGGUCCUUAGAAAGGUUUUCGAAAAUACUGCUGAGAUAGGAGCGGGAAAAUUUCAAGCCAAUUGGGAAAACCCCUAUAUAGUAUCUAAGACAAGUGAAAGUGGAGCCUAUCAUCUGCAGAAGCUAGAUGGAACCCCAUUGCUCCGACCAUGGAAUGUAUCUAAUCUAAAGUAGUAUUACCAAUGAAAGAAAAAUAGAGGUACAAAUAUGAAUAAGUAUGUUUUAUUAAUACUUGUGAAAAAUUGUAUACAAAAGUUCUCCGGACUACAAAAUACAGAGAGAAGAUAGCAGUAAAAAUUACAAAAAGAAAAGCUCUCAUUGGGAAGGCUUGCCACGCAGCUUCUCCUCCUCACCCGGGGGAAUCGAAGGGACGUCCCGUUUGAUACCAAGUUUCUUCAUACAGCAACGGUAGCCGAAGAAGUACAUUUCGUCUACCUACUUCUGGUAGUCUGCUUCAAGUUCCUCCCUUUCCGCAGCAAACUCAGCCUCCAACUCUUCUUUUUGCGCUAAUAAACGCAACUGCAAAUCCUCUCUCUGCUUUUUCUCAAUUGACACCUCUGUUUGGAGUUGCCUCACUUCUCCCGCAGUUGGGCCAUUUCGUCCUCCGCCUCAUGUAGACGGGCGUCUGUAGAUUCCUCCCGACUCUUUGCCUCAGCUAGCUCUACCCGGAGAGCCUCGUUGUCAUCUCGAGCAGCGGAUAAACUGGCUUCGGCCUGCUCUAAUCUCAAGCGCAGUUCCUCUUCACUGUUUAUGCGUUGAGAGACGAAGGCCUUCAUAUAAUCAGCAGUUCGUAGUAGGUCAGAAAAAAGAUCACGUUGUUGAGCCAUGCCGCGGAUACCGCUCACCAGCUGCAGAAAAACCCACAAACAAGAAGUGCAAAAAUUACAACCCAUGUGACAAACACAUCAGAAUGGCAAGAAAAAUCAAGAAGUAAACUAUACCAUUUCCGCUGCUUCAAACAUUUUUGCUGAAGGCACAGCAACAUCUGAGCUGGAUGGAAUCCGUUUCAGCAUCUCUCCCAACUGCGCAUAGCUGAAAGGACUAGCGGAGAUGCAAGCUGCAUCAUCAACGGGACUUCCUCCUGACGAGGCAUUAGGGAGUGACUCCUUUCCCGAGUCCGGGGCCUCAUCAUUCUCGACCGGCUGGGUCUCUCCGAGUGAACCCCCAUCUGGGACCAGCACCGGGGCGGUUGGAUUCUCUUCUGCCAUCUCUGUCUCACUCCCCUCCGGAUGAUCCUCCUGGACGGACGAGCAGCUGACUUCGAUGGUUUCCAAAAAACGAUCUUGAAGCCGCCUGAUGAGGCUAGACUUUAAGUCACGGGCCGGACGAGACCUCCUUGCAGUUGGCCCCUUCACCGGUAUAAAGGCAAGGGAGCUUGGCUCGCAAGGAGGCACACCCUGACUUUCUGCCCUCGUUUCUUCCGUUGGGGGUGCCGUAGGAGGCAAUGCUUCAGUACAAGAGGCCUCGGCUGCAUCCGCGUCCGAAUGGGGAGAGCCGAGCUGAUUUACUGAAGUCGCUUCCUCAGCCAGAAGAGCCAGCCGUCCAGCCGCUGGCACUGAAGGCCCCGAAUGGUUUAGACCCGCGAGACGUCCGGAGCCUCUUGAAACAGAAGGCAAGACGGGGGAAGGGGGGAGAGGGGGGGGGGGGGGGGUGGUCUGGCUCUCUUAUUAUUAUUUCCUUUACGAAAGUUGGAGGUGGUAUUACCACUUCCUUUGGUGGAGUUGGAAGUUUUAUUUAUUUCCCCUUAUUGAGAGCCUUCUUCUUCUUUUUCUUCGCCGGGGCGCCAGCAGGAAGAGAGGGCGCGAAGCGUUUUAUAUCGGGGGCCCUCCGCAAAGUUCCCUCUUGCCUCAUUCCCUCCCGUUCGUCGAGACGUGCUCGGCGUGCCUGGGCAUCUGCCUUGCGCACCUCCUUGUAGAAAGGAAGGUCUUUUAGAACAAAAUGCUCCCCAGGCAUUACCUUCUUUGGCAACUUCCUGGGGAGAAUAUUGAUGACAUACGCCUGGGGCUCUUGGACAACGGCUAGCAAGUUUCGCGUAGUAAGCAGCGUCUCAUGAUGCCUCUCAGCGGCAGUAAUCUCAAAUAACUUGUUCAGUCGAACGAAAGACGUUUUUUCUACCCACUCGACUACGCGACCCCUCUUGUCCGGACCUGCAUUAUCAGCAACCAAAGAUAUUAAGCCAUCUGAUAACCCCAAAGCAAGAAAAGCAACAAGACGAAUGCCGAACAAACCCCGCAAGCUGUCUUACCCGGAAGCACCAACGAAAGGUUUGGGGAGAAUGGCCUCUCCGGAUGCUCCAGUAGCCCAGCCCAGAUACCCCGGACCAACACAUGUCCCUUGGCUCCUCCCUUCGUCGAAUCCGAAAGCUUAGUCACUAGUUGGAGAGAAGGCAGGUGGGAAACCAUGCUAAAAAUGUCAUUUUUCUCCUUCUUAAGGGAGUAGAUGAAAAGAACCUCCAGCAGCGAGAGGUCCAGGUUGAACAACAUGCUCAGAAUGCUGCAUCCCAUCAGCACCCGGACCAUGUUGGGAUGGAUGUAGGCCGGGGGGAUCUGGGUGAAGUGGAGAAAUUCUUUGAAAAGUGAUGGGAGAGGGAACCGGAGCCCAACAUUGAGUUGCUUCUUGGUAAAGCAGAUAGUGUUCUCCUCAGUUUUCUCAGUCGACAUGGCCUCUCCGUCCAUAAGUUCAACGGACACGCCAUUUGGGAUGCAGAAGCGUUCGCGAAACUCCCUCACAUUCAACUUAUCCACGGAUUUCUCAGCAUGAGCAUCUCCGGGUGAGCUGGAUGAAGUAGCUUCCUUGUUCGCAGACAUUUUGUAGGCUGGGGCUGAAAUGGAAUCUGCAUGGAGGAAUGCCAACAGUCAAACACAGCAAUCCGACCCCACAACCUUAACUCUACCCCAAAGAAGAAUCGGUGACCCACAAAAGGCACAAGGGUGCAACAGAAACCCUAAACACACCCAAAACACGAUCAAAACCCCCCGAAAAAAGCCCUAGAAACCAAUACCGAUUCCUAGUCGCAAAGCAACUUGCCCAGCAAGCCAGAAACAACCAACAAAACAAACACAACAAGGAGAAAAAAAAAAUAGAAAACGUACCGAGUGUAAAACUGGAAAAAUGGGAUGAAAUCCGCAGUGCAGUCACCGUCACGAUACGAGUAUUACCGGCAGAAAACCCUAGAGCUUCACUAGAAAGUGAAAAUACGCGGAAGGUAGAAGAGAAAGCACUACCAGAAAAAGCGCAGAAGGAAAAAUGCAAGAGAAAGGCACAGUUUGCUAUUUAUAGAGAGACAGCUCCUCGGUAUCCCAAAUGCUUAGCCGCACCAUCAUUGAAAGGACACGCUGCCUGGGAAAUCCCAGAAUCGGCGGCUCAUCAUAAAUGAUCUUCUUCCUUUUUCGCCCCCGCUCGCCACGUGGCCCAAUAAAGCGAAAAAAGUCAACCUCAGUUUCAAAAAACAAUCAUUUUUUAACCCACCCAUUUUGCCCUGGCAAAAUGGGCAGGUUAAAAGGGGGGCAUUGUAGGGACCUCUCCCCCUGAUGACAUGUGACACACAUUUCUAUCCGAAUUAGCUCCAUCCGGAUUUCCCCCAAGGAGACACGUGGCGCGCUUCCCCUAUCCGGACUCCCUCAGGGAGAAGCACACGACACUUGCAAACCUCACAUCCGGACGACCGCCAUAUCGCAUCCGGACGACCGACAUAUCCUAUCCGAAUAUGUUUGUCCAGAUCGUUGACUAAAGUAAGCAAGUCUUACUACGUCAUUCCGACAGCCUGCCACGGCUCACGUUCCGCCACCUGCAGAGUGAAAAGACAGGAAUGAUGGCAAGUCACUUCCUACGAUCUCUGACAGUUGCGACGCCUCCCACGAUCUCUGUCAGCCGCUCGUAUGGUGAUGAUGGCCCUGUCACCACCUAGAGUCAUCAUGACAAGCCAAAAUAUCUCCCUAUCAUUAAAGAGGGAGAUAGAGCUUCUGGUACUAUAUAUAUGGACCUUCACACAAAGAGGAAGGUAAGCUUGCUAUACCUAGUAAAAGGCCAACUGAUUUAUCUCUCUAACCAUGGUUGACAAAACCAUCGGAGGGUGUGUCCGGACGCCUUUUGCAGGAAUGACUAAACUAGGAAUCUAUAUUGGUUGAGAUUGUGCGUCCAUCUAUUUGGCAACUACGUGGAUCACCAGGGACGCGAGGCCUCAACAUAGUCCAUUUCCAUUUGAAUUGUUGAAACUUCCUAGUCCUUGUGGGUCUAGUGGUCUCUCUAAUAAUUCCCACCAUUAAUUUUUUGUGAUGAAGUGCAGUCAUUGAUAGCUACUAUAUCAAUUUGCUAUUAAAAGUCAAGUCAUUGAUAACUACUAUUCAAUCUUUUUCAAUAUGGAAAUUGGAAUCUCUAGCGCUACUCUUCUCAUCGUUCAUUUUUAGGUAAUGUGAGAAUGUGUGAACAUAAAUGUCUUCUAAUCAACCAAUUUUUUUUUGAAAAAAACAUGUACAAAAUUGCAAAACUUGCAAAAUCAAACUGACUGUAAUCAACCAUCAUAAUUUUGAUGGUUUUGAAGAAUCAAAGGAUGAAUCCUAAAAGGGUAUUUGAUAAAAAAUAAAAAUUAAAAAAAUUAAAAGACAACUACUCCCUUAAGUAUAAUAAGUGUAUUUGGUAGCACAAAUUUCCUACCACUUAUUAUUUUUUUUCUUAAAAAAUCAUUUACUCUAUUAAAUAAACUAACCUUGGCUUAUCACUUAUAGCAAAAUAGGUUAAGUAGUUUUUAAAAUUUUAUAAUAUUAGAUUUACAUUUUUAUCCUUCAAAAUUUCAUUAAUGCUAGAUUCUUCUAUAUGCUUAACUAAUAAAUAAUUUUUAGCAUUUUUCUUUUCUUAUAAACAUAAAAAAAUAAAAAUAUUAUUAACUUAUUGGUAUAUUUUAAAAUUUUAAUUAGAUUUAAGCUUUUAUUUUUUUGGAUUACCAAUUAUACAUAUAAAUCCUUUAUUAUUAUUGUUAUUAUUGAAAGAAAGGGGUUGAAUAGGUAGUCCCUCAAUCCCCAAAUUAAAUUCUUUAUUGCGUACUUUUGGUUUAUUCCUUUACAUGAAUUCCUUGGUGAGAGUAAACAUUUCAUUAAUGGAUAAAUAAAAUUGAUUCCAUAUCACAGGGUAUAAUGUGGAAAAAUCAUCGGUCUCAUGUGUUCCUUAGUGGAUCCUUUGGAGCCCUUAUCAAAGUUUCAUGAUGAAACCAUUGACUUUUGUUUAACCCAAAUGUGCUUUCAAGACAAAUCUUGAAAGAUUUGAGAGAUGGAGGUUCAAGUCUUUUAUGAACGACCAUGUUCUCUUAGGGUUCAUGAAAUUUCACACCUUUUGAUAAAUAAAACUUAUUUAUUUAUACGUCUAAAACCUAGUAUUUAUUUAUUUAAUUAUAGAAAGUUUCUUAGUUUUAAAAACAUUUCAAAAAUCAUUUUUAGAAUCAAAUAACAAUUUUAGAGAUAAACACAAUAUUAAAAUUUAACAAAAACAAAUUUUUGAAUUAAAAACACAAUAUAAACUAAAUUACAAAAUAUAAAGUAAUUUUUAUCCUAAUUUCUUCUUGCAAAACCAAAUAGAACACCUAGAAGGGGAGUGAAUAGGUGAUUUUAAAUUUUUUCAAUAAUGAUUUAUAAGUUAUACCCAAUUCUUUUACCCUGCGAGUUGUUAGGGACUAUCAAUUCUUUCCUUUUGGCAAUUCAAACAAUAUAUCAAAUAAUAAAAAGAUAUAAAUAAUGAGACAUAAAGAUUUUUACAUGGAAAACCCCCCACACUAACCAUGGAGAUAAAAAGCCAUGGAGUCUAAGACCUAUUAAUCUAAAUUCACUAUACGAAAUCAAGUUACACAAAUUUAUUUGGUAGCUUUACCUUAAAGACUUACUCUCCGGUACUGACAACUUGAUUCACGUCCAUGACGUAGCAACCCUCGAUUACUCCAAUGUAUCACUUCAAGCUUACUAAAAGGAUGAAGGCCUUCAAACCAAGAUUCAAAAAUCAAUUCCUUGAAUGAGAGAUUAGGAAUGGUGUGCCACUUUAGGCUUUCUCUCUAAGAUCUCUAAAAUGAUCUCCUCAAUGAAAACCUCUUAAACAAAAUGAGAUAUUUCUCCACAAUCUCUAACCCUUAAGGGGUUAUAAUGAGAUAUUUAUAGGCAACUAAGUUGAAAGUUUCAGUUUUGGAAGGUUUCUCAAUUGAAUUUGUGUGAAAAACUCGGCAGAAUCGACAUGAUCGCUCGAGCCAACACACUUCCCACUUGAGCGUUUUGGGCACUUGAGCGGUAAGGCUCGCUUGAGUUGUCUUAAGCACUUGAGCAUUCUAGGCUACUUGAGCAAUCUUGCUCUAUUUCAAAAGUUAAUUUUAAAUCAUUUUAAGUUCAAAACAAAAUUGAUUCCCUUUAUACCUCAAAGAAGCCUAACUUGCCACAAACCAAACCUUUUUAGAUAUACUUGUGACUUCCUGGUUGGACGAACAACAACUCUUAAUCUUCAAUGGAGAGCAAGUCACUAUCUAAAAAGAUUUAUAUGGUCAAACAUAAAAAAACAAAAAAAUUGCCAACAUAACAACAAGACUCAAUGUCCUAACAAUCUUCCCCUUUGGCAAUUUUGUGACAAAAACAACGUUACAUAAACCCACCUGAACUCUCAUAAUGGAGUUUAAUAAUACACAUUAACGUUCAAUUAAAAAUAAACUAAGGGAAUACUUUAUCUCACUUUGUAGUAUUUGUCUUCCAACCUUGUAACCUACACACAUAUAGAAAACUAUACCAAAGGUAAAACAAUGUGCAGGAUAAGAUAUGAUCAAGAAAGCAAAAUAGGAUAAUUGGAAAUUUUGCUUGAUGCCUUGUGAAAGCAUGAAAAAAGAACAAAUUCAUAUAGUAAUAUCAAGGGACAAAGCAAAACUCGAGAAGAAUAUAUAUGUAUGCAAAUCAACCAAACAUAAUAAAAGCUAAAUAAGAUGCAAUAGAUAAAAAAUAAUGCCUAGGGGUCUAUCUCCAACCAGAAAAUAGGGAGUGAAGAUCAUAGAAAGAACCUUCUGUGACUUAGAAAGAUUCUAGAGAGAUAGUAAAUUCAAACAUAAAUAUCUUGCUGGAAACAUCUAUGUUAUGUAUCUCUCUAAACCUUUUAAGUUAUGCUUUCAUCAGUUGAUUUGGUUUUUCUCCAAUGUCUCAGGUUUAAUUUCCUCUAUUAUUUCAAUUAGAGAAAUUAGUAGUCGAUUGACUUAGUGGGUGUUUGGUAAAACUUAAUACUUAUUAUUUAAUGAUUAACUUUAAGUUAAAUUGUUCUUAAGUUAUUAAUUUAAAAUUUAUUACUUAUUUUGUAUUUAAGUAUUAAGGUUAUUUGUAAAAAUCAACUUAAAAUUUAUUCUAAAUCAUCAAAUUAACACAUUUACCCUUAUUAAUUUUAACUUAUAUUUAUUUUCAUUAAUUUUAAACAAUAAAUUUAUUCAUAAAACAUCUAUAUUUUUGUAGAUACAUAAUAACCAUAAAAUAUUUACUAUAAAAAAUGAGUCAUGGAUGUAGAAUUAUAAUUCUAAAAUAUACACCUAUAAGUGUGGGUAAAUAAGACAAAAAUGAUUUGAGAUUAAGAGUAAAGUUAAUUAUUUUGACUUAAGACUUCAAGUUAAAAAUAACUUUAAGUUGCAAUAUUAAGUUAUUUUAUCAAACAUGCUUAAUUUACUUAACAACUUAAAUUAACUUAUUAAGUUGAUUUAUCAAACACCCCACUAGUAAUAUGUUGAAAAUGAAGAGCAUCCAUAGCAGAUAAUGUAUAUGUAUUUGUGUUUAGAGUAGAAGGGCACUACAACAAUGGACUUGCAUGUGAUUUGGUCGCGAUAUGAUUUUGAUGAGAAUAUUUUAUUGUCUUUAAAAUAUUGUUAUAUGAAAUGCCACACUAUGUUAGUAAAUGAUAGUUAUGUUAGUAGAAAUGAAAGUUUGUUUUAUAAUGCAUUGACCAUCCUAACACAUGCACUUAAUUAUCAUUAGUAGUUAGACAUGUAUUCCCUUUUUUCAAUUUUUUUUCUUCUUUUUAAAUACAUUCUAGUGGUACUUUGCCUUAUGACUUAAUUUUUGUUACACUUACUACUUUUGGUUUUAGUCAUAUUUCAUUUUAUUAGUAUUUUCAUUUUGUGUUACAAUUUUAUUUAGUUUCUCUAUAUUCUCUUUUGGAUGGUGAUUUCACUUCAAAUUUUAAUUCAAAUUAGGCUUAUUGUCCUCUUAGUAAGCCUUUUCUAGGCGAGUUGUUAUAGAAAAUUAAACAAACCUCUCCUAAGGUUGGCCUUGUUACAUAGACUUCUUUUCUAUUUUGAAAUAUUAUAUUGACCUCCCUUGUUAGAUAUUGGUUUUUACGAUUACUAAGAAUAAUGCUUCUUAAUCAUUAUUAACGAUAAUGCAAAAUGAUAUAACUACUCUUAGUUAAAUCAAAUCAUAAUGACAAUAUUUUCAUCUUCUUUUUCCAAUUUUCUUCUUCUUCCUCCAUACAUGCUAAUUUGCAAAAAUUUAUACCCAUUAUUUAAAUGAAAUCUUUUGAAAUAAAUUAAAAUCUUCCUUAUUUGAUAUUAUAGAAACCUAAUUUAAAUAAAAUAUUUUGAAAUAAAUUAGAUAAAAAAAAAACUUGUCAUCAUUCUAACCCAAAUCAAAUUUAAAAGAAUAACUAAAUAUUUCAAGUCUCAUUUUGUCUCAAUAUCACCUUUGCUAAUCAACCUAUCCAAUCUUAGAUCAAACUCAAAUUGCAAUCAAAUUUUGACAAGAAAAAAUCUACUUAAGACUGAAUAAGAAAACUUGUGGAAAGAGUCUUAUCAAGAAGGUGCAUGAAACCCUCAGUUCAAAAACUUCUUCUAAAAUAAAAUUAAAAAAAGAAAAGAAAAGAAAGAUAUUCAAUGUUAAAGGACUUUUAAGAUAAAUCAAAAUUUGAAAAUGAAUGUUAAUACUUGCGAUAGAUUCCACAUUCAUGAACAAAUUACCAUUGCACCACUUAUUUUCAAUUCACACUUUAAUUUACUAUCCAUAGAAACUUUCAUUAAAUUUUCCAUAAAACAAACAAAGAGCCUUAACCCCCAAAUAUUUUAAUUCUUAAAAAUACAUCAUUUCAUCAAUUUUUGAAACCCUCAUUUUAACACAAAUUAUUUUUUUUUACAAAUUAUUAAAAGAAUAAAAAGAAAAUUAAGAAGAGGUUGUCAUUAUUAUUCUUGCAAAGUCACCACAAAAUAAAUUAUAACAAAUAUAGAAAAUAAAAUAAUGUGACGAUGAAGAUGAUGCUUAGAAAGUUAGAAUGAAGAAGAUAGUAUCAUUUAGAUGAUUUAGGUUAAGAUGAGGACUAGAUAAGGAAAGUGACAUCAAUUGCCUAAUUAUUUGGGGUUUUAGACAUACAAAAUGAGGGAGAUGACUAAAAUUAUGGUUUAAUUAUUUUUGGUUAAGGAUUAUUAAGUUAUUUUAAGGAAUUAAUUAAUUAAUUUAUAAUAAAUUUAGAAUUAAUUAAAAGUUAAUUAAAAUAAUUAUUGAUUCAUAGUUUAAUUUAAAACUAAUUUGAAUAAAAGAUGAAAAACUGAAAGUCCAUUAGGGUUUCACCUAGAGAGGGGAGAGGAGGUGGAUGAUUUAAAAAAUUUCAAUAAAGAUCUAUAUGUUAUAUCCAAUUUUAUUUUACCCUGUGAGAUGUUAGGGAUAACCUUUUCUAUCAACCUUAGGCAAUUCAAACAAAAUAUCAAAUAUAAAAGAUAAGAACAAUAAGGCAUGCGAUUUUUAUAUGGAAAAUCCUCACACUAACUGUGACGAUAAAAACCACGAGAUCUAAGACCUAUUAAUCUAAAUGCACUAGAUGAAAUCAAGUUACACAGAUUUACUUGACUGCUUUACCUUAAAGAUUUACUCUCUGGUAAGUACAACUUGAUUCAUGUCCACAACAUAGCAACCCUUGAUUGCUCCAGUGGAUCACUUCAGCUUCCUGGAAGGGAUGAAGGUCUCCAAAAUAAUAUUUAAAGAACAAAUCCUUGAAUGAGAAAUUGAGAAUGGUGUGGCAAUCUAGGUUUUGUCUAUAGGAGACCCUUUUUAGAGAAUAAAGUCUCUCAACAAUCUAUCUCCAAUCUCUUCAAUAUCUCUAACCCUCAAGGGGUUAUAAGGGAGGUAUUUAUAGGCAAAAGUUUGAAAAGUUUUGAUUUUGGAAGGUUUCUCAAUUGAAAUUUUGUGAAAAACUUGGUAGAAUCAACAUGAUUGCUCGAGCCAACUCACCCAUCGCUUGAGCGCCUCAAGCACUUGAGUGGUAUGGCUCACUUGAGCGGUCUUAAGCGCUUGAGUAGUCUUUAGUGCUUGAGCGCUCUAGGCCACUUGAGCAGUCUUGCUCUCUUUCAAAAAUCAAUUUUAAAAUCUUUUUAAGUUCAAAACAAAAUUGAUGCUCUUUAAUACCUCAACAUAGCCUAAUUAACAUAAGUCAAGCCUCUUUAAACAUGUGACUUCUCAAUUGGACAAACAACAACCCUUGAUCUUCAAUGAAGAGUAAGUCACUAACUAGAAAGACUUCUAUGACCAAACAUUACAAAGAACAAAAUUGCCAACAUAUAGGAAGGACUUACUGUCUUAACAAUCUCUCCCUUUGACAAUUUUGUGACAAAAAAUUGUUACAUAAACCCACUUGAACUCUGAUAACGGAGUUUACAUAACACACUUUAAUGCUCAAUUAAAACUAAAUUAAGGGAAAGCUUUGUAUUAAUUUAUAGUACUUAUAUUUCAACCCCGUAACCUACACACAUACAAAAAACUAUACUAAAGGUAAAGUAGUGUGAGGAAUAAAGUAAUGUUGAGAAAACAAAACAGGAUAGUUGGAGGUUUUGCUUGAUGACUUAUGAAAACAUGAAAAUGGAACAGAUUUUUGUAGAGACACUGAGGCACAAAGCAAAGCUUGAGAGGAAUAUAGAUACACACAAAUCAGGAAAACACAAUAGAAGCUUGAUAAGACACAAUAGAUCAAUAAUAAUGCUUAGAAGUCUAUCUCCAACCAGAAAAUGGGUAGUGAAAACCAUGGAAAGAAACUGCUAUGACUUAGAAUAGUUCUAGAGUGAUAAUUAGUUUAAACAUAAAUAUCUUAUAAGAAACAUUUGUGUCAAGUAUCUCUUUAAACCAUCUAAGUUAUGUUUUCAUCGGUUGAUAUGGUUUUCUCCAAUUUCUCAAGUUUAAUUUCCUUUAAUAUUUCAAUAAUUUCCCUUAAUGGAUGAAUGAAUGAAUGAAUUGAAUUAAAGAAUUCAAAAUUUUUAACUCAUAGUAACUUCCCUUAAAUUACAAUCAAUACAAUAAUUCAAAUCAAGUAUACAAAAACAUAAAUAAUAGAACAUUUAUGCAUUAGGUGGCGGUAGAGGGAUAGAGCUUGAAGCAUCGUGAGAAUGGGUACAAGAAAAGAUGUAGUUAAGUUAUCCCUAAAUCUCUCGGAGUUGGAGAUCCUAAGAGUCCAUCUUCUGAUGAAGUCGGGCCAUGGAAUUUAGAGCCUCAUGGGCGUUGGGUCUACAAAAGUAAAAGCCUUGUGUGUAGCUCGGGAAGAACUAACACAACCUCAACUUUAGAGUGAGUCCUCGGAGCAGACUCUAAAUAGUCUGCCUCUAGAAUUCCACCAUGCUCCAUAGCUCGAAGCUCAUCCUCCUAGACAACUACCUUUGCAUGCUGGCCUACAUCAUGUGGUUCAUAAGUUGGAAGAGCCAUCAAACUAUAUACAUGAAUGUAGUGCUUGGGCUAGGAACUCCCAUCUAAAAAGGCAUGGGUAGCCUAGACCCCUAGUGUAGGAUCAAUCUUAAAUCCCACAUCCUCGAGUAUCCGCGUCAUGAGGAGGGUAAAAGGGAAAGUGCCUCCUCUAAAGGAUAAACCACGAAGGGGAAUGAUUGUAUCCAGGAUGACUUAGCCAAUGUCAAAUUGUUGGCUUGAGAGAAUGACGUGAAUAAAGUGAGCAGAUGGUCAAUGGAUUUGGGUGCAGUGUGUAAAUGGGUAGAAGGAGUAAGUGAAGAAUGUGGCAAACAACCAUGUUAGCUUGAAGAAGCCAACAAUCAAGAUAUAAGAAGGAAAGGGGCAAAGACCCCCAUAAAGAGAAGUCAGAAUGGUGUCAAGUUUCUCUCGGGUGAGAGCCUGAACCUCUAGGGAAAAUGAAGAAAUGAGAGCCUCAAUUUGCGACAUGCUAAGGACACAUUGAAUGUAAUGGGAGAAAAUAAGGAAAAAUUGACCAUGCAUGGUCAAUUGAAAGGUGACUCCGACCACAAUAUAAUGCAUGUUCUCAUAGAACAUGUGAACAAGAUGGGGAUAGGAAGUCCCCUAGAGAGAAAACAAAGUCUCCUAACUUUACUCUUGAAUGAUGAUAGGGAAGACAGUGUCCUGAAAAGCUUAGAGGUUAAUGGCAUGCUCAGGCUCGACACAUUGAUAUGUGAAAGAAGCGUAAUAAUGGUCUCGUGCCACCUGGCAGUGAAAACGCUCAACCGAAAGUGCAUCUAGGUUAAAAAGACCCUGGAGUGGGAUGCCCUAGACGGUUUCAGUGACCUAGGAAAGGUCACCUCCCUCUGACAUCUAUGACUAGCCAUAUCUAAGGUAUAUAAUAUGAAAAAACAAAAGCUAAAGAAGAACUAAAGAAAAUCCAAAGAAAAGCUAAACCACUAAAAAUGUUAAACUCAAUGCGUCGAACAAUACUAUACAAAUGGAAAUGAAAAAUAUGAAGUGAACUGACCUCAGAAGACAAAAGGACAGUAACCUAGAGGGCUCGAAGAUGAAUAGGAAAGUUUGAAAUGAAUAUGGCGUGCUGGAUGACCUUUAUAUAGCCUAUAGGAGUGCUUGAUGCAGAUUAGCACUCGAGCGUCAUGACUAACUUAAAUCAAAGUAUUUAUUACUAUCAAAAUAUUUUAAAAGUUUCAAAGGAAGUAUUCAAUUUAGAACCUUUUUAGAAAUUUUUUUGAAAGAAACAAAAAUAAAACGUGAAAUAUUAUGUGUUAAAGGUGUUAGAAGACAAUAUUGUCUAAUCCAAAGCCUUACACAUUCCACAAAAAAAAAAAAGGAAAAAGAGAGAUAUUAUAUAAGAUUUUGAUCACAUCUAAUAGAAACUAAUAUUUAGCAACAUAUCACCAAGCACUAUCUUAUCAGAAAGCUCUAACAUGUUGGAAAUUUAUGUAAGGUUCCAUAACAACUAACAACUUUUUCUGACGACUUGGCAAUGGACCAUUUGCACUUUAACUACAUUAUUGAAUUUAAAUCAUAUUAGAAUAGUAAUUGACUUCUCUUUUGUGAGGCUACAUAUCUUGUAGGAUGGGAUAGGUGAUUCAUUUCAUAUAUGAAAUUUACUUAAUUUAGUAAUGCAUCCAAGUUCAUUAUGAAUAUAAUGGUACCACAACUUUUUGAAUAUUUGUAAUCUGUAAUCUUUGUUUCAACUUCUCAAGUCUAGUCAUUUUAUCGGCAUAACUAGUUUGCUUCAAUUAUCUCUCAACUUUAUUAUAAAACUAAGGGAAAUGAUUAUCACGCAUUUUAUAUUAACUUAACCAAACAUCUUUAUAUAUCUUACAUAUAUAUAUAUAUUGUAAAUUUAGGAAAAUUUCAUCCAUUAGCCAUAGUAAGUAAGAAUCAAAUAUGGGAUAUGUAAGCCAAUGGUGAUAUUGAUGGCGUCAAAUCAAUGACAUAGUAGAAACGUGGAUUGUCUAUUUUCAAACCUUUAUAUUUUCAUCCAAUAGUAAAAAGGUUUAGGCAUCACUUGAAAAGUAGUUUGUUUUUUACCUUGGACUAUGAUUUAUGAAUAAAGUUCUUCUGUUGUAUACCUUUUGUGAUGCCCCAAACCUAAUUUAGGGGUAAAAAUAAUAAUUUAGAAACAAAUAAAUAAAAAUUUAAAUAAAUUUAAUUAAGGUAAAAAUGUAUUUUCGUAUUUAAAAUUCCUAGGGAUCAAUUAUAUAUUUCUUGUCUUCUCUAUUCAAAAAACCCUAUUACACAAAAAUCAAAGAUCAGAGAACAUAGGACAACGUAGGGUUGAAGAUUUGGAGGUUUAGGGUUGAAGAUUAGUUUUCCAGGUAAGAUUCUAACCCUUAAAUUAGUAUUUUAGAUUCGUUAAUUAGUUUGAACACUUUAGAUAUUCUUUGAAAAAUCUGAAUCCACGUUAGGGUUUGUUAAUUUAAUUUUUAAAUAAAAAAGAUUGAAAAUUUAUGAACAUAAGUAGAGUUAUUAUUAAAGAUUGAAAAUUUUUGAAUAUUUGAAUUAAAAAUCUAGAAAAAAAAAAAGAAAAUAAAUUAUAGAUUUGGAUGUGGAAAAAAAUUAAUAUUAAUAAAUAAAUAAAACCUAUGAGUAUGGAGGUAGAAAAAUAUGAAAGUUGAAAGCAAAGAAAAAAAAAAGGAAUAAGGUUUUGUGGUUGUAUAUGCCUCCUUAGUGGAAAAAAAAUACAAGGUUGCUUGCAAUAGGAUAUGAUAAAGAGAGAGAGAUAAAUGCUUCGAUAUUGAUUUUUGUGGGGAAAAAAAGAUUGGGUAAUGCAGGAGAGAAAUAGGUAGCAUUUGUAGAGUUGGUGGAGUUGUUGUAAAAGCUCGUAGGGGUAAUUGUUAGGAAACAUUAGGACUUGAAAUAAUAAUAAUUGCUUCUAGUAAAAGUUUUAAUUUAGUUUAAGUAUAUAAAAGAAAUAGAUGAUUAGAAAAAGAUUUGGAAGGAAUAUGAAUUCAUAAAAUUUCGAAAUUUACUAAUUUAGAUUAUUAUUGUUUUGGAAGUUGAAUAUAAUAUAGGUGAUAAUAUUAUUAAUAUAGGAAAUGAUUAAGAUUCUCAAACCUACAAUUUUAGAUAAAUAGUUAAUAGUAAUAGAUGAUUUUUUAUUUUUUUUAUUUUUUAUUUUUUAUGUUAUGUUAAGUGAAUAAUGGAUUCUUUGAUUAAUUCUCUAAGGUUUCUAAGUGCUUCUUUAAGGUAAGGGAUAUUAAUACUGAUUUUGUAAAUGAAAAUAUUUCUUUUUAUAAGUUAUUUUAAAUUAUGAAAAAUUUUAUUAUUAUUUAUGCAUGGAUCAAAUAUAUAUUUUUUCAUGAGAAACAUGUUUAGGCAAUUUCUUUGUUUAUAAAUAAAUAAAUAAAAAAUGAGAACCUUGGAAAUAUAAUGUUUUGUUUUGUAAGUUUAAAAUAAUGAAAUAAAGUUUUUGACUCUGGUUUAUAUGACCUUAGUUAAUGGGUUAUAAUUGUUGACAUUUUUAGCUCCAAUCAACAAUUAUAAUUGUUGACAUUUUCAGCUCCAAUCAACGAUUAUAAUUGUUGAGAUUUUCAACCCUAGCCAAUGGGUUAUAAUAGUUGACCUUAUAGCCCUAGUCAACAGAUAUAAUUGUCAACCUUUGGUUUUGCCCAUCUUAAAAAGAACAAAUUUAAGGCUAGCCAUUUAUUUGUAAAGUCCCACCUAACUAAGUACCAUUUGUUAUUUAAUAACCAGAGUAAAGAUAUUUUGAAUGUAUUUGAUAUGAAAUUGUUUUGAUAUAAAUAUGAAAAUGUUUGGUUGAAAGUUCAAAUGUUUAAUGCAUGUUGAACUCAAAAGUUUUAUUAAAAUGAUUAUAUGUUAUAUAUCCUAUUUGUAAGCUUGAUCCAUGAAACUGUAUUAAUAUUCCUUAUUGGACUUUGAGCUCAUUCCCCUUUGUUGAGAAUUUUUUUGGUAUUCUCAGUUUGGGCAAGGAGUGAUGACUGGGUUGGGGAAUUUUCUUUGCUAUGAUUUUGGUUCAAUCUUUAUUUUGGACAUUGUUUAGAUGUUAAAAUUUAAUUCCCAUUUAAAUUAUUUGAGUUUGGAGUUAUUUGGACGAUAACACUUUGAUUGAUGUGUUAGUUUUAAAGUUGAGAAUUGAAAAUUAUAGAAUUUAUUUAUCUUACUACUUUGAACAGAAAUUUAGUAAUUGGAGAUCAUCCAGUUACAAGAUGAAUAUUUGUGUCAUUUCCACUUUGAGAGUUCAGACUUGGGGUGUGAAAUGACCGUUAUGCCCUUGGAGUGGGUAUAUUGUUUAUUUGAAUUUAAUGGUCCCCGAACUCCUUAAUUACUCAUAACUUUAUAUCACCUUCUCAAAGUUAAGUUGUUUUACAACUAUUAUCUAGCUACUUUUCUCUACUAUGACAACUUUAUUACAUAGUGAUUAAUUGAAAGAAUCUACAUGUUUUAUUUCAUAGGAUAGUUGAUUUUUUUACUCAAUGAAUCUUGCUUUUAUUAUUGAAAUUUCAAAUCAUUGUAGUCCAACAAUUUCCUAUCCAUUGGUAAUUUCAUAUUACAUUUCCAAAGUCUAAUCAUUUAAAAACACUUGUAGUUAAUAUAUUGGCAAUUGCAUUGUGGGAAGUUGUUCACUUGAUUUUAAUGUUGAAACUUUCAAAUUAUUGUAGUCCAACAAUUCCCUAUCCAUUGGUAAUUUCAUAUCACAUUUUCAAAUUAUAAUCAUUUACAAAUACUUGUAUAUAGUAUAUUUGGUGAUUGUAGAGUGGAAAGUUGAUCGUUUUCAUGAAGACCUCUAAAAUAUAAAUUUUUUUCAUUCCAUUUAAUAAAGAAUUUCAUUAAUUGAACAUAUAUGUUUUUUUUAGCUGGAAAGUAGAGGCCACAUUAUACGAGGCCUUAGGUGACAAUACUAGGUGAGGGUUUUUUUUUUAAUUUAUUUAUUAUGAAAUAUAAAUAAUAUUAUUUAUUGUAUAAUAAAGAUUAUUAUAAUAUAUUUUUUAUAGAUGAAAAAAAUAUUAAUUGAGUUUUAUUUAUUUUUUAAUAAUUGUUUUCAAUAAAUAACUUAUUUGUAAAAAGAAAACUAUAAAAUAUAUGCAUUUGAAAAAUAUUUAAUUUUUAUUUGAUUUAGUAUCAAUUAAUAUUUGUAAUAUUUUUUAAUAUUAUAGAAGUUAACAUACUCAAUCAAGAUAUUCAAGAUCAAGAGAACAUUUGAGAUUGAAUUAAUUUCUUUAUUGUUUAUGUUUUAGAAAAUUUUUAUAUCCAUUACAAAUUUUCUAUUGUUUAUUUUUCAUUCAAUUUUUGCAUUUUGUAAUAGAUAUUAAAACGAAUUUUUUUUCCUAUAUGUUAAAAAAAUAUUUCAAUGUCUUUAAAAAUAAAAUAUUGCAGUAAAAUCAAAAUUACAUUGUGAAACUUUAAGCGAAUGUUUUAUACUUAAGAAGUGCCAAUUAAAGUAAGCAUGCAUCUACAAUUGUAAUUUAGAUGUCAUACUGAAACAAUAGUUCUCUUCGACUAUAUCAUAAAAUUUGGUUCGAAUUACUUUAAGUCAUCUUGUAGAUUUUCAAGUUCUAAUGAUAUGCAUCAAGUAUGUGCAACAUACUUGAUAUAACUAAUAUUUUCUUAAGUAAUUGGACACUUUUUUUCUAUAAAUUUACUUGAUUAUCAAUGAAUACUUUUAUGUAGGGUAUUGAUAUAAUUCGAUAAAUAUUUUAAAAUAGUAUUAGAAUAGCUUUGCUCUUUCCCAAUUAACAAAUUUACCAAAUUAACUUAUAUAUAUUUGUUUAUUUGAAUUUACUGGUAUUUGACUCAAAUUGUUAUUAUUUUUAAAAUUAUAGGAAAACCAUUAUUUAUAGAGUUUAAUUAUAUUUUGGUAAAUUAUCUUUUUAAGUUUGACUAGGAUUAGGAAACUAUUAAUUUAAGAUUAAUCCAUAAGGCUCUAUAAAUUUGCAGUUUUAUAUAGGAUUUAAAAAAAGAAAGAAAAAGUAAGAAAAAGUGAAGAGAGAUAGGCAAAGAGUGCAUUGGGUUUUAGAUAGAGAAAGAUUGAGAGAGUUUUGAUUACUACUAAAAAAGAACAUAUUUUAGAUAGUAAUUCUCAUGAGUUUCGCAUCUUUUGAGCAUUAAUUAUGCCUAAAAAUGCUCAAUUAACAUGUUGUUGCCCUUGCAAAAGUUACUAACAAGUUUUAUAAAGUUUUGGAGUCAUUUCAAGUUAUGAUUUUAAUAAAUUGGUGACGAAAGAAAUGAAUUGAUUUGAAGAAGGCAAAUAAUAUUGAUGAUGAUCAAAUGCAUAAUGAAAUAAGAAAUAUAAUUAGUUUGAUCGGGAUUUGCUGCUAAUUUGGAGGUAGUUAAGGUGGAGUCAAAAGAAGAAAAUGGAAGAAAUGACAAAAAGGAGCUUAAAAACCAAAUGUUGCAGAUUUGUAUGAUCAUGCAAAAAUUUUACAUGACUAUGCGAAAUGGAUUAGAGAAGGAAAAUUGACUAUAGUAUAAGGAGGAUGCUUAAGUUGAUUUCGCAUGAACAUGAGAAAAUUUCGCAUGAACAUGCGAAAAUUUUGAACAAUCAUGCGAAAUGGUCCAGAAAGCUCUCUAAUGUUGUUGUUGCUCCACUAAUUUCGCACCACCAUGCGAAAUCGAUAUUUUCAUGCAAAAUGGCUGAAGCUCAUGUGAAAUCAUGAUUUUGAGGCUAAACUCCAGAUUUGUGAAUUUGGAAGGCUUUAUAAGACCAAUGAGAGGUUGCCAAGUGUUCACUUGACCUUGGCCUAUAAAUAGAAACUUGAAUUUCCCAUGUAAAGAGCUUUGUGAUACUUUUAAUUUUAGAUUUUUCUAGAAACUCUUUUUCUAAAUAGAAUUCUAUAUUUUCUUUAAUUUUCCCUCAUUUUCUCAUUAGCCAAACAUGCCUAGUGAGACCAAAUCUCCAAGUAUGAGUGGCUAAAUUUCGUUUUUCUCAAAGGAAGGAGGAUCUAGAGGCAAGAUCUAUGGUGAAUUAUAGAAAUGAGUUUUAAUUGCAAAUGUAAUUUGAUCCAAUUGAUUGAUUAAUUGAAAUUUGAGGAUUUCUCUCUUCAAAUUGUCUUGAAUGACUAUUACAUUGCAAACUAGGUAGAUUCAUUAAAUUCUUAAAGCUAGAUUUAAUGAGACUGAAUAGUUGCAUUGUAUGAAUCAUUGGAAGAUGAUUUAAGAUGAAUUGAAUAUAUAAUUUAAAUUGAUCUCUUGGAUUAAAUAACCUAAUUUGAAGAGAAAUUAGGUUUAGACUUAAAGGUAAAUCCAAAAUCGGUUUAGAUAAGAAUUUAGGUUUUCAAUAUAACUUGAUGAAAAAUAAAUCUCAACAUCUAUUCACUAUGGAAAUUGUUUUCUAAAAAAUAUUAACUCCGAGAAUUCCUUUUCCUUAUCAAUUUUCUUAUAUUCUACAUUAUAUUGUUCUUUUCAAUUAGAAAUCAUUGUUAUUUUGAUUUUUCAUGAAUUGUCAAAUCAAUUUCACUUGACCACAAUCAUUUCUUUUCCUUCCAUUUAAACCUUAAUUAUCGAGAAUAAUCCAUCCCAAUGGAAGACACCUAAGACCACUAUACUACCGUAGCUUUUGCUAAAAAACCUUUUUGAUCGGGCAAGAGUUACCUUAGCAUAGUUGAAUUAUGUUAUAAUUUUUUUUAUCCAAUAAACAACAAAAAAAUCAAUCGAUCAAGUUUGCAUUGUGUAUUCUUGAAUUUUAUUAAUAAAUUUAAUCCCCCUUUUUGAAGCGAUUACACCAAACCAAGUAAAUAUUUUAUAUACUUCAUUUGCUUUAUUUUUUCUAUUAAGUUUAGGUGUUGCAAUUUUCAAGAGUCAUGGUGAGAAGAUUGUGGGAAAAAUUAUUUUAAGGAUGGAGUCGAACAUAAAAUAUGAAAUUGAGUCCUUUGAUGGAAAUAAUAAUUUUAAUAUUUGAUAAAGUAUUAUUAAAGAUGUUUUGAUACAACAAAGACUUCUCAAAGCAUUACAAGGCAAAAAAACUAGAGAGCAUGACAAAUAAAGAAAUGAAAGAAUUAGAAGCAAGAGUUGUAAGUACUAUUUGUUUAAGUCUUAAAAAUGAAAUACAUUGUUUUGAAUGAAAAAUAUUCUUUCAGGGGUGUCAAUUGCUCUUUUAGAGACCAAAAAUAUUAAGCAAUCAAGUAGUUCAUCUCAUAUUGGACAAACUGUUAUGAUGAAUUCUAAACCACAUCAUCAUAGGAGUAAAUCGAAAGAAAAGUAUCUGAUAGGAGGAUGAUCAUUCCAUUCACAUUUAUGGAGGAAUAUGAAGUAUUAUUACUAUGAAAAAAAAAACAUAUCAGGAGAUAUUGUAAAGAAUUGAUGAAGUACCUAGAAGAAAUGAAAAUUUUUAAAUCCCAAGAGACUUCAAAUUCUACUAAUAUUGUUGAUGAAAAUUUUGAAAUAUUGUAGUAAAUUAAAAGUUACAUUAUGGGACUUUUAGUGAGUGUUUUGUGUUGAAGAAAGGCUAAUUAAAGUAAACAUGCAUCUAAAAUUAUAAUUUAGAUGUUGUACUCAAAUAGUUGCUCUCCUCGAUUAUAUCAUAAAAUUUGGUUUGAAGUAGUCUAAGUCAUCUAAUAAUUUUCUAGUUCCAAUUACAUGCAUCAAACAUGUGUGUUAGGAAGUGUUGCAAAUUACUAAUUAGUAUAGAUCCCUUUUUUUUUUUAAAGAAUAUUGUAUUGAAUAUUUCUAGGUUGAUAUAUUAUUGUAAUAUUAGACUUCCUUAUAGAAUAAGGAAUGUUGUUGAAAAUAUCCCUAUAAAUAUUCUAGUUCAUAAGGGGAAAAAGUUAUGAGAUGAAGAUGGACCCAUAAAGACUAUACAAGGUGGAUAGAGAUGUGAGGAAGAACAGGAGGUACCCGGUGGAGCGAGAGGGCUCGUGGUAAGGUAUAGGUACGAAGAGUGAGGAAACAUGGGAUGUUUUGGGAACCCAAUAGUUAUAUCUAGUUAUAUCAUCUAUAAGUUCUAGUUCUGUCCUUUGCAUUGUUCUCUAUUUUAUAGUGGAAUGAUUCUCUCUUAUCUGUGGAUGUAGGCAUGGUUUUCGAACCACGUUAAAACCUUAUGUACCGUUUGUGUCGAAUUUUUUUAUCUUUAUUUUCUUGAUUAAUGAAGUUUGCAUCAAAGCUUCCGUCAACGGAACAAACUUGUAUCAAAGCUUGGGUUAAAGAUUUCUGGAAGAGUAAAAGAUCACAAAGCACACAAGAUGAAACCAAAAGGAUUUUUUAGUGAAAAUGGAGUCGAUUGCUCUCUUGUGGUGAUAUGAUAUAAAAAGUUUGUCUCAUGGAAAGUUUGAAGAUUGACUUCAUGGAAUUUGGUCCAAAAUGGAGAUUGUUAAUAAGUGUCCCAAAUUCCUAAUUAGUAUAGAUUUUUUUUUUUUUUGUAAAGAAUAUUGUAUAGAAUAUUUCUAGGUUGAUAUAUUAUUGUAAUAUUAGACUUUCUUAUAGAAUAAGGAAGGUUGUUGAAAAUAUCUUUAUAAAUAUUCUAGGUCAUGAGGAAAAAAAGUUAUGAGAUGAAGAUGGGCCUGUAAAAACUAUAUGAGGUGGAUAGAGAUGUGAGGAAGAACGGGAGGUACUCAAUGGAAUGAGAGGGCUCGUGGUAGGGUAUGGAUACAAAGAGUGGGGAAAUAUGGGAUGUUUUGGGAACCUAAUAGUUGUAUCUGGUUCUGUCAUCUAUAAUGUUCUAGUUACGUCCUCUAUAAUGCUCUCUAUUGUAUAGUGGAAUGAUUCUCUUUCAUCCAUGGACGUAAGCAUGGUUGUCGAACCACGUUAAAACCUCAUGUACUGUUUGUGUUAUUAUUCUUUAAAUUUUUUAAUAUUUGUUUCUUGAUUAAUGAUGUGUGCAUCAAAGCUUCCACCUACAUAACAAACUGGUAUCAGAGCUUGGGUUGAAGAUUUUUGGAAUAGUAAAAGAUCACAAAGCACACAAGAUGAAAACAAAAGGAAUUUUUAGUGAAUGUGGAGUCAAUUGUUUUCUCGUGGUGAUAUGAUACAAAAAGUUUGUGUCAUGGAGGGUUUAAUGAUUGACUCCGUGAAAUUUGGUCCAAGGUAGAGAUUGUUAGGAAGUGUCCCAAAUUCCUAAUUAAUAUAAAUUCCUCUUUGUAAAGAAUAUUGUAUAGAAUAUUUCUAGGUUGAUAUAUUAUUGUAAUAUUAGACUUCCUUAUAGAAUAAAGAAGGUUGUUGGAAAUAUUUUCAUAAAUAUUUUAAGUCAUGAGGGAAAAAAGUUAUGAGAUGAAGAUGGGCCUAUAAAGACCAUACGAGAUGGAUAGAGAUGUGAGGAAGAAUCGAAGGUACCCAGUGGAGCGAGAGGGCUCAUGGUAGGACAUGAAUAUGAAGAGUGGGGAAACAUGGGAUGUUUUGGGAACCCAAUAGUUGUAUCUAGUUCUGUCAUCUAUAAUGUUCUAAUUCUGUCAUCUAUAAUGUUCUGGUUUUGUCCUCUGUAAUGUUCUUUAUUGUAUAGUGGAAUUAUUCUCCCUCAUCUGUGUAGGCAAGUUGUUAAACCACGUUAAAACCUCGAAUACCAUUUGUGUUGAUUUUUUUUUAGUUUUGUGUUCUUGAUUAACAAUGCUUGCAUCAAAGCUUCUACCAACGUAACAAUGUGCAACAUAUUUGAUAUAACUUAUAUUUUCUUAAGUAAUUGAACACUUUUUUUCUAUAAAUUUACUUGAUUAUCAAUGAAUACCUACAUAUGCGGUAUUGACAUAGUUUGAUAAAUAUUUUAAAAUAGUAUUAGAAUGGCUUUUCUUUUUCCCAAUUAAAAAAUUUAUCAAAUAUAUACAUACACACACACACACACAAUACUCAUUAGUAUGUCUUUUAUGAAAAAACUAUAUUUGUUUAUUUGAAUUUAGUAGCCAUUUAACUCCUUAGUUACUCAUAAACUUUAUAUCACCUUCUUAAAGUCAAGUCAUUUACAAUUAUUUCUAUCUAGCCUUCUCCAUUAUGACAACUUUAUAAGAUAGUGAUUGACUGGAAAAAUCUACAUGCCUUUGUUGAUAGGAUAAUUGUUUUUCUUUUUUUCGUAUUCAAAGAAUCUUGCUUUUGUUAUUGAGACUUUCAAAUCCUUUAUGUCUAGUGGUCUUAUAAUUCCCUAUUCAUUGGUCUUUCAUAUUACCAAUCAUUUUGCAAAUGAGUUAAUUUCAUUCACAUCCUCUGAGAUUUGAUGUAAAUUCGCUUAGUUACCAAUGAUUUCAAAUUUCAUUAAUUAGUACCCCUAUAGAUGUAAUUUGUGUACAAAAUUUAUUUUUUAAAAGAAUUUAGGUAAAAAUAUUUUAGGUUUAUGUCUUUAACAAUUCUCUAAAAUAAAUUUUACUUGCUAAAAAAUAACUUAUAUAGAUAGAAUACAUCUACAGGAGUUCUAACUGACGAAAUUUAAAACUAAUGGUGGUUUAGUGUAUUUAAACUAAACAUUAAGAAGGGUGACUGAAAUUAACCCUCUAGGUAUAUAUGUUUAACAAAAUUUUUAUUGUUUAUUUUUCAUUUAAUGUUUGCAUUUUUCAAUAAACAUUGAAAAGGAAUUGUUUUUCCAUAUGUUAACAAAAAGAAAUUUGAGCACCUAUAAAAAUGAAAUCUUGUAGUAAAAUUGAAGUUACAUUAUCAAACUUUUAACGAGUGUUUAUGUUUAGAAAGGCCAAUUAAAGCAAGCAUGCAUCUAGAAAUUAUAACUUAGAUGCAUCAAACAUGAGCAACAUAUUUGAUAUAACUAAUAGUUUCUUAAGUAACUAAACACUUCUUUUUCUAUAAAUUUACUUGAUUAUCGAUGAAUACUUACAUAUAUUUACAUAGUUUGAUAAAUAUUUUAAAAUAAUAUUAGAAUAACUUUUUUUUUCUCAAUUAUAUUAGAAAAUAAUAUAAAGUUACUUAUAAACUUUAUAUCAUUUUCUCAAAGUCAAGUCAUUUACAAUUAUUUCUAUUUAGCCUUCUCCAUUAGGACAACUUUUAUAUGAUAGUCGUUGAUUGGAAGAAUCUACAUGUCUUUUUUGAUAGGAUAGUUGUUUUUAUUUUUUUUAUUUUUUUUAUUCCAAAAAUUUGCUUCUAUCAUUGAAACUUUCAAAUCUUUUAUGUAUAUUACCAAUCAUUUUACAAGUGAGUUAAUUUCACUUAGGGUAGAUAUACUUAGCCACACCCCUAUAGAUGUAAUUUGUGUUUAAAUUUUAUUUUUUAUUCAGGUAAAAAUAUCUUAGGUAUAUGUGUUCAACAAUUCUCUAAAAAAUAAAUUUUCUUAUCUAAAAGUUUAUAUAGACAAAAUACAUCUGUAGAAGUCCUAACUAAUGAAAUUUAAAAUCAAUGGUUGUUUAGUGUAUUUACAUUAAACCUUAUGGGGUAUGAUUGAAAUUAACUCUCUUACAAGCACUUGUAGCUAAUAUGUUUGUAGUUGUAGUGUUGGAAAUUGAUCAUUUUCUUGAAGGCCUCUAAGAUAUUGGAAAUAUUGCCAUAGUUUUAGACUUUUUUUUAUUACACCUAAUAAAAAAUAUUAUUAAUUUAACAUAUAUAUUCUUGACUUAAAAGUAAAGUCUCUCCAUAUUGUAUAAGCCCUUAGGUGACAAUAUUAGGUGAAGUUUUUCUUUCGUUUAUUAAAAAAUAUAAAUAAUUUAUUAUUGUAUGAUAAAAUUUUAUGUAAUAUAUUUUUAUAGAUGUAAAAUUAUUAAUUGGGUUUUAUUUUAUUUUUUUACUAAAUUGUCAUUUCAAUAUAUAAAACUUAUUUGUAAAAAGACAAUUAUAAACUAUAUGAAAUUGAAAAACAUUUAGUUUUUUUAUUUAAUUUAUAAUUUUGUUUGGAUUAAUAAUUGAUAUUUGUAAGAUUUUUUAAUAUUAAAAAAAGUUAGCAUACUUAAGAAAGAUAUUCAAGAUCGGGAGUGUUUGAUAUUGGAUUAAUUUCCUUAUUUUCUCUAUUUUAAUAAAUUUUCAUGUCCAUUACAAAAUUUUUGUUGUUUAUAUUUUACUUCAAUAUUUUUAUUUUGUAAUAGACAUUUGAAAAGAUUUUUUCCUACAUGUUAAAAAAAAAAAAUGAACACUCCUAAAAAAGAAAUAUUGCAAUAAAAUUAAAGUUUACACUGUAGGACUAUUAGCAAGUGCUAUAUACUUAAAAUAGACCAAUUAAAGUAGAAAUACUUCUAAAAUUUUAAUUUAGGUAACAAUAAUAUAAAAAGAUAAUAUUUUUGAAACAAUAGUUCUCUUGGAGUUUUGGGUACGAUGGACUAGACUUUAUGUAACAAUAGAUAUAUGAACUUUCCAUUAACAUCUUGAGAGACAUGAUGAGGAGCAAAGUCAUCCUAGAAGGUACCAUAGAGGUACCUUAGCUCCAUUCAUCUAGACUACAUAAUGUUUAAAGAUCAAAUUCAAUGACUAGAUUUCAAAAAUCAAUAUAAGCUUUCUCAUAUUCUACUCUAUAUAAGACAAUGGUAUGAUACAUCUCUUGUGUCGUAGAAUGCACCAUGAAAACCUUAUCAUUUUAACAUCAGUUUGAAACUUAAAAGUCACUUAGCACAUUCUAGUUAUUAAUGUAAGAACAUUAAAAGAAAAUAUAAAAAAAGUUACUUUAUUCUUGUGAUUUUGAUCUAGGACUUUUAAUGAUAUUAAAAAAAAAAAAAAAAAACAGAAAAAUAAAUGGAAAUAAAAUCAACAAAUUAAACAAUUGAAUUAAGUUAGUUUAAUUUUUGCAUCGUUAAAUGGGUAAAUAAAGACUCUUAGAUUUGAUAUUAAUAUGAACAUCAUGACUUUAGUGAAUCUUACAAGAAAAUUUUAGUUUGAAAGACUUCAUUCAUUAAACGUGUGGCACAUAUUAAAGUAAAACUAAGUCUUCUCUAUAAUUUGUACCUAUCAUAGUUUCUUUCCUCAUAAAUAGCCUUUUUUGAAUAUAAUAUAGACUUCAACAUGUAUGGUGGGGCCGAUCAAACUACUAGUCAAGACAACUCAUGGGCAACAACGAUGUACCAACUAUAUUAAAUACUCUUCAUCUAUUUGCAUAUCAAGAGUAAUUUAGUAGUGUCUUUCUUAUGUACCUCGUAUCUAGACUUUCAAUGGAGAGUUCUUCAUCUAAAAAUUUGACUUGGGUUUUCAUAUUAGUUUUGGUUUAGACAUAUGGAUGCAAAGGUUGCAUCAAAGAAGAGAAGUAGGCUAAAUCAUCUUACAAAUUUUCAAGUUCAAAUUAGAUGCACCAAACAUAUGCAAUAUAUUUGAUAUAACUAAUAUUUUCUUAAGUAAUUGAAUACAAUUUUUUUUAUUUUAUAAAUUUACUUGAUUAUUAAUGAAUAACUACUUGUAUGAUAUUGACACAACUUGAUAAAACUUUUAAAAUAAUAUUAGAAUAACUUUGCUAAAAAAAAGUAAAAAUAAAAAUAAAAAUAUGUCUAUAUAUAUAAAAUUAAAUAAAAUUAAAAAUUAAAAAAGAAUAUAUAUAUAUAUAUAUAUAUUGUGUGUGUGUGUGUGUGUGCAUGGUCCCACAACUCAUUAGCUACUCAUAAGCUUUAUAUCACUUUCUCAAAGUCAAGUCAUUUUGUAAUUAUUUCUAUCUAGCCUUCUCCAUUACGACAACUGUAUAAGAUAUUGAUGGGUUGGAAAAAUCUUCAUGUCUUUUUUAAUAAGAUAGUUUUAUUAUUAUUAUUAUUAUUAUUAUUAUUAUUAUUAUUCAAAGAAUUUGAUUUUAUUAUUGAAACUUUCAAAUCCUUUAUGCCUAGUGGUCCUACAAUUCCCUAUUCAUUGGUAUUUCAUAUUACCAAUCAUUUUACAAAUAAGUUUAUUUCACCCGGUAAAUAUACUUAACUACUAAUGGUUUCAAAUUUAAUUGAUUAACACACUUAUAGAUGUAAUUUGUUUUUAAAUUUUAUUUUUUUAGAAGAAUUGUAGGUAAAAAUAUUUUAGGAAUAUGCGUUCAAUAAUUCUCUAAAAACAAUUUAUAUAGAUGGAAUACAUUCAUGGAAGUUCCAACUAAUGAAAUUUAAAACCAACGACGAUUUAAUGUAUUCUCACUAAAUCUUAGGGGAGGUGUACUAAAACUAGCCUUUUUACAAAUAUUUGUAGCUAGUAUAUUUGUAGUUAUGGUGUUGGAAGUUGAUCAUUUUCUUAAAGGCCUCUAUGAUAUUGGAAAUAUCGCCAAAGUUUUGAACUUUUUGUUUCAUCUAAAAAAAAUAUCAUUAAUUUAAUAUAUAUACUCUUUGCUUGAAAGUAUAGUUUCUUCAUAUAGUAUGAAGUUGUAGCUAGGUGACAAUAUUAGGUGAAAUUUUUUUGGUUUACUACAAAAUAUAAAUAAUAUAUUUAUUAUAUGAUAAAAUUUUGUAAAAUAUAUUAUUAUAGAUGCAAAAUUAUUAAUGGAGUUUUAUUUUUUACUAAAUUAUCAUUUCAAUAAUAAGAACUUAUUUGUUAAAAGAAAAUUAUAAAAUAUAUGCAGUUGAAAAAAUUUUAAUUUUUUUAUUUAAUUUGGUAUUUUAUUUGAAUUAAUAAUUGAUAUUUGUAAGAUAUUUUAAUAUUAAAAGAAGUUAACAUACUUAAAAAAGACAUUCAAAAUCAAGAGAGUAUUUGAUAUGAAAUUAAUUUAUUUAUUUUUUCUAUUUAAAUAAAUUUUUACAUCCAUUAAAAAAAUUUUAUUGUUUAUUUUUCACUUCAAUAUUUUUAUUUUGUAAAAGAAAUAGAAAUAAAAUCAACAAAUUAAACAAUUGAAUUAAGUUAGUUUAAUUUUGCCACCGUUAAAUUGGUAAAUGAAGACUCUUAUAUUUGAUAUUAACAUGAACAUCAUGACUUCAUUGAAUCUCACAAGAAAAUUUUAGUUUGAAAGAUUUUAUUCUUUAAUCAUGUGGCACAUAUUAAAGUGAGACCAAGUCUUCCCUAUAAUUUGUAUCUAUCACAAUUUCUUUCCUAAUGAAUAGCCUUUUUGAAUAGAAAAUAGACUUUAGCAUGCAUGGUGGGGCCUAGCUAUCAAACUACUAGUCAAAGCAACUCAUGGGCAAGAAUGAUGUACCAACUAGAUUAAGUAUUCUCCAUCUAGUUGCAUAUCAAGAGUAAUUUAGUAGUAUCUUUCUUGUGUACCUCAUUUCUAGACUUUCAAUGGAGAGUUUUUUAUCUUAAAAUUUGAUGUGGGUUUUCAUACUAGUCUUGGUUCAGAUAUGUGAAUGCAAAGGUUGCAUCGAAGAAGAGAAGUAGGCUAAGUCAUCUUACAAAUUUUCAAGUUCAAAUUAGAUGCAUCAAACAUGUGCAACAUAUUUGAUAUAACUAAUAUUUUACCAAGCAACUAAAUACUUUAUAUAUAUAUAUAUAUAUAUAUAUAAAUUUAUUGAUGAUCAAUGAAUACACAUGUAUGGUAUUGACACGGUUUGAUAAAUCUUUUAAAAUAGUAUUAGAAUAACUUUGCUAAAAAAAGUAAAAAUAAAAAUAAAAAUACAUAUAUAUAUAUAUAUAUAAAAUAAAAAAUUUUAAAAGAAUAUAUAUAUAUUAGUGGUCCCACAACUCAUUAGCUACUCAUAAGCUUUAUAUCAUUUUCUUAAAGUCAAGUCAUUUACAAUUAUUUCUAUCUAGCCUUCUCCGUUGCGACAACUGUACAAGAUAUUAAUUGAUUGAAAAAAUCAUCAUGUCUUUUUUGAUAGGAUAGUUUUUUUUUUUAUUCAAAGAACUUUCAAAUCCUUUAUGUCUAGUGGUCCUACAAUUCCUUAUUCAUUGGUAUUUCAUAUUACCAAUCAUUUUACAAAUAAGUUAAUUUCACUCGGUAAAUAUACUUAACCACCAAUGGUUUCCAAUUUGUAACACUCUUAUAGAUGUAGUUUGUUUUUAAAUUUGAUUUUUUAGAAGAAUUGUAGGUAAAAAUAUUUUAGCUAUAUAUGUUCAACAAUUCUCUAAAAACAAUUUAUAUAGAUGGAAUACAUUCAUGGAAGUUCCAACUAAUGAAAUUUAAAACCAAUGAUGAUUUAAUGUAUUUGUACUAAAUCUUAGGGAGUGUGGACUAAAAUUAGCCCUUUUACAAAUAUUUAUAACUAGUAUAUUUGUAGUUGUGGUAUUGGAAGUUGAUCAUUUUCUUAAAAGGUUUACCAUUGAAGUUAGUUGAAUAUAAAGUUAGGUGAACUUUACCAUUGUUAAAUUGGUAAAUGAAGACUCUUAGAUUUGAUACUAACAUGUACAUCAUGACUUCAUGGAAUCUCUCACAAGGAAAUUUUAGUUUGAAAGACUUCAUCUUUUAAACAUGUGGCACAUAUUAAAGUGAGACCAAGUCUUCCCUAUAAUUUGUAUCUAUCACAAUUUCUUUCCUCAUAAAUAGCCUUUUUGAAUAGAAUUAAUAUAGACUUUAGCAUGCAUGAUGGGCCCCGUCAAACUAUUAGUCAAGAUAAUUUGUAGGUAAGAACGAUGGACCAACUAUAUUAAAUACUCUUCAUCUAUUUGCAUAUCAAGAGCAACUUAAUAUUGUCUUUCUUUUGUACUUCAUGUUUGAACUUUCAAUGGAGAGUUUGUCAUCUAAAUAUUUGAUGUGGGUUUUUAUACUACUCUUGGUUCAAAUAUGUGGAUGCAAAGGUUGCAUCAAAGAAGAGAAGAUGGGUUUGCUUGAAUUCAAGGCUUUUCUUAAAUUGAAUAAUGAGCAUGCAGAUUUUCUUCUCCCUUCAUGGAUAGAUAACAACACUAGUGAAUGUUGUAAUUGGGAGCGGGUUAUUUGCAAUCCCACCACAGGUCGAGUUAAGAAGCUUUUCCUCAACGAUAUAACGCGACAACAAAAUUUCUUGGAAGACGAUUGGUACCAUUAUGAAAAUGUCAAAUUCUGGUUACUAAAUGUCUCCCUAUUCCUUCCUUUUGAAGAACUUCACCAUCUAAACUUGUCUGCAAACUCAUUUGAUGGGUUUAUUGAGAAUGAAGGUAUGUUACCUCUCACCUUUAAAAUUUCUUUUCACUUAUACUCCAAACAUUCUAAAGGAACUACUAGCAUAUGUUCUUAAAAGUGUUCAGGUGGAGACCAAAUGGUCACUAGUAACUAUUGAAUUUAAUAUAAGAACAAUUACUAAUUAUUAAAAUUUAUAAUGUAAAUUAACAUUUAAACAAAACAAUAAAAAAAUUAUUAUUUUAGAAAACUAUAGAUUACAUUAGCCUUAUAUAUAUAAGCAUACUUGUAAUUUAUGCCAUCAUUUCACACUCAACCCAAUUAGUGGGAUUCAACUAAGAGUGAGCAAUUUCACAAUUAUUAAUUAACAAAAACACUUAGGCUCCCAUAUCCUUAUCCUUUUUGCUGAAUUGUCUUUCCUUAUCUUCCAUUCCUAAAAAGCUUGAUUUCUAUAUUCCAAAUUGAUAGAGAUUGGUUAAAGAAAGGUGAUCACAAAAUUUGACUAUUGCUUUCAAAUGAGGAAUCACCAUCUUCAAAAUUUCACAUUUAAAAAAAAAAAAAAAAAAAAAACUAGCCUCGGGUAAGGUCCAAGCCUUAUUGUUUUAAGCUGAUGUCGGGUUGGUUUAAUAAUGAACAGAGUAAAUCCCAACCCAUGACCAUCUACGCAUUUCCAAAUUCCACCCAUCCACAACCCAUUAAUAUGACAUUUUCAGGGACAAAAUUUAAUCAAUUAAACCUAUUAGAUGGAUUCUCCAUACAAUGUUAAAAUGAAUAUAAAAACUUUAAUUCAAAAAAUAAUUUCCUUUAUUUAGUUAGGAUUCAAAUUAUAGGGGCACAAAACAUGAAAAUUUUCAUGUUUAAAAUUCACAAAGAUCACAAAAGCUCUUUGAAGCUCUAUGGACUUUUUUAUUUCUAACAUUUAAACACAAAAAUCACCAAAUUGAAUUAGAAACUUGGAUGCAUAUUCUUAUAUUAAAGACAUGUAAGCUUACAUAUUUAAAUAUGAAGAUCUCAACUUGUAAUUACAUGCUUCUAAUUAAAGUUAUAUUACUCUAUUUUACAGGAUUUAAAGGGUUAUCAAGUUUAAAGAAAUUGGAGAUCUUGGACAUAAGUGGUAAUGAGUUUGACAAAAGUGCCUUAAAAUCUUUGGGCACAAUAACAUCACUCAAGACAUUGGCUAUUUGCAGCAUGGGACUGAAUGGAUCUUUUUCCAUUCGAGGCAUGUUAUAUGUCCACAUUGUUUCUUUGAAAUUAAGUAAAAUGUAUUUCUAACUUUUAAUGUUCCUUAGUUAAUCUCUCUUUUGAUUCAUGUUUGUUGCAGAAUUAGCUAGUUUGAGAAAUUUGGAAGUGUUGGAUCUAAGCUAUAAUGAUUUGGAAAGCUUUCAACUAUUGCAAGGUACUUCAUUAACUUGCUAAAAAAACUUAUGAUAUUUUGUUAUUAAAUUAAAGGUAAGAUUAACAAACAAUUUCUUCCCAUUAGUUACUUUUCUUUGUAAUAUCAUUAAAUUUGAUAUAAAAUAGUCUAAAUCAUCCUUUCAAUUUAUAAGUUUUAAUUAAAACGCAUCAAGCAUGCACAAGGUGUUUAAUAUAACUAAUAUUUUCAUAAGUAAUUGAAUUUUUUUUAUGAAUUAAUUAACUUGAUUAUCAAUAAAUACUUACAUGUAUAAGAUUAAUAUAGUUUCAUAAGUAUUUUAAAAUUGUCUUACAACACACACACACACACACAGAGGGAAAAUGAAAGGUAUGUGAUACAUUUAUGCUAUGUUUGGUUCCCAAAAAAAUUGAGGGAAAAUGAAAGGAGAAAAAAGUGGAGAGGAAAAGUAAAAGAAAAGAAAAAAAGUGAAGAAAAAUAUAAAAUUGAUUAAAGUAAAUACAUGUUACUUUAAACUUUUUUACUUAUUUUAAUUCUUCAAUGUAAGGAUGAAAGAUUUGAAAAUGCAUAAGUUUCUAAUUUUUUUAUUUUAUUUUAUAGUUUUUACAAUACAACCAAACAUACUAAAAUCAUUUUCUUUAAUUUUUUUUUCUUUUCUUAAUACUUUUCACGAACCCUUAAGUUAUGUUUGGUUUGCAGAAAAUAUGAGGAAUAGCAAAUAGAAAAGAAAAUUAGAAGGAAAGAAAAAAUGAAGUAAAAUAAAAAUAAAUUUAAAUUUAAUAAAUUAUUUUUAUAUGCUACUUUAAGCUUAUUUCACUUAUUUUAAAUUAUUUAAACUCAUUUCUAAUAAAUAAUAAUGGAAAUUGUAGAGAAGUUUGUGUUAUUCAAGCUUUGCAAUGACUUUUCAAGGUGAAGGAAAAUAUUCUUGCUGAAAUUGAAAAAGGAAAUACCUUCUUAAAUAGCCUAUUGACCGAAAACACAUUACCCUAACAUAUACACACACCUUUAUUAUUUAUACAAUCAUGUAAUACUUAAUCCAGUUAGUGGGAUUCUAGUGGUUGUUUCUAUCUUGGUUUCCAAUAUUUCUGAUUGAUAGUGUUCGAUUAAUGAAAUAUCAUAAAUUUUGACCCCAAUAAGGACCAAUCCCUAUUAAAUGUAAUUGGGUUAACCUAAGACUAAAUGCUAGACCCAACUAAUAAAAACCCAUCUGUUUGUUGGAGUCUAAAUAACCUGGCCUUAGGUAGAGCCCAUGCCUUAUUAUUUUAAGAUGUAGUCCAACUGGUUUAACACUAGAUUGAGUAAAGCCCAACUUAUGAGCAUCUGUGCAUUUCCAUCCAUCCACAACCUACUGGCAUGGAUAAACUUUGGUCAAUUAAACCUAUUAUAACUGUAUACAAAAUUUUAAGUUCAAAAGAUAAUUUUCCUUAUUUAGUUAGGAUUCAUAUUAAAAAGGCACAAAACAUGAAUUUUCAUGUUUAAAUUCACAAAUACCACGAAAGCUCCUUCAAGCUCUAUGGACCAUUUUAUUUGUAACAUUAUAUUACUCUUAAUUAUCAAAUUAACCAACAAAUUCUUCUCAUUACUUAUCUUUCUUUUGUAAUGUCAUAAAAUUUGAUGUAAAGUAGUAUUGGUCAUCAUUUCAACUUUCAGGUUCCAAUUAGAUGCAUCAAGCAUGUGCAACAUAUUUGAUAUAACUAAUAUUUUUAUAAGUAAUUGAAUUUUUUUUUUCUAUAAAUCAAUUAACUUGAUUAUCAAUGAAUACUUUCAUACAUGAUAUUGAUGUAGUUUCAUAAAUAUUUUAAAAUAGUCAUAGAAGUCUUUUAUCUGAUUCACUAGAAAGAAAAAUAAACUAUUCUAAUGAAAAUACUUGAUGAUUUGAAGUGAUUGCUUUUGAUUUUAUUUGAUUGCUACCAUUAUUAAUUGUUAGAAAUUGGCAACAAAUACCCAUUUUGCAUCACUUCUAUAUGCAUCGGGGGAAUGAAUUAUAUUUCAUAGAGCUAACAGGGCAAAACUCAAACUUUUGGAAUUAUGGAAAAUGUUGCUAGAAAGCUAAUUAACCAUUUAUAUUAUGAUUAAGACUAGUUGGGUUAGAAAUAAUUCAUAUGGAGAUUAAAAAAAACUAUGUAAUUUAGUUUAGUAGCUUGGGUGCUAUUGUAAUGAUUAAUGAUCUGCAACUUGAACACAUCUACUAGUGCUUUCUACUUGUAUAGCUAAAUUUAUGUUACCACUUUGAACUAGAGUACUUACAUGAGAAGAAAGCUUUUCCCUAGUGAUAAUGCAAAAGAAAUUAAGUAUCAAUUUUUGUUAAAAAUAACAAGUGAUAGUUUAGAUAUGGUUUGAAUACACUUUCUUUCUUCUAUUUUUUUAUUUUGAAAAAAAAAACUCUUUAAUGAAAUAUAAGAAAUCUUAUAUGUAUAAAAAUUAAAGACUUAAACAAAAAAAUUUGAAAUUUUGAAAAUUUUCGAGAAGUAUUUUUAAGAAUUUGUAUUUUUAGUAUAAUAAUUCCUAUAUUUUGUAUAAAAGUUUUUGUUUAAAAAAAUAGAAGUGUAUCCAAAUUACAAAUUAAUUGUUAAAUUAAGAAUGUUUCUCAGAUCAAGAGAUAAUGAAAGUUGUAGAGAGUUUGCAUUACUCAACCUUUGCAAUUACUUUUUGAAGGUAAAAAAAAAAUACCUUCCUACAUAACAUACAAUGGUAGGUUCUGGUUUGUAAGAAACUAAUAAAUGAUUAAGAAUAUGAAUAAGACUUCCUUUAUAAUAGAUAUGUAGAGAAGAAUAGUGGAUGAUAGGUGGUGAAAAUCUUGUAAUAAAAUAUCAAUAUCGGUUAUAAGAUAAUCAACAUUUUCUCUAUUUCUUGUACCUAUGUGAUUAAGAAUCUUGUAGCUCCCUUAUUGAAAUAUAAUAUAAAAAUAUAAAUAAACUAUUUAGAAGUGCAUGUAGUUUUCAACAUGAGGAAGUUCAAAAGCAAGUUAAUUAUGAUAAUUUUCCAUAGUCUAUAUUGAACACAAAUUAUUUUUACUAAAGGUUCAAUCGUUCUAUGAAGGUUAAAAGUUUGAAUUGUUUACAUAUGCAAAUGUGAAAUUUGAAAGUUUAUAAUUUUUUAUAAUUUUCUUGUAGAUUCAAAAAGCUUGUCCAUAUUCAAAAAGCUCGAGACCUUGAACCUCAAUUACAACAAGUUCAAAAACACUAGCCUACAACAAUUGGAUAUAUUUACAUCCCUUAAAAAUCUUUCUCUAAGAUGGAACAAUGUUGGAGGAUUUUUUCCUAUCCAAGGUAUGUGUAAUUAUUAUUAUUAUUAUUUUUAAUGAUGAAAUAUUAGAAUUGUCAACAUCUUUUAUCUUUUUUUCCCCUCAAUGGUGUUGCAGAAUUAUGCACUCUGGAAAACUUGGUGAUGUUAGACCUAAGUGGGAAUUUCUUUUUUGGCAUGCAAGGUAAAUACAAAGUGAAGUUUUGGUUAUAUAUAUAUAUAUAUAUAUAUAUAUAUAUAUCAUGUAAGAACAUAACUAAAAUCAACAUUAUUUGCCUAUCAAUUUGUGCAUGACUAUUAUUUAGUUAUUCUUCGUAACAUAAUUGAAAGAAUGUCUAGGUGUACAACAUUUAAGAAUUUUACAUGGCACAAUGAAAAACAUGGUAAUCAAUGUGUGCAAUAAAAUUCUAAUAGUUGAAAAAGAAUUUUCUUGUAAUUUUAUGUUCAUGUAUAGUAAUCAAAGAGAAAAUCAUGAAAAUGUAUAUUAGUUAGACUUUAUAUAUCAAUAGACAAAAAAGAAAGAAAAAAAAAGAUUAGUUCCUUAACUUAUCCUAAAAUUUUCUAGAUAACAAGGAGUUUUUUUAUUUUGGGCUAUAAGGUUUACAACCUGAAAAGUGAAGAUGAUUAAUAUUAGUAAUAAAAUUUUAAAAUAUAAAAAUUAGUGAAAUAAUGUUCUCUAUAACUAUAACUCCAACUGCAACUAUUAAUAAAAGAUAAUAAAGGUACUUUAGACUUUGAAUCCAUGGUUAGGUUUGCAAUUUUUUGAUGAUCAAUAAAGCUACAACUUAUGCUGCAAAAGGCUAUACAAAAUGUAUUAGGAGCAUUGCUAAGCUCAUUUAUCAAUAAAGGAAAUCCAGUAAUACUUUGAUUGGAAAAAACCUAGAAUCAUGUUUGAUAUAUAAUAGGUGAAGAAACAAAAUAACAAUUCCAUGGUAUUAGUUAGUUUGAUAUCUCUUUUGUUAUAUGGAAUAACUAUUCCAUUUUAAAAUAAUUAUUUCAUCUUAUCGCUAGAACAAAAAAUUUCAGGCGAUUAUAUGGGCUUUUGGGUUUCUUAAGAAUUUAAGCAUUUAUGGGUCACCCAUAUAUAUAUAGGAAGAAUAAAAAAAAAAAUAUUCUAUGGAGACAAGGGUAGACACCCAUAAAUGUACAUAUAAUUAUUUAAAUAAAAAUAUCAAUAAGAAACAAUAUACAACAAAAUAGAAAAUUUUAAUCUUCCUAAAUUUUAAAAAUAGAAAAUAAAUGAAAAAAAAUUAAAAAGUAAAAAAAAAAAAAAAAAAAGGUCAAGAAUACAAAUAGAUAAGUAAACAAAAUAUAAAAAAAAUACAUAAAUUAAAAUUAAAAUUUUUUUAAAAAAAAUACAUAGAUUAAUAUGAACACUAAAUGAGGUUUUUUGAGAUAGACUUAGUUAGACUUGAACUAGAUGGAUAUUAAAAAAAAUAAAAAUAAAAAUUCAAAGAAAUAAAAACUAAUUAGAUGCUAAAUAUUGGAUUAAAAUAACCAAAUGAAUAAAGAGUAAUUAUUAAUUUUUAACAUUUUUUAUUCCUUAGAAUUAUUAUUUUGUGUAUUAAAUGUAUUAUGAGUGUAGUGGUAUAAAAAAUGUAGUUAAGAAUACUAUGAAGAAUAAUAAUGGUGAUGAUAAUGGUGACGACACUUAAUACCUUUUAUUGUACAUUUAGAAAAAAUGAGGUUCUUGAUCUUUAUGAAGAUUAUCAUUACUCAUCCGCAAGCAUGUUGAUAGUUGAAACUACUCAAUUAUCAAAAAUUGAAUUUCUAACCUUCAAUUUUUCUCUCUCAAAUGUAUAUGUGGGUGAGAAAGCACUAGGUAGGUUAUAAGGUCUCACAUGUAUAUGAGUCAUAGGAUAAAAAAUAUAGAGACAAUACUAGCAUUUAUUUGAUCCAGUGGCAAAUAGAGAAAUAUAACAUAACCAUAACCAUAAUGUUCUAACCUUAUAUAUACCAGAACCAUGUUUCCUUCAUUCAAUUUUGCAACUUUUUCUUUUCAAAUUAGAAUGUAACUCGUAGGAUCCAUUGUCCAUCAAAAUUUUGAAUCGAAUAUUAUAAGAUAUUUCACAUUUCUACCUACUAAAGCAUGAGCUUCAAUGUUCUCAUGCACUUUUGGCUACUAAGUUAAAGAACUCUUUGAGGGUUAAUGGAGUUUCUAUGAGUAGCAAAGCAUUAUAAUCACAAAGUCUUAUCAGUGAUAUGCAAUUUAACCAAGAACUUAUUCCCAACUAUUUUAUGACUUUUCUUGGCUACUUGUAGGCAAGCUAAAGAAAUUUUCUGGUUUGUUCAAGUCUAAAAAGUGGUUUCAAGUUUAGGGCCAAGCUUGGGCUGCACCUAGGUCCUUGGGCCUUAUUCAGCUCCACGUUUAAACCAACCUUGAGUCCAUCUUUGUAAUUUUUCUCCCAAUUCAUUGAUUUAUAUUAGGAUUUUAUAAAGCCUAUAAAUUGACCAACUAAAUAAAGUAGGUUCAUAAACUUUUAGGUGAAAAUUUUCUCUCUAAUAAAUGUUAAUUCAAGAGUCUCCGUAAUCUUUUUAUAUUCAUAUUAAUUGGUAUUUAAACUGACCUUACUAUAUUAAAGUCAAAUACCAAAUAGUGAACACUAUAUCUGCUACUACCACUAUGAUGGUCACAAACAUAGAAUGCUCCUUUUUUUAGAGUCAAUUGAUGCUUAUAAACAACAACUUUGUUUGAAAAUAAAAUACAUCGAGUGAUUGCAUCAAGAGAUUGAUGUAAUAAUUGCAUACUUGAUCUUGAUAAUGCUGAGUUGACUAAAUAAAUGAGUAUUUACUUAUAAGGUAGCCCAUAGAACAUUAUUUGUGGAAAUAUUCAUGCACCUCUACAUAUGUUCAUGAUAACUUAGGUUGAUAAAUUUAAGAAGAACAAAUUCAUAACCUUGGGCAUAGUUAGUAAGAAAUUUCACCAAUAGAGUUUGGUAUCAUGAUUCUAAUUGUUCAAAUUGUUUUAAAGGAGUAUUUUAAAUUGCAUGUUAAUUUGCUUCUAAUAAAUGGAGAGAAACCAAUUCAAGAAGAGAAUUGUACUCAAGCUAUGUAUAACAUUCAUGAAGAUGUAGAAAAUAUUGAUGAACUUACUUUUGAGCAAGUUGAAAUCAUAAUUAAAUAAAAGAACAAACCCAAGGGUUAAGAUUGUCAAGUAAAACUUUAACUAAAAUUUAUUGAUUUUUUAAAUGCCUAUUAGAGGGACAAUAGAAGUUCUAGAUAAAAAGUAAGAACUUUUCUAAGGAAUCACUUGUUAGAUUUUAAGUGAUCAAUAAAUAUAAUGUCCAAUUUAAAACUUUUAUAAAAGCAAUGCUUCUAAAGAAUAACUUGAUUUGAAUUUAAAGUUAUUAUUGAUAUUUGUUUAUAAUGGAUGUAGUUAAUCAACUGAACAUAGUAAAAAACACAUAAAUUUUUCAAAAUACCUUCUAGUUGUUGGGUAUAUUUAAAUAGUCAUCCAUAUCUCAUUAUCUUUUCACUCACAUACUAAUCUCCUUAUUGAGUAUUUACCAAUUACAAGUAGGUUGAAAGUUACUUGAAUUUAAGUCACUAAUCAAUGUUAACUUGAUAACAAAUAAGUCUCUCUUUGAAACUUGUUUUACAAGAUAGCGAAAUGUAGUCGAUCAAUCAUCAAAACAAUGUUCAAGCAUUAGGAUUUAGUUGUUAAUUUUUAUUUUUAUUUUUUGUGCUUAAACAAAGACAAAAAUGAUAAAAACUCCUUAAAAGUACAUAGUAAUUGAAUUUAAUUUAUACAUCAAACAAGAACAAACUAGUCUUGGAUUUAAAAUUCAUCAGGUUUUGUAAUUAUAAUUCCUAAAAAUUUGUAAGACAACAAAAUUAUUGGGCACUAGGUUAUUGGGUGUGUAUGACUAAGAGGUGAAGGAGGGUUCAUCUUAUACAAAGGAUGAUUUGAUUAAUUUUAAAGAUUGGAUAAACAAUAAUUGCAUAUUCAAGUAAAAAUAACAUUGCUAAAAAGGAAAAUAAGUAUUUUAGUCCUCAAACCUAAAAUGGCUAAAAAUUUUAAUUAAUACAAUACAACUUCACCUACAAAAGAAAAAAAAAACCCAAAACUUUUCAAUAGCACAACUAAGUCCAUUUAUCAAAAAAAAGAAAUAUAAGGAAGUUGGACUCAUUUACUAGCAAUUUAACAUAUGACUAAAACCUAUUGAAGAAUUUGCAAUAGCACUUACUUUGGUCAUGUCCAAACUUAUUGCACAUGGUGCAAAAAGGGGUAGUGCUCGAGGAUGCUUCCACAUAAGAAAGACCCUACUUAACUGUUACAAAGGUUAUUUUCCCACUUGUGGGAAUGCUAACCUUGCUAAUAUAUUAUAUGCCAUGUUUAUCAUAUACAAAUUUUUCUUUACUAAAUAUUUCUUUAAUGAUCUUGGACCUAAAAUUAAAUAUUUCAUUAGUAUUGGUCAUGUCGUUCCUCAACUUUUCAACUUUUAGAGUUAAAUCUUUAUCUUUAUCAUUGAUAGUUUUAUGUUUAGUCCCUAGAAACUUCACCUUAUUAACAAUAUGUUCAUUUAAUAUUUUGAUAUUUUUAAUUUUCAAAGAAUCAUAGAGCUCAUUAAUUUUAAUGUCUUUUUAUUCACUUUUAUGCUUUCAACCUUUGUUUUUAGUUUUCCUAUAAUAAUGCAUCAUAGACCCCAUGUAUAUCAUUAAAAUAAAACUCAUUUUUUUCAUUAGGAUUCAAUUAACCCAAUGGAUCAUAAUCAAAAUUAGUUGCAUAUGAACAAAAGCAAUAAGAUUAUCAUUUUGUACAUCUUUACUUUCAUUUGAGUUCUUAGCCCUACAAUCAUCAAACAUGGAAUUACUCCAAGUUACCUACAUAGCCUUCAUACCUAAUGUUUUUAAGGCAAGGACAAUCAACAACCAUGUGUCCCAUUCCCCCAAUGGUUCACUACGAAAUCAAGGUACAUAUGUUAUGCUUUCUUUGUUUCAUAGUGAUUAGAGAGGAUAAACAUUGUAAAAAAAAAAGUUGUCAUAGUUAAUGUAAGCUAAAACUAAAAAACUUGCUUUUUCAAUUGUGUAAGCAUGUUUUGUUCUUGAUGAAUAUUUACAACAUUCAGAGUUACUAAUGUUUAUAAUUCACAGAGACCUCAUUAACAACAAGUAACAACUAAUUGUAAGUAACCAUGAAAAAAAAAUAAGGAGAAAAAUAAAGGAAAAUCAAGGAAAGUGUCAAAUUUUUUCAUCCCCAUAAAAAAUGCUAAGGAAGAAAAAUGUGAAGAAAGUUUAAAGAAAGUAUAUUUUUCAAAAAUUGAAUUUUCUUUCCCUUAAAGUUGGUAUGGACAACCAAACAAGAAAAUGAUUUUUAAAUUCUUUUUUGACCUUUUUCUAUCAUUCUUUUUUUUUUCCCCCUACUCUAUUUCCUUUCCCUCAAACUUUCUAGGUAGUAAACAUUACCUAAGAUAAAUAGGGAAGAAAAUAUUUUAUCAUUUAUUUAUUUAGUAUUUUUCUUACCUUUUUUUGUAUUUUAUCCAAAUAUAAGAAAACUACUUUUCUUUAUUUUUUCUUUUCCUUGUUGCUUUUCAAGAAUCAAGCAUACUUUAAACUCUAAUUAAGAGUUACAUAGAUUUACAGAGAAACAAUGCAACUAGUAACAAAAAAUUAAGGAAAUUUAAUUUUUUAAUUUUUGAGAGUAAGUAUAAUAAGAUUGGUUUGUUUGAUACAAAAUUUGAAUAAAAAUUAUUUUAAUGAAAAUUCAAGGAAAGGAAAAAAAAAAAAAAAAACUUGAUCUCUAGACUAUAAUACUAAAUCAAUUAAAAAAUCUCCUAACAUCGUUUAUGUUCAUCUUUUUUUUUUUAUGGAUUUGAAAAACCCAAUAAUUUGGAGAAAACUGAUUCAAGGAAGAAUAAUUUUUAGAAUAAAAUAUUAUUAUUUAAGAAGAUCAUAAAUUUUAUAGUCAUUGUUGAAAAUGAUAAAUGAUUAAAAAAAAAAAGGUAGUUGGAAAUUUAGAUACUUUUAUAAGACAAAUGCAUUUUUCUAGUCUGGUAUGAAAAAAGGUAAAAUGAUAGGCUUUGAUCAUUUUUCAAGUUAGUUUGUUUAAAUCAUUUUAAUUUAUUUUGAUUUAAGAACAAUAACUUUUAUUACACUAGUUAUUUUGAUUUUCUUUUGAUAGAUUUUGCAAGCUUAAGCAAUUUGGAGCUAUUGGAUUUGAGUUAUAAUUUAUUUAGUGGGAGCAUUCCAUCAUCUAUAAGAUUGAUGUCUUCUAUCAAGUCUUUAUCCUUGGCUGAAAAUUACCUCAAUGGUUUCUUAGCAAAUCAAGGUACAUAUAUUGUGAUUACAGGUUUUUCUAUUUUCUUUUUUAAUAUCUUGUUUGUUCUUUAUGCCAAUUAAGUCAUGCAUGUCUAUUAAUUUUUGGUAUUUAAUGAAAAACUUUAUUCUUAAUUCAUAAAGACCUCAUCAACUAUAAGUAACAGUUAGUUCUAAGUUUGGGGGCAUUGACAAGACGAGGAGAUGAUUGGUUACAUGUCUUAUUCUCUUUUGUUGGCUUUUGCCAAUUGAAUAAGUUUCAAGAAUUAGAUUUUUCUUACAACUUAUUCCAAGGAAUCCUUCCUCCAUGUUUGAAUAAUUUGACAUCUUUGAGGUUAUUGGAUCUCUCUUCCAACCUAUUCUCCGGAAAUCUUUCUUCCCCUCUGUUACCUAAUCUCACAUCCCUGGAGUACAUCGAUCUCAGUUACAAUCAUUUUGAGGGUUCAUUCUCUUUCAGCUCUUUUGCUAAUCACUCCAACUUUCAAGUGGUCAAACUUGGAAGGAAUAACAACAAAUUUGAGGUAGAAACUGAAUAUCCAGUUGAUUGGGUUCCCCUAUUUCAGUUGAAAGCUCUUAUGCUAUCCAACUGUAAGCUCAUCGAUGACCUUCCUGGUUUUCUUCGACACCAAUUAAGAUUAACCGUGGUUGAUCUCUCCCAUAAUAACUUGACUGGAAGUUUCCCCAUUCAGCAGCUUGAAAACAAUACAAGACUAGGAUCUCUAGUUUUGAGGAAUAACUCUUUAAUGGGUCAACUACUUCCCCUGAGACCUAAUAGUCGUAUCACUUUAUUGGAUAUCUCAGACAACCGACUUCAUGGGGAACUUCAACAAAAUGUGGCCAAUAUGAUUCCAAAUAUUGAGUUUCUAAAUUUAUCCAACAAUCUUCCCCUUCAUUUCAUCCAUAUUUGGAUCUACCUUUAAAUCUCUAUUGCAUACAACCCAUAUAUGAUUCCCUCUAAAUUUAGCCUUCAUUUCUUGUUAAGAGGUUUUAAAAGCCAGCAAUUUAAUUUACUUUCAUCCUCUAUAUAGAUGAGAACUCUUAUAUUUAUCCAAUGAUAGGUAACAUUUUUGCAAAUGCUUUUAUUUGAUUUUUUUAAUUGGUCUUAAAAAUAAGUGUUAAUAAAGAUCCACAAUAUAAAAUAAUAAAUUAUAUCUCAAUUGACCUCAAGAUACUAUUUACUUCUACUAACUCAUUUUACAUCUCAAUUGUUCUUAAAAAGUCUAUAAUGGUAAUUAACUAUAGAAUUCAAGUUUUAAUUAUGCAAAAAAUAUAUAAAGGUUUUUAAAAUUAAUAGAAAAAAAGAUUCUAAUAAAUAAUAAGUAGAUUGAAACAUUUAUUUCUAGAAGUAGAGAAAGAUGGAGGAUCAUAAAAGUUGAAAAAAGAAUAAUUUGGAAGUCAUAAAAUUUUGGAAAAAGAAUAAUUCAUAGAGACCUCAUUAACAACAAGUAACAACUAAUUGUAAGUAACCAUGAAAAAAGUAAGGAGAAAAAUAAGGGAAAAGCAAGGAAAGUAGCAAAUUUUUUCAUCCCCAUAAAAAAAUGAUAAGGAAGAAAAAAGUGAAGAAAGUUUAAAGAAAGCAUAUUCUUCAAAAAUUGAAUUUUCUUUCCCUUAAAAUUGGUAUGGACAACCAAACAAGAAAAUGAUUUUUAAAUUCUUUUUUGACCUUUUUCUAUCAUUCUUUUUUUUCCCCCUACUCUAUUUCCUUUCCCUCAAACUUUCUAGGUAGUAAACAUUACCUAAGAUAAAUAGGGAAGAAAAUAUUUUAUCAUUUAUUUAUUUAGUAUUUUUCUUACCUUUUUUGUAUUUUAUCCAAAUAUAAGAAAACUAUUUUUCUUUAUUUUUUCUUUUCCUUGUUGCUUUUCAAGAAUCAAGCAUGCUUUAAACUCUAAUUAAGAGUUACAUGGAUUUACGGAGAAACAAUGCAACUGGUAACAAAAAAUUAAGGAAAUUUAAUUUUUGAGAGUAAGUAUAAUGAGAUUGGUUUGUUUGAUACAAAAUUUAAAUAAAAAUUCUUUCAAUGAAAAUUCAAGGAAAGGAAAAAAAAACAAAUUUAUCUCUAGACUAUAAUACUAAAUCACUUAAAAAAAACUCCUAACAUCGUUUAUGUUCAUCUUUCUUUUUAUGGAUUUGAAAAACCCAAUAAUUUGGAGAAAACUGAUUCAAGGAAGAAUAAUUUUUAGAAUAAAAGAUUAUUAUUUAAGAAGAUCAUAAAUAUUAUAGUCAUUGUUGAAUAUGAUAAAUGAUUAAAAAAAAAAAAGGUAGUUGGAAAUUUAGAUACUUUUAUAAGACAAAUGCAUUUUUCUAGUAUGGUAUGAAAAAAAGGUAAAAUGAUAGGCUUUGAUCAUUUUUUAAGGUAGUUUGUUUAAAUCAUUUUAAUUUAUUUUGAUUUAAUAACAAUAACUUUUAUUACACUAGUUAUUUUGAUUUUCUUUUGAUAGAUUUUGCAAGCUUAAGAAAUUUGGAGGUAUUGGAUUUGAGUUAUAAUUCAUUUAGUGGGAUCGUUCCAUCGUCUAUAAGAUUGUUGUCUUCUCUCAAGUCUUUAUCUCUGGCUGGAAAUCACCUCAAUGGUUCCUUAGCAAAUCAAGGUACAUAUAUUGUGAUUACAGGUUUUUCUAUUUUCUUUUUUAAUAUCUUGUUUGUUCUUUAUGCCAAUGAAGUCAUGCAUGUCUAUUAAUUUUUGGUAUUUAAUAAAAAACUUUAUUCUUAAUUCAUGAAGACCUCAUCAACUGUAAGUAACAACUAGUUGUAAAUUUGGGGGCAUUGAUAAGACGAGGAGAUGAUUGGUUACAUGUCUUAUUCUCUUUUGUAAGCUUCUGCCAAUUGAAUAAGCUUCAAGAGUUAGAUUUUUCUUACAACUUAUUCCAAGGGAUCCUUCCUCCAUGUUUGAAUAAUUUGACAUCUUUGAGGUUAUUGGAUCUCUCUUCCAACCUAUUCUCCGAAAAUCUUUUUUCCCCUCUGUUACCUAAUCUCACAUCCCUGGAGUACAUCGAUCUCAGUUACAAUCAUUUUGAGGGUUCAUUCUCUUUCAGCUCUUUUACUAAUCACUCCAACCUUCAAGUGGUCAAACUUGGAAGGAAUAACAACAAAUUUGAGGUAGAAACUGAAUAUCCAGUUGGUUGGGUUCCCCUGUUUCUGUUGAAAGCUCUUGUCCUAUCCAACUGUAAGCUCAUCGGUGAUCCUGGUUUCCUUCGACACCAAUUAAGAUUAACCGUGGUUGAUCUCUCCCAUAAUAAUUAGACUGGAAGUUUCCCCAUUUGGCUGCUUGAUAACAAUACAAGACUAGGAUCUCUAGUUCUGAGGAAUAACUCUUUAAUGGGUCAACUACUUCCCCUGAGACCUAAUAGUCGUAUCACUUUAUUGGAUAUCUCAGACAACCGACUUCAUGGGGAACUUCAACAAAAUGUGGCCAAUAUGAUUCCAAAUAUUGAGUUUCUAAAUUUAUCCAACAAUCAUCCCCUUCAUUUCAUCCAUAUUUGGAUCUACCUUUAAAUCUCUAUUGCAUACAACCCAUAUAUGAUUCCCUCUAAAUUUAGCCUUCAUUUCUUGCUAAGAGGUUUUAAAAGCCAGCAAUUUAAUUUACUUUCAUCCUCUAGAUUGAUGAGAACUCUUAUAUUUAUCCAAUGAUAGGUAACAUUUUUGCAAAUGCUUUUAUUUGAUUUUUUUAAUUGGUCUUAAAAAUAAGUGUUAAUAAAGAUCCACAAUAUAAAAUAAUAAAUUACAUCUCAAUUGACCUCAAGAUACUAUUUACUUCUACUAACUCAUUUUACAUCUUAAUUGUUCUUAAAAAGUCUAUAAUGGUAAUUAACUAUAGAAUUCAAGUUUUAAUUAUGCAAAAAAUAUAUAAAGGUUUUUAAAGUUAAUAGAAAAAGAGAUUCUGAUAAAUAAUAAGUAGAUUGAAACAUUUAUUUCUAGAAGUAGAGAAAGAUGGAGGAUCAUAAAAGUUGAAAAAAGAAUAAUUUGGAAGUCAUAAAAUUUUGGAAAAAGAAUAAUUCAUAGAGACCUCAUUAACAACAAGUAACAACUAAUUGUAAGUAACCAUGAAAAAAGUAAGGAGAAAAAUAAAGGAAAAUCAAGGAAAGUGACAAAUUUUUUCAUCCCCAUAAAAAAUGAUAAGGAAGAAAAAGGUGAAGAAAGUUUAAAGAAAGUAUAUUUUUCAAAAAUUGAAUUUUCUUUCCCUUAAAGUUGGUAUGGACAACCAAACAAGAAAAUGAUUUUUAAAUUCUUUUUUGACCUUUUUCUAUCAUUCUUUUUUUUUUCCUUACUCUAUUUCCUUUCCCUCAAACUUUCUAGGUAGUAAACAUUACCUAAGAUAAAUAGAGAAGAAAAUAUUUUAUCAUUUAUUUAUUUAGUAUUUUUUUUACCUUUUUUUGUAUUUUAUCCAAAUAUAAGAAAACUAUUUUUCUUUAUUUUUUCUUUUCCUUGUUGCUUUUCAAGAAUCAAGCAUACUUUAAACUUUAAUUAAGAGUUACAUAGAUUUACGGAGAAACAAUGCAACUGGUAACAAAAAAUUAAGGAAAUUUAAUUUUUGAGAGUAAGUAUAAUGAGAUUGGUUUGUUUGAUACAAAAUUUGAAUAAAAAUUCUUUCAAUGAAAAUUCAAGGAAAGGAAAAAAAACAAAUUUAUCUCUAGACUAUAAUACUAAAUCACUUAAAAAAAACUCCUAACAUCGUUUAUGUUCAUCUUUCUUUUUAUGGAUUUGAAAAACCCAAUAAUUUGGAGAAAACUGAUUCAAGGAAGAAUAAUUUUUAGAAUAAAAGAUUAUUAUUUAAGAAGAUCAUAAAUAUUAUAGUCAUUGUUGAAUAUGAUAAAUGAUUAAAAAAAAAAAAGGUAGUAGGAAAUUUGGAUACUUUUAUAAGACAAAUGCAUUUUUCUAGUAUGGUAUGAAAAAAAGGUAAAAUGAUAGGCUUUGAUCAUUUUUUAAGGUAGUUUGUUUAAAUCAUUUUAAUUUAUUUUGAUUUAAUAACAAUAACUUUUAUUACACUAGUUAUUUUGAUUUUCUUUUGAUAGAUUUUGCAAGCUUAAGCAAUUUGGAGGUAUUGGAUUUGAGUGGUAAUUCAUUUAGUGGGAUCGUUCCAUCGUCUAUAAGAUUGUUGUCUUCUCUCAAGUCUUUAUCUCUGGCUGGAAAUCACCUCAAUGGUUCCUUAGCAAAUCAAGGUACAUAUAUUGUGAUUACAGGUUUUUCUAUUUUCUUUUUUAAUAUCUUGUUUGUUCUUUAUGCCAAUGAAGUCAUGCAUGUCUAUUAAUUUUUGGUAUUUAAUAAAAAACUUUAUUCUUAAUUCAUGAAGACCUCAUCAACUGUAAGUAACAACUAGUUGUAAAUUUGGGGGCAUUGAUAAGACGAGGAGAUGAUUGGUUACAUGUCUUAUCACUACUACAAAAAUUGAAAUUAAUGACGCUUUAUUUUAUGACGCUUUCUAAAAGCGUCAUUAUUGAGGGUAUACAAUGACGCUUAUAAGAAGUGUCAUAGUUGUAUUAUUUAUCUUGAUACUGAUUAUAAGUGUCAUUAUUUGAUGUCAUCUUUUUCCUUGUAACUGUGUAUAUAAUGACGCUUAUAAGAAGCGUCAUAGUUUUAUUAUUUACCUUGACACUUAUUAUAAGCAUCAUUAUUUGAUGGGUAUGUAAUGACGUUCUUGAGAAGUGUCAUAGUUGUAUUGACUUUUAAAAUUUUUGUUUUUAAGUUAACUUAUACAAAUUUUGAUAUUAGAAUAUUAUUCUAUAAAUUAAUUAUGGUAAAUUGACAUUAAUAUUAAUGACAUAAAGUUGCUACAUUAAGGUUUUUUUAAAAAAAUUUGGAUAUAAAUAAAAUAAAAUCCUAAUAAAUUAUUUUUUUAUUGUUUGAUAUUAAUUUUUUUAUAGUUUGUAUCAAUACAAUCUAUUUUCAUAAACUAUUUUUCAUUUUUAUUAAAUUAGAAAUUAUCUUAUAUUUCAUUUAAAAAUAAUUUGUUAAUUUAUUUGUGGACCACAAAAAAGUGGCCUAUUUUGAGCACUUGUUCGAGCCUUGGGCCACAUUUAUUGGGUUUAACCCUUUUAUUUGAGAAGGUUUUAUAGUUAAUGAAUAUAAAUUUGAAAUUAUUUAACUAAAAUGAAAUAAAUUAAUAUUUAAAUUAAUUUAAUGAUGAUUAGACUCACAAUAAAACUAAAUGCAAUAAGAAUAUUUAUAAAAACUUUCUAAUAUUUAUGGGAAUUAAGCUCAUUCUAUUAAAUUAGUUUUUUUUUUAAAUAUCAAUAUUCAAAUUAAACCAAUAUCAACCUAAAAUAUCAAAUAAUUAAACAAUAUAAAUUUAUUAUGAGUUCAAUAUAUAAAAAUUAUUAUUGGAAGAUGAAAUAAAGAAUACUAUUUUAAUUUAUUGAAAAAGGACAUGCAUGAUAUUUUAGAAUUUGUUAUAAAGUCUCCAUUGAAAACCCUAACUUUUGGAAGACAAGAAAGAAGGGAGAGAGCCACCGUUUUUAGUGAGAAAGAAGAGAAGAGAGAAAAAUGCAAGUUUUUCUCAUCAGGCCCAGAUUUCAUCAAAGGUCUGAUCCCACUUUGUCCGUGGUCCGAUCGAGCUGAAAUUUGGAGGAGAGUUUCGUGACUCAUUUAUCUUCAAUCUGAACGGUGAAGAUCGGAUUUGGAGUUUCGGAAAGUCAUUAGAAAGAAAGAGGAGAAGAGAGAAAAACGUAGGUUUUUCUCAUCAUGCCCAGAUUUUAUCAAAUGUCCGAUCCCGCUUCGUCCGUGGUCCGAUCGAGUUGAAAUUUGAAGGAGAGGUUUGUGGCUCAUGUAUCUUCAAUAUGAACGGUGGAGAUCUGAUUUGGAGUUUCGGACAGUCAUUAGAGAGAAAGAGGAGAAGAGAGAAAAACUUAGGUUUUUCUCAUCGUGCCCAGAUUUCAUCAAAUGUCUGAUCCCGCUUCGUCCGUGGUCCGAUCGAGUUGAAAUUUGAAGGAGAGGUUCGUGGCUCAUGUAUAUUCAAUAUGAACGGUGGAGAUCGGAUUUGGAGUUUUGGACAGUCAUUAGAGAGAAAGAGGAGAAGAGAGAAAAACAGUGGUUUUUUUAUAUCAUGCCCAGAUUUCAUCAAAGGUUCAAUGCCGCUUUUUUCAUGGUCUGAUUGAGCUGAAAUUUGGAGGAGAGGUUCAUAAGUCAUUAAUCUUAAAUUUGAACGGUGAAGAUCGGAUUUAGAGUUUUGGAAAGUCAUCUUUCAGCCAAAAACAAAACCUUUAUUUUAUCAAAGAUGGCGCUUCCUGAAAGUGUCAUUGUUGCCUAAGACAUACAAUGACAGAGGCGAAGAGGACGCUUUAGAGAAGCGUCAUCUGUUACCUUUCUUGACGCUUAAAAAACGUCAUAGUUUCCCAUUUUUCUUGUAGUGUAUUCUCUUUUGUAAGCUUCUGCCAAUUGAAUAAGCUUCAAGAGUUAGAUCUUUCUUACAACUUAUUCCAAGGGAUCCUUCCUCCAUGUUUGAAUAAUUUGACAUCUUUGAGGUUAUUGGAUCUCUCUUCCAACCUAUUCUCCGAAAAUCUUUCUUCCCCUCUGUUACCUAAUCUCACAUCCCUGGAGUACAUCGAUCUCAGUUACAAUCAUUUUGAGGGUUCAUUCUCUUUCAGCUCUUUUACUAAUCACUCCAACCUUCAAGUGGUCAAACUUGGAAGGAAUAACAACAAGUUUGAGGUAGAAACUGAAUAUCCAGUUGGUUGGGUUCCCCUGUUUCUGUUGAAAGCUCUUAUCCUAUCCAACUGUAAGCUCAUCGGUGAUCCUGGUUUCCUUCGACACCAAUUAAGAUUAACCGUGGUUGAUCUCUCCCAUAAUAAUUAGACUGGAAGUUUCCCCAUUUGGCUGCUUGAUAACAAUACAAGACUAGGAUCUCUAGUUCUGAGGAAUAACUCUUUAAUGGGUCAACUACUUCCCCUGAGACCUAAUAGUCGUAUCACUUUAUUGGAUAUCUCAGACAACCGACUUCAUGGGGAACUUCAACAAAAUGUGGCCAAUAUGAUUCCAAAUAUUGAGUUUCUAAAUUUAUCCAACAAUGGUUUUGAAGGUAUUCUCCCAUCCUCAAUAGCCGAAAUGAGUUCCUUACAGUCAUUAUAUUUGUCUGCUAAUAGUUUCUCAGGGGAAGUACCAAAACAAUUGCUUGCGGCAAAAUAUUUGUGGCUUCUGAAAUUAUCAAAUUAUAAAUUUCAUGGCGAAAUAUUUUCAAGGGACUUUAACUUGACUCAGUUAGGGUUUUUGCAUUUGGACAAUAAUCAGUUCAAGGGAACACUGUCAAAUGUAAUCUCCAGAAUCUCUAGGUUAUGGGUGUUGGAUAGGUAACAUGACCGAUUUGACUACACUGGUGUUGGGCAACAAUAGUUUUAAAGGCAAAUUACCACCUGAGAUUUCUCAAUUGUUGGGGAUGAUAUUUCUUGACGUUUCUCAAAACGCUCUUUUAGGAUCUCUUCCUUCUUUGAAGAGCCUGGAGUAUUUAGAUACCCAGAGAUUGAUACCCAGAGAUUUUCUCAAUUCCUCAUAUCUAUUGACUUUGGAUAUCAGAGACAACAGGUUAUUUGGAAGUAUUCCCUAUUCAAUCUCUAGACUUUUAGAGCUAAGAGGAAACCUUUUAAGUGAUUUCAUUCCAUAUCAGCUUUGUCAUUUGACUAAAAUAAGCUUGAUGGAUAUUUCAAACAACAAUUUUUCUGGGUCAAUUCCCGGAUGCUUUGGUCAUAUCGGAUUUGGAGAUUUCAAAACUGAGCACAAUGUGUAUAUACCGAUGUUGGAUUCGUAUUCAGAAAGCAAUCCUUCUAUAUAUACGGGUUACUUAAUAAAAUAUUUAUUUUUCUCUAGUGAACUCCCUGAUGAAGUAGAUGAAGUUGAGUUUGUUACCAAGAAUAGGUAUAGCUCCUACAGAGUAGAUAAAAAUAUUUGUUGGGAAUUUAGAUAUUUUUAUAGGAAAGUAGACAAGUAUUCUAAUUUAUAAAAACAAUGCAUUUCUUUAGUUUGGUAUAAAAAAAAAUGAAACGAUAGGUAUUGGUAUUUUUUUUAAAGCAACAAACGUUUUAUUUUAUUUGUAUUUAAGAACAAUGUCUUUUCUUAUACUAGUUAUUUUAAUUUUCUUUUGACAGAUUUUGCAAGCUUAAGCAAUUUGGAGAUACUAGAUUUGAGUUCUAAUUCCUUAAGUGGGAUUAUUCCAUCAUCUAUAAGAUUGAUGUCUCAUCUCAAGUCUUUAUCCUUGGCCGGAAAUCAGCUCAAUGGUUCUUUACAAAAUCAAGGUACAUAUGUUAUGAUUUGUUUGUUUCAUAUGGAUUAGAGAAGAUGAAUAUUGUAAAAAAAAAGUUGUAGUUAAUGUAAGCUAGAAAUAAGUAUCUUGCCUUAUAAAUUAUAUGAGCAUGUGUUUGUUCUUAAUGAAUCUUUACAACAUUUAGAGUUACCAAUGUUUAUAAUUCAUAAAGACCUCAUUAACCGUGAGUAACAACUAAUUGUAAGUAAUUGUGGAAAAAGUAAGGAAAACAAAAUGAGGGAAAAGCAAGGAAUUAGGAAAUUAUUUUGUUCCCAUUAAAAAAUGCUAAGGAAGAAAAAGGUAAAAGAAAGUUUAAAAAAAGUGUAUUUUUCAAAAAUUUAUUUCUCUUUCCUUUAAUUUUGCUAUGGACAACCAAACAAGAAAAUUAUUUUAUAAUUCCUUUUUUAUUUUUUUCAUUCUCUCUCUCUUUUUUCCCCUACUCUAUUUCUUUUCCCUCAAACUUUCUUGGUAGUAAACACAACCUAAGAUAAAAUGGGGAAGAAAAUUUUCAGUUUUUUUUUUAUUUUUUUAGAAUGUUUUCUUACUUUUUAGUAUUUUAUGCAAAUAUAGGAAAAUUAUUUUUUUUUCUUUUUUUUUCUUGCUCCUUUUCGGACAUGAAUCACACUUUAAAAGAAAAUUAAUUUUUAAUUAGGAGUUAAGAUAAAUUUAAGGAGAAACAGUGAAUCACGAAUAACAAAAAAAUAAGGAAAUUGAAUUUUUGAAAGUAAGUAUAAUCAAAUUGCUUCAUUUGAUACAAAAUUUGAAUAAAAAUUCUUUCAAGGAAAGGAAAAAACAUUUUUGUCUCUAGAUUAUAAUACUAAAUCAUGUAAAAAAUCUCUUAACAUCAUUUAUAUUCAUAUUUAUUUUUGUAGAUUUGAAAAAUUCAACAAUUUGGAAUAAACUUAUUCAAUGAAUAAUAAUUUUUAGAUUUAAAGAUUAUUAUUUAAGAUCAUAAAUAUUACCAUGAUUGUUGAUGUCUAAGAAGAUCAUAUUCAACAAUUUUUUUAAUAUGUUGUUUUUUUAUGGUAAUUAAUUGAUGUCUUGUAAUUUUUAAUAUUUAAUGAAAAACAUUAUUUUAAUUCAUCUAGAGCUCUUAAUUCAUGAAGACCUCAUUAAUGGUGAGUAAUAGUUGGCUGUAAGUUUGGAGUCAAAGACAUGUCAAGGAGAUGAUUAGUUACAUGUCUUAUUCUCUUUUGUAGGUUUCUGUCAAUUGAAUAAGCUUCAAGAGUUAGAUCUUUCUUACAACUUAUUCCAAGGGAUCCUUCCUCCAUGUUUGAAUAAUUUGACAUCUCUAAGGUUAUUGGAUCUCUCUGUCAACCUAUUCUCCGGAAAUCUUUCUUCUCCUUUAUUACCUAAUCUCACAUCCCUGGAGUACAUCGAUCUCAGUUACAAUCAGUUUGAGGGUUCAUUCUCUUUCAGCUCUUUUGCUAAUCACUCAAAGCUUCAAAUGGUCAAACUUGGAAUGAAUAACAACAAAUUUGAGGUAGAAACUGAAUAUCCAAUUGGUUGGGUUCCCUUGUUUCAAUUGAAGGCUCUUUCGCUAGACAGCUGUAAGCUCACCGGCGACCUUCCUAGUUUUCUUCAAUACCAAUUCAGGUUAGUGGGGGUUGAUCUCUCACAUAAUAACUUGACAGGAAGUUUUCCCAAUUGGCUGCUUGAAAACAAUACGAGACUAAAAUCUCUAGUUCUGAGGAAUAACUCUUUAAUGGGUCAAUUACUUCCCUUGGAACGUAAUACCCGUAUCCAUUCAUUGGAUAUCUCACACAAUCAGUUGGAUGGACAACUUCAAGAAAAUGUGGCCCAUAUGAUUCCAAAUAUGAAAUAUCUAAAUUUAUCCGACAAUGGUUUUGAGGGUAUUCUCCCAUCCUCAAUAGUUGAACUAAGAGCCUUAUGGUAUUUGGAUUUGUCUACCAAUAAUUUCUCUGGAGAAGUACCAAAGCAAUUGCUUGCAGCAAAAGAUUUGGGGGUUUUGAAAUUAUCAAAUAAUAAAUUUCAUGGUGAAAUAUUUUCAAGGGACUUUAACUUGAUUAGGUUGGAAGUUUUGUAUUUGGGCAAUAAUCAGUUGACGGGAACUCUGUCAAAUGUAAUCUCUAAAAGCUCUUGGUUGGGGGUGUUGGAUGUGAGCAACAACUACAUGUCAGGUGAAAUUCCAAGCCAGAUAGGUAACAUGACCUAUUUGACUACACUGGUGUUGGGCAACAAUAGUUUUAAAGGCAAAUUACCACCCGAGAUUUCUCAAUUGUGGGGUUUGGAGUUUCUUGACGUUUCUCAAAAUGCUCUUUCAGGAUCUCUUCCUUGUUUGAAGACCAUGGAGAGUUUAAAGCAUCUACAUUUGCAAGGGAACAUGUUUACAGGAUUAAUACCCAGAGAUUUUCUCAAUUCCUCACAUUUAUUGACUUUGGAUAUGCGAGAUAACAGGUUAUUUGGAAGUAUUCCCAAUUCAAUCUCUGCACUUUUGAAGCAGCUAAGGAUUUUUUUGCUGGGAGGAAACCUUUUAAGUGGUUUUAUUCCAAAUCAUCUUUGUCAUUUGACUGAAAUAAGCUUGAUGGAUCUUUCAAACAACUCUUUUUCAGGGCCAAUUCCCAAAUGCUUUGGCCAUAUCCGAUUUGGGGAGAUGAAAAAGGAAGACAACGUGUUUGGACAGUUCAUUGAAAUUAGGUAUGGAAUGGAUUCUCAUCUUGUAUAUGCAGGUUACUUGGUGAAAUAUUGGGAGGACUUAAGUUCAGUAUAUAAGGGAAAAGAUGAAGUUGAGUUUGUGACCAAGAACAGGCGUGACUUCUACAGAGGUGGCAUCCUUGAAUUCAUGUCUGGAUUGGACUUAUCAUGUAACAACUUGACAGGCGAAAUACCUCAUGAACUUGGAAUGCUAAGUUGGAUUCGUGCAUUGAACUUGUCUCACAAUCAAUUGAAUGGCUCCAUUCCAAAGAGUUUCUCCGAUCUUUCUCAAAUAGAGAGCUUAGACCUUUCUUAUAAUAAAUUGGGUGGAGAAAUUCCUCUAGAGCUAGUUGAACUCAAUUUUUUAGCGGUGUUUAGUGUGGCUUACAACAACAUCUCUGGUAGAGUUCCAAAUGCCAAAGCACAAUUUGCAACAUUUGAUGAAAGCAGCUAUGAAGGUAAUCCUUUCCUUUGUGGGGAACUAUUAAAGAGGAAAUGCAACACAAGUAUUGAGUCACCAUGCGCACCAUCACAGUCUUUUGAAAGUGAGACAAAAUGGUAUGAUAUCAAUCAUGUUGUUUUCUUUGCAAGUUUUACUACUUCAUAUAUCAUGAUCUUGUUAGGAUUUGUUACCAUCCUUUACAUCAAUCCUUAUUGGCGUCAUAGAUGGUUCAAUUUUAUUGAGGAAUGUGUAUAUUCCUGCUAUUAUUUUGUUUUUGAUAGUCUUUCCAAGUUCUCAGCAUAUUUGUAUAAUUAGAUACUUUUAAUUGGAUGAUGUUUGCAUAAUUAACUACUAUUUGUUUCCAUGGGAUAAAAAGAAAUGGGAUUAUAAUUGCUAUGAGUUGAAACUUACAUACUUUGCUCAAAUUCUAACAUCUUUUGAUUUUAUUUUCAAGUUCCGUUAUUUAUUAUGUAUUGUUUAAUUCAAGAUUUAACCAUAUUAUGCUACUCUUAUAAAAACAAAUUCAAAUUUUUAGGAACUUAGCAUUAAAAUAAUUUCAUAGUCAGAUUUUUAAAAAUAAAGAAGAAAGAAAAUAAUAAAUAAUUAGAAAAACAAUUCAAGGGAGUAUUAAAUUAUUAUCUUAGAAUUGUUUGGCGUAGUAUGGGAAUUCAAAAAUAAUCUUUCAAUUUGUUAGAAAUGUUUAUUUAUUUAUUAUAGCAAUGAUUGAAAUAUCAAUCACAAAGUAAUGUUUUCUUUUCUUUUGUAGGGCACUAACAUUUUUUCUUUGAUUGUAAUAAUUGAUAAAUAUAUUACACAAUUAUUUGUUUUAAAGAGGGGAGGGAUGACAAACAUAAUAACAUGUGAAAUAUUUCUAAAACUGUGAUGGGAAAUAAACCAUCUAAUUAGGGUGCAAUAUUAUUCAUUUUAAUUUAUAUGAAUUUACUUAUUUUUAUUUCCAUCAUAUUUUGAACUAUUUUUUGAAAUUAAGGGAGAUUAAAACAUCAUGAAUUUCUUAGUUUAAUUUAUAUUUUUAAUAAUAAAGCAUGAAAUAUUUAAAAAAAAAAAAGAAAAUCAUGAAUUUCUUUAAUUCCUUAGGAAACCAAUAUAUAAAAAAAGUUGAAUAUAUUAUUAUUUUAUAUCCUAAAUUUCUAAAUUUGUUCAUCACGUAUUUAUUUUUAUAUUAAAUUUAUUAUCAAUAAUUAUUUAUUAUAUAUUAUUAUUUUAUAUUUAAAAAUGUUCAUAAAUAAUUAAAAUUAAUAAAUAUAAAAAAUGAAAUAUUAAAAAAUUAAAUUAAAAAGAUUUCAUCAAGCUAACAUAUUUUGAUAAAAAAAAAAAGAGUAAAAAAGAAGAUGGGGAUAUUAUAGAGGUGGGGAAAAAGAUAAAAGAAAAAUCAUGUGGUAUAAUAAUUGCCACGUGUUAAAGUUAUUUUCUUUAAAAAUUAAUUAUAGUAAUGAUGAACUCAUUUGUCUUAUCAAAGUAAAUAAAAAUAAAUAAAUAAAAGAAAAAAAGAAAAAGAAAAAAAGUGGUGGUUGAUUGGAGGUUAGAGAGGAGGGUUUGAAGGUAAAUUUGGAAUAUUGAUUAUUUUCACUAAGUAGAUAUUUUGAAAGUUAUUUUCAAUGUUUUAAAAACCGGACCGGCCGGUCCGACCGGUCCAACCGUCGACCGGUCACCAUUCCGGUCCGAUCCGGUCAUUUGGACCGGAUUGAGAUCGAACCGGAGUUGAACCGCUCGAACCAGCGGUUCAACCGCUGAACCGGACAAACCGAUCGGUUCCAAGGGAACCGGCCAAUUCAAAUAAUUUUAAUUUUAAAAAAAAAAUUACACAAUAAAAAUAUUACUGUGGGUAAGCUGCAAGCAUGAAAGGUAGGAUUCCAUGUUGGGCCUGUCUUGUGACAAGCCCACACACCCACUCCAAUUACCCUGGGCCUCUUUUUUGAGCCCACAAGAUCAUGCCAAGGCUUUGCUGAGGAUGGCUUUUAUAGGAGUCAUUUGACUCCUUGUUCCUCUCAUAUUCCGAUGUGGGAUUGCAUUUUAUCAAUGAAAAAAAACAUAACAAACAUAACAAAACUCCACCAACAGAAUUUGAACCUUGGACCAAUCUUUAACUCUAGUCCACCUAGGAAACCACUCGGCUACAUGUGUUUUAUCAUCUAAUGUGCCAAACAAAAUAAUAUAUAUUAGAUUUUAAAUUUUUUUAUAAUAUUAAAUAAAAAUAAUAUAAUAUUUUUAAAAAUUAUGAAAUUAGUUUAAAUUUUCAUUUUUUUUAUAUUCACAUUUAAAUAUUAUACAUAUUUCAUUUAAUAAAAUUUAAAAUAUUAAUAUGAUUUAAUUUGAUAAUAUCAAAGAUAUAAAAUAAUAUUAUUGAUGUUUAAUUUAUUCAUAUAUAUUUUAAAAUUUUUUAUAAUUAUUUUUAAUUUUAAUAAUAUAUAAAUUAUAUAUUUAUUACGUCACCGGUUCGAUAGCGGUUCGACCGCCGGUCCGACCAGUGAACCGUGAACCGGUAACUUUUCCAGUUCGAUCACCGGUCCGAUUCUGAAAACAUUGGUUAUUUUGCCUGAAACCCAUAUUGUUUGAAAAUAAAAAAUCAAAGUUUUAAAAAAAUACAAUUUUUUUGAAAUGAUGCAUGAUUAUAUCAUUCCCCUAAUAGAUUAUUUAUUCCUUUAAACUUUACUUCAAAUAAAAUAGUUUUAAUUAUUUUCUUUUUGGAAUUAUAUUUAACAUAUUAUUAAAAAUAUAAAAAACAUUUUAAUAAUAUUGUUAAUGAGUUUAUAUAUAUAUAUAUAUAUUGUAAAAUAAUUAAAUUUAAAAAUAUUUAAAUUUAGUUAUGGGCUGCCCAUUUCAAAAUAAUAAGAAUCUCGUAACCUAAUUUUUCCAAAUUCCAGGUAAAUAUGCUAAUCUAAAAAUAAAAAAUAAAAAUUAGGUUUUUAUGCUCUCCAAUCUACCACUUAAGCAUCCGACAUGGCUAAAAUAAAUUACAAAAAAAAAAAAAAAAAAAAAAGGAAAAAAAACAAAAGUGUGUGAUCCUCUUUCUCGAGUCUUCACAUUUUGAGACACUGAAACCAAAUCAAAAUUAAUCCUUCAAAUUAAUUUUCACCUCCAAACAUGGCUAUCCGAAAAACCCUAACGUCUGCCUCCUCUUCCUCUUAUCCCGGAAACCUAAAUUCCGUGACCCUAACCCCUUCUCUUUCCGAAAACCCUCCGGAAUCGGAAGAUUCAUAAUUCUUCAGAAUUAAUUUUCACCUCGAAGCCAAACCCUAACUGCCUCAUCUUCCUCUCAUUCAUAUCCCAAAAGUAGCUUCAACAGUCAGGCCUGUAGCCAUGAAAGCCGUAGUGAUCACUACUUCCGGUGAUCCCCAAGUUCUCCAAGUGCAAGAAGUCGAAAACC
This 153644-nucleotide long non-coding RNA is filed under the name Vitis vinifera (wine grape). RNAcentral describes it as "long non-coding RNA (VVIN_LNC002833)". Lineage: Eukaryota; Viridiplantae; Streptophyta; Magnoliopsida; Vitales; Vitaceae. The record is from RNAcentral.